This 138350-nucleotide long non-coding RNA is filed under the name Prunus persica (peach). RNAcentral's name for it is "long non-coding RNA (PPER_LNC001496)". The record is from RNAcentral. Lineage: Eukaryota; Viridiplantae; Streptophyta; Magnoliopsida; Rosales; Rosaceae.
ACAUAUUCACAAAUCGGCUGAUCACUUAUUUUCCAUUAUGACGUUGAUAUAUAAUUUGCAGACUCCACAAAUGAAGAAAAGAGCACAAAUGACGUUGGCAAACCUGAAACUUUCCCAUUGGGCAAUAAACAUUACUCCAGUCAAAAACAUUAUGGAAGAGGCAAACCUGAAACUUUCCCAUUGGGCAAUAAACAUUACUCCAGUCAAAGACAUUAUGGAAGAGGCAAACCUGAAACUUUCCCAUUGGGCAAUAAACAUUACUCCAGUCAAAGACAUUAUGGAAGAGGCAAACCUGAAACUUUCCCAUUGGGCAAUAAACAUUACUCCAGUCAAAAACAUUAUGGAAGAGGCAAACCUGAAACUUUCCCAUUGGGCAAUCAGCAUUACUCCAGUCAAAAAAAGUAUGGAAGAGGUGCUUCUCCAUCCGACAAUCAACCACCAAUUCCAUAGAAAUUCAAACACGGCUACUUUCUUGCCACGAGAAAGCGCUCAAUCGAUCCCCUUCUCCUCUAACAAACUACCAGAAAUUUUCAACCAUUUUUCAGUGAAGCCAACAUCUGAGGAAGCCAAAACAAUUAAGCAAACAAUCGAAGAGUGUGAAGCUCCAGACCUUAAGGGAGAGGAAAUAUAUUGCGCCACAUCUUUAGAAUCAAUGGUUGAUUUUAGCACUUCGAAGCUUGGAACAAGAAACGUUGAAGCAAUCUCGACGGAGGUAUUGGAAAAAGGAGCCACCAUGUCCAUCCAAAACUAUACAACAAUGCCGGGACUGAAGAAGUUGGCAGGUGACAAAGUCGUUGUGUGUCAUAAGCAGAACUAUCCCUAUGCUGUGUUUUUCUGCCAUGCAAUAAAACAUACAGCAGCUUAUGCUCUCUCCCUGAAAGGCGAUGAUGGGGAGAAGGUUAAAGCAGUAACCAUCUGCCAUCUAGACACAUCAGAAUGGGACCCAGAGCAUAUGUCCUUCAAAAUCGUCAACGUUAAGCCCGGAACCAUUCCCAUCUGCCAUUUCAUUUCCACUGAUGCUAUUGCCUGGGUUCCGAACCACAAAUCUGCAUGAUCAUCACUUAGCACUAGUACUGUGCGUAUAAUAUGCCUGUAUAAUUAUCUCCCUACUUAUUUCUGCCUGUUCAUCAUGUGGUGUAAGAUAUAUGUUGAGAUGAAGUUUUUGGGAUUAGUGGUCGAAAUUAACCCGAUCAUGUUUUCUCUUGUAACUAUAUAGACUUCAACUUGUACUCAUAAUAAAGCAUGCUAUAUUUAUGAAGAGAUAUUAAUCUUCAGGCAAAUAGAUAUUAUGAAAACAUAUAUAGCAAUUUAUCCAGAAGAAAUAUUAUGAAAUGAAAAGAAUAAAAAGUAAAAAAACAGAAGGAAAGGAAUUCGCACCUGCUAUGUAUGAAAGGACCAAGAUUGUUUUCCCUUUGGUUAAUGACUAGAAAAGCUCACUUGCAGAUUGCUUUCUCUGACCGUAGAUGCAACAGAAAUUUUCUCUUAAUAAUAGCACAAUGAUCGGGUAAUUGUAAGAACAAGUUGAUUUAAAAUUCCUUGACCCAAAAAAAAAAAAAAAAUCAUUUCAAAUUCAGGUCAACCCAUAGAUUUCUUGCCUUUUUCUUCUUCAUCACGUUGGGCUUGUCUUCUUCUUGAGGAUUGUAUAGGCCCAGGAAAUGCUUUGAGGUAGUUUUUGGCCUUGGAAGUUGGGACCCAACCCAACUUCACAAAAAGAAAACAGAUUUGCCAAAAAUCAAAUUUCAAGUCUCUCCUCAGAUCACUAAUACAGAUCAAAUUUUGGAUUUGAUGAACUAAAGUGGUUUUACUUUCUCUGUCAGUGUUUGAUGACUUAAUUUGUUAUUUACUUCUUUUUUUUUUUUUACUUGAUCUUUGUAGGGGUUUUUUUCUUCCGGUAACUUAAACGGGCUGGGCUGCCGUAAAGGGUAGAUUGAUGAAAUUGUCUCCUUUGUCUGAGUUCGAAAAUCAAGCCCCAAAAGCGCUUCGAAAGGGCAGUAGAGCCUUAGGAAGCGUUCUAGUCAUCUUCACCAACUAAAACAACAGCAACUUACAGAUGAUUUCUUAAGGCUUACAGAUAAAUUUUCUAGCUUGGCAUGAGAGGCUUGUGACAUGGAAGCAAAAUCAGCAUGAGUUUAGCACCAAAGAGGAAAAUAUGGCUUCCUAGGGAGAAAUGGGAGUGUUUAAGGUGAGGAAGAAGAGGUUUGCAGGCUGAUUUGGCUGAGGAGAGAGAAAGAAAGAACAAUGUUCUUCCAGUAGCUUGACAAAGCUUCUGACAGAUGUGAAAGUCGUCUGCCAUAAGAGGAAAAUGAAGAAGAAUGGUGAAUAGUGCAUGAAAUUGCUGGGUUUUUGCAGGUAAGAGAGAAAGCUUGCUCUCUGAAUUUGAGUUGGUUUUUGGUUGGGUAGAAGAGGCCCCCUUUUAUAGCUGCGGGAAACCAUCUUUUUUCAAGAAACCCUAAUGGUUUCUAUCCAUUUUGGCCAAGCUUUUCCCUUCAUUUCUCUUCUCCUCCCUUGACUUUUCCUAUCUUGGUGAAAUUUCCUCUGCCUAUUUGCACAAAAUUAGAGAUUUUGAGGAGCUCAAGACCCCUUUCCCGCAGCUGCCUCAGUGGAGAAUCCCCAUUUUCAGUCAUCUUUCUUCCUUCUUUUCUCCCAUCUUCCAAGGUUAGGUCUGAUGAGGGAAAGAAAUGGGUAUGCACACUGGUUUGAAGGGUAUUUUUGCUUGAAACUUGUUCUCUCCCAUGUGCUGGAGCUUCCCAGCAACUUACACACAUGGAUAUUUUGGCUUUCAUCGUGGCUUUUGUUUUCAGCUAGGUGCUGGAGAUUUCGCAGAUAUUUUCAUGAGUUGCUUGGGCCUUCUAGGACAAUAGGUUGGUUUAUCAAGUGAAUGGGCUAACUUCAUCAAUUGUUGGGCUAUUUUGGUUGAGUUAAUGGACUAUUUUGGUUGAAGUAAUGGGCUAUUUUGGUUGAAUUAAUGGGCUAUUUUUCUCUCUUUGUGCUCACCCACAUAUUUGGGCCUAAGAAAUGGGCUUGAGUUCCGGGGCUCCCAAGCAACCCCGGGACUUCCAUUUCUCGGCCCAUCAAUGGGCCUCAUAUCAACUUAUUACCAUCCAUAUCACAACCCACUCAAGCAAGCCCUGGGCAUCUUGCGUGGCUUGGGCCCACUUAAGCUUGUAGCGUGACGUGUUGCUUAUUUGCUUGGCAUGGCAUGUGUGCAAGCGCAUAUGACGAACUUUAGCGUGCCCAAAUUGGGUUUAUUCUCGGUAAGGUAUCGCAUUGGGCCGAGAAUUUAAUUGGGCAGAACUGUGGAUUUUUGGGCCUCAACAAUCUUAUAUAUAUUGGUUUUCUUUUUUUCCUUAAUAUUCACCACCUUUCUGUUGCAUAAGUAUUUCAGUCUUAACGGGUUUCCAUCUACCACUCAUCUUUGCUCUUUUAAGUGUAAGCUUUUUUUUUUUUUUUUUAAGCACAAGAUUAGAGGGGAGGGGGAUUUCUCAAUGUAAGCUUUGCAGUUUCAUAAUUAAUAUUUCCAAUAUCUCACUGUUAGUAAAAUAUGGAACAGGAAAAGUAUGAAUAAAAUACACACAUGUUUUAUUUAGCAAAAUUUUGACAAGAUACAACUGAAAAGUUUGGCCACUAUAUAAUAUUUUGAUAUAAUUUCUACACUUCUUCUCAAAAGAUUAGAUCACUUCACAUCUUGUGUAUGUGAAAACUAAUGUAAAAAGUUGAAACUUUAUCGUAAAACCUCGACAAAAAUGAGCUCUACUAGAAAAUGUUCAAUUUGGAUUCGUUGAUUUAAAUGGCAAUUUGACACUUGAUAGAAAUUUUUACAUACAUGUGUUAGUGUUUGAUCACUUCACAUGUUACUUACUAUAUUUAUUCCACUCAAGUUAGGUAAAUAUUAUUAUCAAACAUUUCAAUUAAUUUGUGAUUUUUUUAUUAUUUAAUCAAUUAUGAAUUAAUGGAUUCUUCUUGUUGUUUUGAAGACCAAUAAAAAAAAAAGGGUAAGGAUGGCUUAUAACUCUGAUAAAACAACAGUGACGUGGACAGCAGAUGUUACACCGUACUGAAGAUUUUUGAAGAUUCUUUAUUUGGGUUUCUUUCAAGAUGAAAACCAUAUUAUCCACAACCACAAUGAAGAAGACAGAAAAUGGAGUAAUUCAGAUGUUACCAGCCAUCCACGACAAACUGAAGUCUGCAAAGCAUUCGUAAUCUAAAGGGAGACUUUGGAAAAGCCCAAAGGAGAGAGAAAAUUUUUAAAAGAAGCAAAAAUGGACAAAAUUGCCCUUAUUUAUUUUUUGAUUUCCUAAGAAAUCCUUUACAUUUGCAUGUCUUUGGUUUGAAAGUUGAGAGGUUAUUCUGUCUUUUUUCAAAAAGCUUUGGCUUUUUCCAAAAGUGAAAGUUUUUUUAUGGGUAAAACCUAAAUUUACUUAAUCCCUAAAAAGGAUGGGGAGGCUGCGCAAUACUUAGCCACGUGUAGGCCAGGAGGCUUUCCAAUUUUAAUAUAUAUAUAAAUUGAAAAAAUAAAAUAAAAAUCAAUCUAUUAUCCUAUAUAAAAUAAAGAUUAUUGCUUCCAUGGGCAGUGCUAUGCACAGGACAGUGCCUGCCCAGCACAAAUUUUUUUUAAAUAAAAAAAAAAAAUCUACAUAUGUUAUAAGCUCAUCCAAAAAAAUAAAAUAAAAUAAAAGUAAAUUCUACAUAUAUGUUGCCCAUCUAGGUGGUUCCAUAUCUUCUCUCUCCUUCUCUUUUGGCUAUUAGACUUCUUGUUUCUCUCUCUCUCUUUGCUACCUCACAUCAGCAAGUUUCUCCCUCUCUUUUUUUGGGGUCAAAUUCUUCCUCUAUUGACAAAAUCUUCUAUUAUCUUGGGUGGGCAACUUGGCAACAACAUCUUCUCUUCUCCUUUUGUCAACAACAAGUAUUAUUCUCAUUCUCUCAUUUGCUAUAUAUCUUUAAUUAUAGUUUUAAUUUAAAAUUGAGUAUUCUAGGGUUUAAUUAGGGAUGAAUUAUAAUUUUAGAAUUUUGUUGAAAUUAAUUAAGGCUUCGAUUAGGGGUGAAUUAUUCUACUGCUUUGGUUUGGAAUUUUGUUAAAAUUGAGUAUUAUAGGGUUUAAUUAUGGAUGAAUUAUAAUUUUUGAUUUUGGUAUUAUUGAGAUGUUAUUAUGAGAAUUUGUUUCAUUUUUUUAUUGGUAUAUUUGAUUAAAAUUCUUUCUACAUAUUAUUCAUAGGCUAUCUUUUAUUAUGUCGGAUCACAAUCGGAAUCCCAAGAGAACAAAGAAUUUGAAUAGUGUUGUUUUGUAUUGCAUUGCAUUUACUUUUGGUUUUAGUUUUGCUUUUAGUGUAAAUUACUCAAAUGGUCCUCAAAUUUGUACCCGAUUUACAUUUUGGUCCAUAAACUAAAUUAUUCAUUCAAAUGGUGCACCAACUCUUUAUUAAUCAGUGCUUUGGUCCUACCGUUAUGUUUUCUAUUAAAUUUAGUCAUGUGAGCAGCACAUGCUACAUUUGUAGGGGUAAAUAAGACUUUUGACCACUUUAUCACCUAUGUAUCACCACUUUAUAACCUAUUUGGAGAACAUAGGUCAGUUAUGGACGGUUUUACAAUUAUAUUUGACGGCAACAUUAACAUAAUGUAACAGUGGGAUCAAUGGAGCGAUUAAUAUAGAGUUGAUGGACCGUUUGAACGAAUAAUUUAAUUGAGGGACCAAAACGUAAAUUGAGUAUAAGUUUGAGGACCAUUUGAGUAAUGUACCCUUCGCUUUUAUAUUUGUUGAACUUUUAUUUAUGGAUAGAUAUGCAUUUGAGGGUAAGACCCAUUAUGUUCCCCCUGACUUGGUGUAUCUUUUUAUGUUUAUUAAUGAAAUUCACUCGAACUGUUGAGUUUAGUAUGUAAGUUUUGCCUAACCGGCUUUUGAAUCCUAGAACCGCCACUGUUGCUCCAUCCUCCAUGCACUUGCAUGUGCUCUUACAAAGUGUGAAGUAGAUUUUGUGUGCUCCAAGUCAUUGACUAGAGCUGAAACAUGGUUAGCUAGAUUUAUAAGGACCCAUCUCUCUAUUUCCUAGACAUAUACCCAUCUCUCUAUAAAUCUAUAUGUAAAACUCAAUUUCAAACUUAAAUGACCAGUAAGAUAUAAGAGGUCAUAGUAUUCCUAUGUUUUUACAUCGUUGCCACCAGACUUCUUAUUUUAUUUAUAAUUUAUUUCAAGCAUUUCAUUAACUGCCAUAAUUGUAAUUAAUACUCCAUAUUAAUAGCAUAUCAAUCACCCCAUUUCUUUUGAUUGCCAUUCCCUCUAACAUAUCGCCCCUUAAAAUUGAAAACCAAAAAAAAAAAAAAUGUAAAUUACAUAUCCAAUAAUGUACCUAUGAAAAAUAUAAAUAUAAAUAUAUACGUAUAAAAAUAUAGGUUUAUUAUUUACCAAAUAAAAAAUAUAAAAAAACUAGGUCAGUUGCUUUGUAAUUGAAAUUUCUAUACAUUUUCCACAAAUUAAAAAUAGGUACACAAUAAUUUAUAGAAAAUAUAGGUGCAUUAUUUAUCCAUAGGUAAAAAUACCUAUAAAUGCACAUAGGUAAAUUAUUUACCCAUAUAUUAUUUUUUUGCUAAGGAUUUACCUUAGUUUUUAGUAGAUUAAUUUACCUACCUAGAGGCAUAGGUAGCUUAAAAAAAUUGUAGCACCUUAGUUGGUUGCAUACUAAUUUACCUACCUAGAGGCAUAGGUUGCUAAGAAAAAAUGUAGGUAAAUUCAUGUACCUAAACACAUAGGGGUCAAAUAGAGAAUAACAUGUUAUUUCCCUUCGAACAAAUUAAUUUCAAACCAUAACAAUAAUUGAAUUCGGAAAUUGGUAUAAAUAAAAGGAAAUAAAUAAGCUAUCAAUUUGAAAAUUAAAAUAAGAAAUGAUCAAGUAGUCAUAUUUGAAAAAAAAGAAAAGAAUAUAUUCUUGGUUUUUAUAGGAACAACGUGUAUAUUCAAACCAAAUGGCAGUAACUACACCAAGCUUUAAUUACUUUUUUUUAAGGCCAAAAGUCACUUUUGGUCUCUGUAGUUUGACACUUCUAUUACUUUUGACGCUGUAGUUUCAAUUCCGUCAAUUUUGCCAUUGUAGUUUCAUAUUUGUAGCAAUUCAAGGACAUGUUAAUAUUAAUGUCAAUUUGUUUAAUGAUGCAAGGGGUAAUUUCGUCAUCCCAAAAUCCUUGAGCAUAAAAGCUUGUCUGAAAUUCUCCCCAUUUCAUAUUAGGGCUCGAAAUUCAACCACUAAUCCCAAUUUUUGAAGAACCCUAUACCCAAAUGACCAAUUUCAAGCCCUAAUAACAAAUUAGGGAAGUUUUAGAUGAGCUUUUAUGCUCAAGGAUUUUGAGUUGAAGAAAUUGCCCCUUGCACUGUCAAAGAAAUUGAUAGGAAUACUGACUUGUCCUUGAAUUGCUACAAAUACAAAAAUACAGGGUCAAAAUUAACAGAAUUUAAACUAUAUGGUCAAAAGUGGUUAAAGUGCCAAACUACAAGGACCAAAAGUGACUUUUAGCCUUUUUGUUUAAAUAAGGAAAAAACUUACCUAUUAAAUCCUUGGAAUCUAUACAAAAUUGAAACACAGUUAAUCAGCAUUGAAUUGCAGCUAAUUUCUUAAACAAGGGUAUUAUAGGAAUUUAAAAAGUAUAACAUUUAAUCCAUUGAGCUUGAUUAGGAAUCUUGAUGAGUUGGAUCCUAGUUAUAUAGUUUCUCUUAUAAAAAUCGGGUUUUAUUUAUAGACAAAUAAAACAAUGGGUUGUAGGUAAGAAAAUAUUAAUUUGAAGGGAAAGUGUCACAUCCUGGGAUCGGCUCCGCCGUAGCACGAUAUUGUCCGCUUUGGGCCCCCCUCUCUGCCCGCACGGUUUUGUUUCUGGGAGCUCACGAGCAACUUCCCAGUGGGUCACCCAUCCUGGGAUUGCUCUGGCCCCCAACUCGCUUAACUUCGGAAUUCCUAUGACUCCGAAGCCAGUGAGCUCCCAAAAGGCCUCGUGCUAGAUGGAUGCGGGUGUGUACAUAUAAGACACAUCACCCCCUCUCCGUUGGUUGAUGUGGGAUCUUACAGAAAGAGUCAAAUUUACUAAAUUAAUAAAGCAUAAAUUGGAAAGGGAAAAGAUCUAGAGGAUGCAUUGUAGGAUUGCUCAUGCCAAUAAUUGCACCCUCUCGAUAUUGAAAAACCUAUUGUGUAUUAUUAUCUUCAAUCAUGAAUGAUGCACCUAAAACCCAAGUGUCCCAAGCCAACCAUUGCGCUCAUACCACUUGUUGCAGUACACAUUCACCCGUUUUUAAAGAAAGAAAUUCUACCAAUCGAUAUUGUCUCAAAUUUAAUCACAUAGGUCUAUUAUGGUUAACCAUAUGUACUUUUAUCGGCCAUAUAGAGGUACCUUUUUCCAACGUGCAACAAUUGUAUUUGAUUCACAAUUAUGUCUGAUAUACAUCACAUCAUGCCACUUGCCUCAAAUGAAUUUAAUUGAGUGAGGCAAUGGGAAGUAAUUAAGCUCUAUAUUGGUGGGUGGAGUGUUACUUCUGGAACCCUCAUCAUUCGUCCAUACAAGGGAACAAUUCCCUUCCUUCUAUAAAAUGGUGAAGCCAGUUGCUAUUGUUUGUUAGAGUUUUAGGAUCUGAGUGUUAGAUUUUGUGAGAAGAGAGAAGAGAAUUUAGUGAAAACUUCCAAUACUGCUCUGCUAUACGUGUAGCAGAGAGAACAUUCUGUUUUGUUAUAUAUUUUCAGUACAACAACACACACUUGGUGUGAGAAGAAAAAUGACUGUUAUGCACAGUACCAGCUGGAUGCUUUCCAUCAAAGUAAUCUCAGCCAUUCACUAUCUAACCAAUCAAGCUAUGACACCUGGACUAAGUAUAAAGAAAUACAACUAAGCAGAAAACAAGACUCUUAAUCCUGAAAUCAACUUAAGCACUUAUAAUUCAACACUCCCCUUUAAGUCUUGAGGUGAUUUCACUCCAAGCAUGCCUCUGAGAUAAUUGAAUCUGUCUUUGGCCAGAGGUUUGGUAAAAAUGUCAGCCAAUUGUUCAUUUGUAGGACAAUAUUCCAGAUUGAUUACCCCUUCUUGCAAUGCAUCCUUGAUGAAGUGAUACCUCCUGUCAAUAUGCUUUGUCUUCUGGUGGAAUACAGGGUUUUUAGUGAUUGCAAUUGCUGAGAUAUUAUCACAAUGCAAUGGAGUAGCUUCAGUUUGAAGCUCUCUAAAGUCUUCUAGCACAAAACGGAGCCAAAUAGCUUGAGUAGUAGCCUCAGCUGCACUGAUGUACUCAGCUUCUGCAGUAGACAGUGCAACACAGUUCUGUUUCACUGAGGCCCAAGAAAAUACUCCACUUCCAAAACUAAACGCAUACCCUGAUGUGCUCUUGCAAUCACCAACUGAUCCUCCCCAAUCACUGUCACAGUAACCAACUAGAAUUGAUCUUUUGCCUUUCACAUAUUCAAGACCAUAGUCCAGAGUUCCUUUGAUGUAUCUCAAAACCCUUUUAGCUGUUCCAUAGUGUCUAUUUGUAGGACAGUGCAUGAAUCUAGCUAGCAAGCUUGAGGCAUACAUGAUGUCUGGUCUUGUAGCAGUUAAGUACAGCAAGCUACCAACAAUGCUUCUGUAUUGUUCUUCAUUUGCAGCUCAACUCCCAUCAUCCUUAGCUAGUUUCUCAGUGGCAACAAGGGGUGUUGUCACAGGUUUGCACUCAGUCAAACCAAACUUGCUCAACAAGGUGCUAGCAUAUUUCUUUUGAUGUAGAAAUAUACUAGACUCAGUCUGAAUAACUCCCAUGCCAAGAAAGUGAUGAAGUAAGCCCAAAUCAGUCAUCUCAUACUUAGCCAUCAUGUCUUCUUUGAAUUCAGCCAACAAUGCUUGACUGCUCCCUGUAUACACAAUAUCGUCUACAUAGAUAGACACAAUUAGAAUCUCCUUAUCUCCCCUUACUUUGGUAUAUAAGGUUGUUUCACUUAAGCUUUUCACAAAACCACAUUGAGUGAAGUAGCUGUCUAUCUCUCCAUACCAAGCCCUUGGGGCUUGCUUCAGACCAUAAAGGGCUUUAUGCAAACGAUAAACCUUGUCUUCUUUACCUUUAAUUACAAAACCUUCAGGCUGACUGACAUAAACUUCCUCUUGCAGCACACCAUUAAGGAAAGCAGACUUCACAUCAAGCUGGAACAAUUUCCAAUCCUUUUGAGCAGCUAGAGCAAUAAGUGUUCUAAUGGUGUCCAAUCUGGCUAUAGGUGCAUAAGUCUCAUUAUAAUCCAGUCCAGGCUUCUGAGCAUACCCCUUAGCCACUAAUCUUGCUUUAUUCUUUUGCACUGAGCCAUCCAAAUUCAGCUUUGUCUUGUACACCCACUUAACUCCAAUCACUGGUUUUUCAGUUAGUCUAUCUACCAAUUCCCAUGUUUCAUUCUUUUCAAUCAUCUGCAGUUCAUCUUCCAUAGCCUUAAGCCAAGAUUCAUCCUGAGCAACAUCAGCAUAUUUUUCUGGUUCCAUGAUACACAAGUUACACUGAGCUAGAACAUCAUCUAGCCUUCUCCAUUUUAGAGGGGUGUGAUCAUAAGCUUGAGUUCUCCUUUCUUCACUGCUUAUAUCACCUGGAGUUGAUGAAAUGCUCUCUUGCAUAUCCAAAGUUUGAGGUGUACCAGUAGAAUUCUCAUUAGAACUGUCAGAUUUCAAGUCCAAAUCAACUUGGUUUUCAAUUGAGUAUGUUGUCAUAACUGAACCAUUUUUGUUUGUCCAAUGCCAAGCAUUUUCUUCAUCAAAUGUCACAUCCCUUGAUAGUAAAAGCUUGUUAGAAACAGGAUCAAAAACUCUAUAUCCUUUUUCACAAGUUGCAUAUCCCACAAACACUCCCUUUGUACUCUUAGGAUCCCGCUUGUGUCUCAAUUCAGUUGGCACAUGAACAUAACACAGAGAACCAAACACUUUCAGAUGUGCAAUUCCAGGCUUCCUUCCACUAUAUGCUUCGAAUGGAGUAAUGUUGUUGAGAGCUUUGGUAGGACAUCUGUUCAGCAAAUAGAUAGCUGUAUGCACAGCUUCUGCCCAUAGGAAAUAAGGCAUUCCCUUCUCAUGUAACAUUGAUUUUGCCAUCUCAAUGACAGUUCUAUUCUUCCUCUCAACUACUCCAUUCUGCUGAGGAGUAUAGGCCAUUGUAAGCUGCCUUUGAAUGCCAUUAGCUUCACAAAACUCCAAAAAAUCAGUAGACAUAAACUCUCCACCCCUGUCACUUCUUAUGCACUGAACCUUGUGUCCAGUUUGUAAUUCAGUCAUGGACUUGAACUUCUUGAAACAAAAGAAGGCUUUUGACUUGUUUCUCAAGAAGUAUACCCAAAUCAUUCUUGUGAAAUCAUCUAUAAUCAGCAUGAAAUAUCUGUUCCUUGCAACAGACUCAUUUCUCAUGGGACCACAGAGAUCCACAUGUAUUAGCACUAGUACUUUGCUUGCUCUUUGAGCUUGAUCUUUUGGAAAAACAUUUCUGUGCUGUUUUCCAAAUUGGCACCCGUCACACACACCACUUUGUUCUUCCAAUUUUGGUAAACCAUGUACCAUUUCUUUAUCACUUAGCUGCUUCAAUCCUCCAAAAUGCAGAUGACCAAAUCUCUUGUGCCAAAUCCAUGUGGAUUGAAGAAAACUAGUCUUCAUUAGUAACUGUUUUUCAGCUAGAAAAGAGACAGGAUAGCAUCUGUUACUCUUCAUUUGCACCUUUAUGAUGAGAUAAUCCAUGGAUGGGCUAUCAAAUACCCUGCACAUCCCUUCUCCAAACACUAGACAGUACCCAUGUUCAUCCAUCUGCCCAACACUUAGCAGAUUUUCUUUCAAUCCUGGCAGAUACAUUACUUCUCUGAUGUAUUUCCUGCCCUUUGCUGUAUCAAUACUCAGUGAGCCAAUACCAGCUACACUCACUAAUGCACCAGUUGGCAUUUGUACUCUCCCAGCUACAUUAGUUCUCACAUCAACCAGCAAAUCUAAAUUUCCUGUCAUAUGAUUGCUGCAGCCACUGUCAAUGUACCAUUCAUUGGUUUUGAUCUCAGUGGUUGAGCAAUUGGCAUAAAACAGGUUUCCUGUAACCUCCAUUUGAUUUACACAAUUAGCCUUCUGCACAUUUUUGCUCACUGUACAGUCUCUAGCAAGAUGUCCAACUCUGUCACAGUUAUAGCAUUUUGGUUUUCCCUUAUACCUGCACUCACCAAAAUGAUGCUUUGAACACACCUUGCAUUGAGGCUUUGUGUUUUCCUGAUUUGAGAACUGUGUUGAAGUGUGGUUCUGUGCAGAAUAAUUAUUCUGCUGUGUCUUGUCUUUUGCCUCCCAUGACUUCCCUUUAGAGUUCCAGCUUCUCUGUGACUUAGAUGAACCAGACUGAGAAGCAUUUUUGUUCUGACCCUUUGAAUUCACAGUGAAUGAGGCAAAUGCCUUCUCAGCUGUAUCAACACUAUGCAUUUCAAGCCUUUGCUCCCGACUCUUCAAAAUGGCAGUUACUUCCUGCAAAUCCACAGUUUCUAGUGUCUUUGUGUUUUCAAUCACAAUGCAUAUAGGGUCAUACUUCUUACUUAGACUAAUUAACACCUUCUGAACCUACCUCUCAUUUGACAGAACUUCACCAAAUGUUUUCAUUUGGUUAAUCAAUUCAGUUAGUCUAGUAAGAUAUUCAGAUAAGGUUUCACUAUCACGCAUCCUACUGUAUUCAAACUCACGUCUAAGGUUUUGAAGCUUUACCGAUCUAACAUGCUCUCCACCAUGAUAUUCUGAGUACAGCAGAUUCCAAGCCAUCUUUGCAGAGUCAGCAUUGGCAAUUCUGGGAAAAAUCUGAUCAGAAACAGCAUUUUGAAUGAUACCCAAGGCCUUCGCAUCCUUCAUGAGAAUCGCAGCUGUUUUCUCAUCAACUUCUUCUUCUGAACCAUCCUCAGAUUCCUGCUUCGUCUUUGAAUCUGGGAUUAAAAACCCCUUCUCUACCAAACCCCAUAAACCAUAUGAUCUGAAUAUGGUUACCAUCUUAAUCCUCCAAAAUUCAUAGUUCUCACCUGAGAAAAUGGGGAUUCUAGCCUCUGAACUUCCAGAUCCAGCCAUUACGAAUUUCAGAUUCGCCUGGAAACAAGAUGUUUUCAGAUUUGACCCUUGAUCGAGCUCAAUCAGCUUCGUGAGCUUAGAAUGAGCUCACCUCGAUCGAUUUUCUUCACAGAACAACGCCCAGCUUCAGAUAAUCAAACUUGGCUCUGAGGCCAUGUUAGAGUUUUAGGAUCUGAGUGUUAGAUAUUGUGAGAAGAGAGAAGAGAAUUUAGUGAAAAUUUCCAAUACUGCUCUGCUAUACGUGUAGCAGAGAGAACAUUCUCUUUUGCUAUAUAUUUUCAGUACAACAACACACACUUGGUGUGAGAAGAAAAAUGACUGUUAUGCACAGUACCAGCUGGAUGCUUUCCAUCAAAGUAAUCUCAGCCAUUCACUAUCUAACCAAUCAAGCUAUGACACCUGGACUAAGUAUAAAGAAAUACAACUAAGCAGAAAACAAGACUCUUAAUCCUGAAAUCAACUUAAGCACUUAUAAUUCAACAUUGUUACCAUAAGAGCCAGCUCCGACUUUCUUUAAUUUCAGUCCUAACGGGGUUUCAUCUUCCACUCAUCUUUGCUCUUCUCAGUGUAAGCUCUGCAAUUUGAUUAACUUUCCCAUUAUCUCUCACUGUACUCUAUAUAAAGGAAUAAGUGUCGUCCACUAAUUAAUUACACUUUGUGAGAUUUGAUUUUAAUUAGAGUUCGAAUUGAUGUUGCAGCUAGCAGCGGUGGCACUGGCAAACCAUGCUGCUCAACCAGCACCUCAACUUUACUGGAACUCCGUCCUGCCAAACACACAAAUGCCAAGAGCUAUCAGUGAACUUCUGCAUCCUGGUUUGUGUUGAAUAAAUAUAGUAUGUUACUGGAGUACGUAUGGCAACAUAUUCACAAAUGUGUCACGUAUUUUCCAAUAUGACGUUGAUAUAUAAUUGCAGACUCCACAAACGAAGAAAAGAGCACAAAUGUCAUGAAUGCUGUUGGGAAUGGAAAGCCAAUUGACCACAAGGGCAACCUGAAAAUACUGUACUACCACAGCUUGCACGACGCCCAUUUUCUUACAAGAGUGAUGAUCGUCCCACUGACAAUCAACUCCAUUAUAAAAACGUAGCUAUUUUCUUCUUGGAGAAGGACAUGCGCCCUGGCACAACAAUGAGCUUCCAAUUCCCUAGAAAUUCAAACACGGCUACUUUCCUGCCACCAGAAAGAGCUCAAUCGAUCCCCUUCUCCUCUAACAAACUACCAGAAAUUUUCAACCAUUUUUCAGUGAAGCCAACAUCUGUGGAAGCCAAAACAAUUAAGCAAACAAUCGAAGAGUGUGAGGCUCCAGGCAUUAAGGGAGAGGAAAUAUAUUGCGCCACAUCUUUAGAAUCAAUGGUUGAUUUUAGCACUUCGAAUUUUCGAACAAGAAACGUUCAAGCAAUCUCGACAGAGGUAUUGGAAAAAGGUGCCACCAUGUCCAUGCACAAGCAUACAACAAUGCCGGGACUGAAGAAGUUGGCAGGUGACAAAGUCGUUGUGUGUCAUAAGCAGAACUAUCCCUAUGCUGUGUUUUACUGCCAUGUAAUAAAACCAACAGCAGCUUAUGUUCUCUCCCUGAAAGGCGAUGAUGGGGUGAAGAUUAAAGCAGUAGCCAUCUGCCAUCUAGACACAUCAGAAUGGAACCCAAAGCAUUUGGCCUUCCAAAUCCUCAAAGUUAAGCCCGGAACAAUUCCCAUCUGCCAUUUCCUUCCCACUGAUCAUAGUGUCUGGGUUCCGAACCACAAAUCUGCAUGAUCAUCACUUAGCACUGUACGUAUAAUAAGCUUGCACCCCUGUAUAAUUAUCUCCCUACUCUACUUAUUUCUGCCUCUUCAUGUGGUGUAAGAUAUAUGAUGAGAUGAAGUUUUUGGGAUUAGUGGUCGGGUUGCCUUAAAAACACAGAUUACAGAAACUGCUUGAACUUAACCCGAUCAUGUUUUCUCUUGUACUCGUAAAGCAUGCUGUUGUGGUUCUACUUAAUUUCGUUCUCCCCAAUGUUUGAGUGUUUAAUUGUUACGUUGGAUAAUGCUUGUAGUUAGAGAAGCCUUCAUUUAUAUCAAAGUCCUCAACUUGUAAAGAUAUCAAUGGUCCUAGUGCUGCCACGUGUAAGAAGAUUGAAGAAUAAAGCUGUUGAGAUAUUGUUAGACCUGUUAUGCAGUUUAGGAAAACUGUUAGUAUUGAUAAGAGAAGGUUAGAGAUGUUAGAGAGGUUAGAAAACACGUGAACAAGGCUUUAACUCAGCUGAUAUAAAGUCUGUAGUUGUGCUCAGUUGAACUUAAUGAGAAAUACAACAAGUCUCUUCUCUAUCUCUGAAAUUCUCUCUGCUCUCUCUGCUUUACUUCUUUUGUCUCUGCUCUACAUUUUUUUUCAAUCUUCCUAUCUUAACAAAACUAUCAAGAAUUAAUGCAUCCAGAAACAUAUAUACCAAGACGCAAAACAACAUAUUUUUCAUGCUCUGUCUGUAACACCAAAGCAAACUUCCUUUAUCACAAAAGGAUCAAAUUCCAGUACUAAUCUAAUCCAUCAUGUAAAGCAUACAAUCUACAAGUGCCUCCCUUAAUUUGUCCAUUGGAUAUAUAUGUCACUUUUUGGUAAUUUGGUAUAGCAGCACCACGUAGUCUUGAAAUAGUAGUGCGGCUAUACCAAAUAUACCAUUUGCCCCUGCAUUUAACAGAAAAGUAAACAAAAUUGACGGUAGAACUAUUUGUCCUAACGAAACUGCAGUUGAAAGACCAUGAGAACGAUUUUGAAAAUUGAGGGACUCAAAUGAAAAUUGGGUCUAAGUUCAAGAACCAAUAAAACGAUUAACCCAUAGAUUUUGGAUCCAGUACCACAUCCCAAAGAGAAAACCACAAGUUUGCAAGCAAGUUUGUCCAUAAUAACACUACGUACAGUAUGGGCAGUGCGCUAGACUCAUCUCACUUUCUCAACCUAUCCUAUAGUUGUCUAAAAGAGUUUCUAAUUUAAUGUACUGAGAUUUACGAAAGAAAUAUCAGAGAAACAAUUUUCAGGCAAUAAAAAAAUGUCUUGGCAAGAAAAUGUACAAUUUGUUACAUAACUUAUUAAAUAUGAACAGUUGAAAGAAAAAAGAAUCUGGAUGAGGGAUUUGCAAAUUCCUAUGGCCCAAUUACCUUUUUUUCUUUGUUGUUUUUUUUUUUUUUUUUUUGGUUCUUUUGAUCCAGUAGCAUAUUCCAAAGAAUGAAAACCACAGGCAUGCAAUGCAAGCUCUUUUCCCACGUUUUCCUCUGUUUUUCUCCUAUCAUGGAAGUGAUUAAAACACACCUCUAAGCUUGUUUUGCGUUUGGUAGCCGAGUGUAAAAGCUCAAUGCAAGAUAGUUUGAGGUAGAAUUUUCUCCUAUUUUAUUAGGACAAUGAUAAUUAAAAAAAAGUGUGAUUCAUUGAAUAUUUGCGGGGUUUUGUUCAGACCUGACAAAGUUCUAAGUCAACACAUCAAAUUCCUUUUUCCAACAUGCAACAAUUGUAUUUGAUUCCCAAUUUUUUCUGAUAUACAUCACAUCAUGCCACUUGCAUCAAAUGAAUUUAAUUGAGUGAGGCAAUGGGAAGUAAUUAAGCUCUGUAUUCGUGGGUGGAGUGUUACUUCUGGAACCCUAAUAAUUCGUCCCUACAGGACUCUAGAACUCUCAAACUUCUUACAAGGACUACUUAACUCUAUAGCUUAAUGCAUAUAGCAUAUAUAUGCAAACACAAUUAGAAAUUCUACAACAGAAGCAAGAUCAAUCUCACUAUGCCUUCUAAACAAACAAACAAAUAAAACAAGCAUAUUAAUUGCUUUAAUCACUCUACUAACAUCAACACAGCACACUUAGUUUACUAACAGAUGAUAUAGAAAGGAAAAAAAAGGACCAAUAGGGAGAAAAUGGUGAACUAAGGAGAGACUAAUACUUCUGGUCCUUAGAAGGCAUAACAGAAAUAAUAGAGCACACUGCUUGAAUGCAAGUCAGUAUUAGGAGCAAAACAGCUGCAAUGAAAGAAAUAGUUGCCCAAGGUGUAUUGAAAUAAUGUUGCCUCAAAUUUGCCUUCCAUUUGUUCCAAGGCUUUCUGCAGUAGCUAUUAAGGCGCUCAGAAAGAAUAGCAAAGUAGAAGCUUUCACGAUACACUGCAAUUCCUUUUCCGAGGUUGUUAAUCAGAGUGCACACCUCAUUGUAGUCACCAAGCAUAUUUUUGACAAUCCCAUCCUUCAGAAGGAACUCCACAUCCUUUUCGGUGUUCACAAACUCAUCCAUGAGUGAAACAUAAUCACUUAUGUAAUUCUUACGGCAAUGGCACUAUUCAAAGGCAAUGAGGUUACGGAGUGUGAGCUCUGUGUAAUCGUGUAUUUUUAGUUUUGGAAUUUCUAGAAUCCCAUCGUUGAAUUGUGUUAACGCAGCUUUCCUUUCCUAGCCUACACGGAAGUCAACUUCACAAUCUCCUCCUAGCAAUUAGUCUUUCCUGCUGUAAAUCAGAUUUCCUACUGUAAAUCGGAUUGUAUUCAUGUCUAUAUUAUUUCCUACUUUAAGUAGAUAUCUUGUACUAGUAUAAAUAGGGACUUUGUGUAAUCUGUUAAAUACAAGGAAAUAUAUACUCUGCAUGGUAUCAGCCUAACCUAGGGUUCUCUCUCUCUCCCUUAUUCGAUCCUCUUCUCCUUUAGGUCCACCUCAUGGCUUUGUCUGAAUCCACCAUCUCCCUCCCAAGCCCCAACUCUUCUAUUUUAUCAAGCUUAUUGACUCCAACUAUCUUCUUUGGCUCCGCCAACUCAAACCCUUUUUAGUCGGCCAUGACCUCUGGAAAUUUAUCGAUGGCAUUCAUAAACAACCUUCUGCCCACACCUCCACCUCUACCACCGCAACACCCACAACCACCACCACUCUUACCCAAAUCAAUCAUGCCCAUGCUCAGUGGUACCAACAAGACCAACUCAUUGUUAGCUACAUCACCAAUACACUCUCUGAGUCCAUUCUCUUUCUCACUGUUGGUUGCACCUCUGCCCGGGAUCUCUGGGAGUGUCUCCAACGCCACUUCUCUCAAUCCAGUAUGGCCAGUGAAUCUACUCUUCGUUUUAAACUCAUGGAUUUGCAAAAAGGCUCUGAACCCACUUAUGCUUACAUUCGUCAUGCUAAGUCCUUUGCCGAUUCACUGGCUGCCAUCAAUGAACCUGUCUCCCCAAAAGAACUUGUCACUACUGUGCUUUGGGGUUUAAGACCCUAUUGCAACAUCCUCGUCACAGCAAUUCUCAAUUUCCCUCUGCUUCCUAACUUUGCUAAUCUUCGUGCUCGUUUGUUAGCAUUUGACGCACAGACUCCUUGAAUCUCUCCUGAUCAAAACACAGCGCAAAUGGCCACCCAAUCCUCUCCUCACACCACCGGUCAUACUUCCUUCCCUUCUCACCGUGGUGGUGGCUCUUCCAACAACAGGCGUGGUGGCCUCGGUGGCUGGCGCAAUAGCGGCCGGGGUGGCUGGCGCAGCUUCUCAUCUUCCUGGAGCAACCCGUGGAAUGGCUUCCAGCAGCUCCAAUGACCUAAUCAACCAUGGCCUCCUUUUGCUCCAAGUUCUGGAUCUCAAAGCAACUGGCCUUCCUUUCAGCCUCCUUGGGCCUAAUCUGCCGCUUCUAUCAAACACUUUGCCCGGCCCAACUCAGCUCCUGGUGUCUUGGGACCCGCUUGGUGCACUACCUGCAAUACCAAUCACAUACUACUACAAUAUGUCCUCAUCGCUACAAUGGCCCAGAAUCCUUUCUUUGCUAGGGCUCAAUUCAUGUAGCCACCUGACUCUACUUGGUACCCUGACACAAGUACCACUCAUCAUAUGAUUGGUAGUCCUUCUAAUCUCCAAAAUCAAUCCUUCUAAUCUCCAAAAUCAACAGCCAUAUCAGGUUCAUAAUUCUGUAUUUCUUGGUAAUGGAGAUUCUCUCCCUAUCUCUCAUACUAGCUCUCUCUUUUGUCUUCCAUCUCUUCGUACUAAUCUUCUUUUUGUUGCCCAUUUUACUUGUGAUAAUUUAGUUUUCUUUGUCUUUACUCUUGACUUUUAUCAAAUCUAUGACUUAUGUACUGGUUCGUUACUCUUUCAGGGCCCUUCUAAAGAUGGUCUUUACCCACUUUCCAUCUCCUCUCACUCAUCCAUAGUCCCCCAUGCCCUUACCACCGUGCACUCUCCUGCUUGGCAUCAUUGCCUUGGCCAUCCAUUCCAUCGUGUGCUCUCUCAUUUAGCGCCAUCUCUAGGCUUUAAAGUUUCUCAUGCUUUCUGUAAGGAUUGUGCACUUAGCAAAUCCACCAAACUGUCAUUUCUUAGUAAUAAAACCUUUGCCCCAUCUCCCUUUUAUUUAAUUCACUCUGAUGUAUGGAUGUCCUCGGUCAUUUCUGUCACUGGUUAUCGCUAUUAUGUCUUGUUUACAGAUGACUUUUCUCGUUACUCCUGGAUCUAUCAUAUGCACCGUAAAAAUGAGGUCUUUUCUCACUUUCAAACCUUUCUUGCUAUGGUUAAAAAUCAAUUUCACACCACUGUACAAAUUCUUUAAAGUGACAAUGGCACUGAAUAUGUUAAUAAUGCUUUCUCUGAUCUUUGCAGUCAACUAGGCAUCCACCAACGUUUCACAUGUCCCCACACUCCCCAACAAAAUGGCCUAGCUGAACAUAAACACAGACACAUUGCCACCAUGAUCUGUCCCCGGUCAUUUAUUCAACCAUCUUGACCUUUUGCUUGAUCAUUUUCCACAAGCAACCGUCCACGUACCCCAAUAAUUUAAAAGGGCUGAUGAUCUUUAAUUUGGUGAAAGCUUCUAUCUACCUACCGUGCUAUAUAUGAGCUAUGCAAUCGUGACCGUGUUACAUGACGUCCCAAUGUCGUAGGGAUAAAAAAAUAAUAGUCAUGGUUUUCUUAUUAAUGUCAAUACAUUCAUAGCAAAGAGCUUGUAGCUCUAGUGGUUAAGAGCAAUUACCCAUGCACUUGAGAUAUUUUGUGUUUAAAUCCCCUCUUCCCCAAUAUUUCUUGUAUAAAAAUAAAAAUAACAAUAAUAAUGACAUUAAUGUUGUAUUCUAUAAAGUGUUGGACAUGUUUUAUACCCCUUUCUUGCAAAUUACAGUUUGCCACGUGUACAAAAAUAAUAGAUAAGUGUUGGACAUCAAGAGCACUUACAUAUAGGUUUAAUAGGUAAGUUUUGAAUAUUUCUGUAUUUAGCUUUAAAUAUUGAAAAUCAACCUAUUAGCAUAUUAAAGAUUUGUCCAUAUUCGACGUACAUUCUCUUAUUUUUCUCUCAUUGAAGUAAAUACAAAACUAAGCACAUAGUGGGAAAGUGCGUCACGAUUAGGGGUGGGUUUAGUCUAGGUUGGUUCAUUUUUGGGCUCAAUUUGAACACCGAACUGUAAGCUUCGGUUUGGCUAUUUUGGAAACCGAAACCAAACCAUAAUUGAUGAAAACCGACCACUUCGAUUACCUUCUGGUCUUCCAACCAGAAGAAAACUCAAAACUUUAACCAUACCAAGUGCAACAGAAUUACACCAGGCUGGAUUCAAGUUUAUGAUGGUUAAAGAUAAAAACUUAUUUGACAUACAAUUUGAGAAUGGAAUCCUCAAAAUUCCACACCUGCGAAUACGGGGUUUAACAGAAAUUUUCUUCCGCAAUCUUAUUGCCUAUGAGCAGUGUGAGCUUCAUGAUCAUUACAUCAACGACUAUGUCUUCAUCAUGGACCGCCUGGUCGACAGUGCCAGGGAUGUGGAAUUGCUUGUGAAGAGUGGAAUUCUUGAAUCUAUGCUACCGGACAGCGAGGCAGCAGGGGAAUUUAUUAAUUCUCUUGACUUGGGGCCUAUUUUAGGCAAGCUUGAAACAAGACUAUUUCAGUUCACCAUGGGCUGGCCUGUCUAUUAUUGUAGCCGCUAUACUAGUUGUGCUCACAUUUAUUCAAACAGUGUGCUCCGUAAUGGCGCUGUAGGUUCUUCAUUUCCUCAAUUUCAUGUUUAGUGGUUGCAGAUUUGUUGCUCAUGUACGUGUUUAUCUAAAGUUAAAUAAGAGUGAUUGACUGGAUUGACUGUUAGUCUGUUAGUUUGUUUUUCUGGGGUUUUUCCCCCCUGUUCGUCAAAAAAAAAAAUAAAAGAGUGAUGGCUUGUGCCUAUGAAAAUUACUUAGGAGUAUGCUCCACAGAGCCAAAAUAAAUAAACUAGGGAAGUGGAGGUUCUUCUGUUUGUAUAUAAAUGAGCAAUUCAAACUCUCAGUGCCAAGGGAGUUACCCUUGAUACAUUUGUUAAAAAUUAUAUAUUUGGUCUUACAUCAAACAAAUAAUUUGAAGGGCUUUUUUGACAACUGCUGACAGCGUUUGGCAGAAAAGUUUAGAAGCGCUUCUACGCUUCUAGAUCAUAAAAGUGCUUUACCAAAAAGCACUUAGAUUUCUUAUGAAAAUUUCAACAUUUUUAUAAUAAAAGCGCUUGCUAGAAGCACUUAUAAGCAGAAGUGCUUCAUAGAGAAGCAGUCCCAAACGAGCUUGAUUUUCAAAUGUGCUGCUUAAGAAGAAAUUUAAUACGUUUUGAAAACAAAAAAAAAUACGAAAUUUAAUACGUUUGUUUUACAAAUUGUAUUAAUUGUUAUCAAUAAUACUUGUGCACACCCACAACAUACUUCUUUCUUUCUUUAUUUUCCUUCAGUACAGUUCUGCCUUUCUUUAAUUAUUUUUAACGAAUGCAAAGAGUUUGUCACAAAAUCAAGGAUUGAAAAAAAAAGAGAGUAAAUUAUGUGCUAGAGAAACUUUCCUGCAGAAAUUGAAGAACAACUCUAGUUUCUCUCUUUCGCCUUGUACUCCCGCACUGAGGUUAGUAUUGUUAUAAUGUGCAGAUUAUACGGUCACUCUUGUAUAAUGGCGAGAAGGCUCUAAUUAUAUUUUUGAACCUCUUUGACAGGACCCGCCCCGAAUUUCCCGAAACCCAAGACGAAUUCUGUGGAAAUUCCCUACAUCACCCCGAUGUUGGGCCCACUUCUAAAACUAUAUCAUUUUUCCUAAAAAGGAAUAAGGGCACGAGACUUUCUACCGAAAUUUCGGCAGAGUCUCUCCUGUAAAUUGAACAUUUCCCAAAAUUUCAACCUGCAUAAAACACAUUUUAUAUUACCCAACUGGCAGCAUGCACAAAAUAAUAACAUGCAAUUCACAUAAACGGCCUCUGGCCCUCCGGUAAUUCAGAGCAAUGCAAACUAGCAACUCUAAACCUAAUAAAACAACAUAAGUAACAUUUAGCCAGCGGCUGCACCCAGGCACUACCCUAGGCUACCUACGUACCCUUACUAAGGGAUCAAGCCACACGUAGUUCUUUCAUACAAAAUUUCCAAAUCCAUCAACAUGCAAUCAAUUACAGAAUCCCAAACAAAAUCUUUCUCAAACAUCAUUAGUUCCCAACUCAGUAUAAUAAUCCUUAAUUCAUCUCUGUAAUAAUCACAAUAUCUCCCCAUACGCCGGAACUACCAACACCACGUAUGGAGCCUGCCUGUACGCCAGAUAACCAACGACACGUGGGACCUCAUCAUCAUAUCACAUAAUCUCCCCAUACGCCGAAACUACCAACACCACGUAUGGGGUCUGUCAACACGCCGGAUAACCUACGACGUGUGACCUCAACAUCAAAUCACAAUAUCUCCCCAUACACCGGAACUACCUACGCCACGUAUGGGGUCUGUCCACAUGCCGGAUAACCUACGACACGUGGGACCUCAUCAUCAUAUCACAUAAUAUAUUAACGAUCAAGAAAUAUCACUACGGUCAUUUAAUCCUCCUGGGAAGGUAAAACUAUCUCAGGAGACUCACGGUCAACCAAGGGUCAAACUACCUCAUACUUGGACAAACGAGCCCACGGAGCCCACAACCUCCGUUUUACUAUCCAAGAGUUCCUAUAGGUUCUACAAGGUUUAGGAUACACGGCUUGCAAGUUUGGUCAAGAUCAGACGGUCGGAUCGCUCACGAUAGGACGGUUACUGCAAACCUAGCCCUAGGGUUGGCAUUUUCGGAGUAUCCGAAACUCCGUUUUACGAUCUGUCGAAUCAUAGACGAUCCUAAGGAUUUGCAGACUAACUAUAAUAAAUUCAAGACCAUCCAACGGUCUAAACCUAUCGAACCCGGAUAACGCGCAAUAGGCAAUAUCCAAAUUGAAAUCCGAGCACACCUACGCACUCGUGAGGACUAGGAGAUUACAUCGGGACAUAGUGCCCUUUUUCUACAGUGCCCAUGAGCCGCCGCACGCACCAGCAACGCGUGGGUGCCCAAAGCGAUUAUGCAUCGCCAAAAAAUCUCAAAACCACGGCUCAAGACUCCUACCCUAGGUAUAACACCCUAUUUGGAACCACUUUUGUUCUUGGACCUACCCCAAAAACUGAUCAGAAGUGGCCGGAAUGGCUGAAAUGUAAUUCAAAAAUCAAGCUACCAACGCUCAAAAUCGAUGCAAUCCUACCCAACCAUCAACUAGAUUAUGAAGAAUGGAUAAAUUUCCAUACCUUGAUCGCCAACAAUGGCGGCCGGAGGAGAGAGAUCUGAUCCGGCGAAGUUCGAGUGAAAACGGCCAAAAAUCAUCUUUUUCAGGCGGCUGGAGGGCGACCGAUGUCAGGGAAGGGCAGGGUCGUGACGCUAAGGCUGAGCCUGUCCUUUUGGCACCGGUCCCUUCCGCAGCCGUGUCCGGUGGCUGGAGUUUCGAAGAGAGAGAGAGAGAGAGAGAGAGAGAGAGAGAGAGAAAUCUGAUUUUUAUCAAACCUUUUUGCCAAAAUUACGGUUAUGCCACUGAGGGUAUUUUGAUAGUAUCUCUCUCGUUACAACUUCGAUUCGAGCCCACCACGUGUGUACGGACUCAUCUAACUGUGUUGUACGCAACGGUAUAGUCGAAAUUCCCAAAUUAUUUCCUUGUCAAAAAGUCAACUUUAAACAUUAUAAAAUAUUUUAGGGAAAAAAUGGUAUUUUCUCUCAAUAAAUUAGUAACUAAUUUAUUUAGGACUGGGUCAUUAUACUCUUUUUCGCUUCAAUGGAUGGGAAAAAAUUUUAUGUAAUAUCCCACAUCGACCAACGAAGAGGGGGCGAUGUGUCUUAUAUGUACAUGCCCGCCUCCAUCUAGCAUAAGGCCUUUUGGAAGCUCACUGGCUUCAGAGUCAUGGGAACUCCGAAGUUAAGCGAGUUGGGGGCUAGAGCAAUCCCAGGAUGAGUAACCCACUGGGAAGUUGCUCGUGAGCUUCGAGAAACAAAACCGUGAGGGCAGAGAGAGGGGCCCAAAGCGGACAAUAAGGCCUCGUGCUAGAUGGAGGCGGGCAUGUACAUAUAAGGCACAUCACUCUCUCUCCGUUGGUCGAUGUGGAAUGUUAGAAUGGAAUUGUUACCUUUGGUGUGGAGGUGUUCUAUCAUUUGAGCAAGAAAUUCCCACAUAUUCUUCAACUAUUUUUCAAGCAUGCAUAUUCCUCCCUAUCAAUCUUUGGUUUCUUCCUUUACUGUGCAUAGUAAGGAUCCAGUCAGGGACGGACCGUCGCUAUGACUAUCCUGGGCUAUAGCCCAGGCAAAUUAUUUUUUUUUCUAGUCUAAAAUAGCAAUCCCACCGCUUGCUGUAGUACUUGUUCAGUUCGUCACAAACAUGAGCAUAAUAGAAGUUAUCAACAUCUAUAUAGGAACCCCAAUGAAAAGGCUGUUAACUAAUAAUGAAGUUAACCCGUCAAUUUUUCCGCAUAUCAGAUAUCUCUCAGAAUAUGCGAUUCCAUAUUCAAUAAGCCACUCCACAUGCCCUGAGGUUUUCAUCAAACCACCCAUUAAGGAAACAUACUGACUCAUGUAAUUAUCAUUACUCAUCGGGUAAUGCAAUUGUUCAAAGGCAAGGACAUUUCUCAUUAUUUAUGUAGCGAACCCCAAUGGAAAUGGUGGGAUCUUCAGAACCCCAUCGGUGCUACUGAAUUGUAUGUCAAAUAUGUUUUCACCUUGUCACGCCUCAAACUUGACUCCAGCGUGCUGUAAUUCUGUCAAGCUGGGUAUGGAUGAUGGGAGUUUGAUGCAGGAGCAUAGGGGUGGAUCAAGAUAGAUAUUUACUAUUUAAUUAGUUAUUUCAUGAUAUAUUGUUAUUUUCUUAUUUAGGUAGUUUUAUGAUAUCUUUUAUUAUUUAUGUGUGAUUUUAUAAUUAAUUAGUAUACUUUUGGACCAAGUAGCCUUGGUGCUCAAGUCUUGUAAAGCCUAUAAAUAAGGCUAAUGUAAUAGUUGUAGAAUAGAUGUCGAUGAUUAAUAAAAUCGUUUAUUUGUGGCAUGGAUUUGCUACGAUAUAUGUGAGUUUGCACUAGCCCUAGAUUUCAGUGCUCGUGUAUGUGGUUGGUGACCUGUGUCCGGAUCCCGAUCCCCAUCAAUUGGUAUCAGAGCUAUGGCUCAAGAUCUGCUAUAUCGGGGAGGUUUUUGGAUGGAGGGUCGUUUUAACAACUACAACGACAUGGAGGAAAUUAGGAGGAUGCUACGGCAACUUAUGGAACACAUUGCUCGCAUUGAAGCUCGAACCCAGAUAGGUAAGAGUUCUGACGGGGAGGGAUGUGUGAACCCUUAUCUGAACCGAGUAGCUCGCAUCGACACUCUAAGCCGUGAGAGUCUCGACGGGGAGUACGAGGGAGAUAGCCCUUUUCAUUAUUGUGCUCCGCUGUGUGAGUCAAGUGAAGAGGGGCACGGUUAUUCUCAUUGUGUCUUUGAAGGUAUAAAUGAAUUUAGUAAUUUUGGUGCAUCUUGUUAUUCAUCAAAGUUAUUAAAUUUGGAUUUACCUCCAUUAUUUGAUCCUUGCAAUUGUGAAAAUUGCAAUAAAAAUUGUUUGGGUGUUCAAAGCAAUUUUGAUAAGCAAUUUAUUGACCAGAACAGUGAAGAGAUGAGAAUUGAGAAAACUUUCGAAGAUAUUAUUGAUUUUAUGGGCAUUAAUAUUUUCACUUGGAAGGUUGCCAAAAAUCUGGUUGAUUUUGUCAAUCGGUUGAAGAUUCUAGAGAGAAACAUUUGCAUUGCUAGAGGGAGUAAGAAGUCAAGAAUAACGAAAUAUUCCAAAUAUCUUUUUAUUUGGAAAGGAAGGUUUCAAUUGGAUGCUAAAAGAUCCAAAAUUAAUAUGCAGCAAUUGAAGAUUCUACUCGGAUUUUCCUUAAUCAAAGGCUUGAAUUCGAGGACGAAUUCUUUCCAACUAUGGGAGUCUGAUGCAGGAGCAUAGGGGUGGAUCAAGAUAGAUAUUUACUAUUUAAUUUGUUAUUUCAUGAUAUAUUGUUAUUUUCUUAUUUAGGUAGUUUUAUGAUAUCUUUUAUUAUUUAUGUGUGAUUUUAUAAUUAAUUAGUUUACUUUUGGACCAAGUAGCCUUGGUGCUCAAGUCUUGUAAAGCCUAUAAAUAAGGCUAAUGUAAUAGUUGUAGAAUAGAUGUCGAUGAUUAAUAAAAUCGUUUAUUUGUGGCAUGGAUUUGCUACAAUAUAUGUGAGUUUGCACUAACCCUUGAUUUCGGUGCUCGUGUAUGUGGUUGGUGACCUGUGUCCGGAUCCCGAUCCCCAUCAGAGUUCCCCUCCAGCUUUUGAUUCCAACGGUUGAUAGAGUUUAAAUAUUUUCCUGAAAAGAUCAAUAAUAUGUGCCACUGAUCUAAAAGUCUCCAAAUUGUCUUCCAAUUUGUCAACAGGCAAUAGAUGUUCGAAGAAACUGAAAGAAAUACAAAUUAUUGAAAGCCCCUCAGUAAUGCUGUUAUUGUCAGCAUUAGCAGGGAGUGUAAUUUUCUGUGGGUCGAAAAGAUCCUCGAGAAUGAAGAAUGGCAACUGAUUUUCAAGCAACCACGUAUCUGUCCAUGCAUCUUGCAACAUACCUGGUUUGUCAAAUAUGCGGUCAUUUUCGUCCCAAAAUUUGAAGUAGUCCUUCAAUAAGGGCUCAAUAACGAAGGCGGCGCCCACUAGAAUGAUUGUUACAAAUUCAUCACUGCUAAACUUGAUGGGUUCUCCAUAACAACGUCUCAAUCUUGCUUCGUGGUCCUUUAUUUUCUUAAUAUAAUCCUCCAAACUCACAUUGGUCCGACCUAUAAAAUCUUGCAGGUAUCUCUGUUUGUUCUCUUCCAAUACGACAUUCAAGCCUUCCUUUCCAUGGUGAAGUGGACCUAUAGAGACCGACUGCCUGAGGUGUGCAGAGCUUUUCAUUCACACAUACGUAGAUAAAAUGUCUGGGGGCUCAGAGAGUGAUGAAUGUGCAACAGCUAAUGGGAGGGUUUAUAUUCCUGAAGUAAGAAAUGAGGAAACACCAGCAGUUGGGAUGAAGUUUGACUCGCUUGACCUCGUUUACAAUUUCUAUAAUAGAUAUGCAUUCUUGGCUGGCUUUGGUAUUCGACUUCAUUCUAGCUUUUGGGGGAAAAAUAAGAAAGAGAUUUUGAGGAAAGAAUUUGUAUGUUGCAAACAAGGUGCAUACAAGAAGGAUGAAACUCGGGAGAGAAAAAGACAACGGGGAAUAAGUAGAUGCAAUUGCAAAGCAAAGAUUGUGGUUGUGAAGACAAAUGGGAGCAAGAAGUAUACCAUUUCUCUUUUUGCAGAGGGACACAAUCAUAAGAUGACACCCUCAGAAAGAAUGCAUUUAUUGAGAUCACACCGUCAUAUUUCAGAUUCUACAAAAGUACUCACAAAACAGUUGGGUUCAGUUAAUAUUCCCAUUCAUCAGAAGGUAAGUAUAUUCGAGGUGCAAUCCGGAGGAAUGGAUAAAAUCGGUUUUAUCAAAAAAGAUAUCUACAAUCUUGAAUGUAGUGUGAAUGGGAAGCUGAGGAACCACGAUGUUGAACUAGUGACCGAGUAUUUUAUGGCUGAACAGAAAAAAAAUGAGGCUUUUUAUUUCAAGAUUGAGGGAGAUGGGCAUGACAGGUUUAGUCGAUGUUUUUGGGCAGAUGCAACUUCUAGACGGGCGUAUGGGUUUUAUGGAGAUGUUGUUGUAUUCGAUACCACAUUCAACACGAAUCGAUACGACUUGACAUUUGCACCAAUGUUGGGAGUUAAUAACCAUGGUCAGACAAUUGUCUUAGCAUGCGCAUUUUUGAGCAAGGAAACGACUGAGUCGUUUGUUUGGAUGUUUGAGGAGUUUAAGAAAGCCAUGCCAGGUGGGGAACCUAAAACGAUCAUUACAGAUCAAGAUGCGGCAAUGGCCAUAGCGAUUUCAAUAGCCUUCCCGAGUACAUUUCAUCGACUUUGCAUAUGGCACAUCACAUCAAAGUUCUCUGUUAAGUUACCACGUGACGCUUAUAAGGAGUAUUGGCCUGAAUUUCAGAAAGCCAUAUGGGAUACUGACAAUAAGGAUGAGUUUGAUGCAAAAUGGAAUAUUGUGGUUAUAAAGGCUGGUUUGACUGACCAUCCAUGGCUAAGUUCAAUGUUUGAUUUAAGGGAAUCUUGGGUUCCAGCCUACGCACGACAAUUUUUUGCCGCUGGAAUGUCAAGCAGCCAAAGAGCGGAAGGUUCUCAUGGUUUUUUCAAGCAAUACAUAUCAAGGAGAAAUUCGUUGAUGGAUUUCAUAAUACGAUUUGAGAGGGCAUUUUCUCAUCAACGUGAAAAAGAGUUAGUUGCUGAUCACGUAGAUGCAUUUGAAGUGGCUCAAUGUCUUCUACCGAUGCCAAUGAACAAACAAAUGGCUACCUUGUACACAAGGACAAUGUUUCAAAAGUUUGAGCAAGAACUAAUACAAAGUACAGCAUGUUUCCUAGAGCUCAAAACAGAGGAUGCAUGUAAAGUUGUGUUCAACGUGAGCGAAAGGAAAAAUUGGGAAACAAGAGUGGCAGAAGUCGUAUAUGUCAAAGAUUCUGACCACGCAUCGUGUAGCUGCAAAAGAUUUGAAUUUGUUGGAAUUAUUUGCAAGCACAUCCUAGCAUUGUUCAGAAGGGACCAGAUUGAAUAUAUGCCCGAUAAAUAUAUUUUGAAGAGGUGGAAGAAAACUGCGAAAUGUGGAUUGGUGUCAGAUGCAAAUGGCAACGAAAUUAAAGACUGUGCAGAUCCUGGCCUUCUAAUAAAGCGGAGUACAAUGUCUCGACUUGCUUCAAAUGUGGUUGAGGAUGCAUUAAUGAGUGAAGAAGGAUGUGAGCUACUGUCAGAGACUCUAAAAAGUUUGCAGGUGAAGUUGAAGUUGCUGAAGGAUGGACCAAGUAAUAACGAAGUUGGAGGGUCCAGCUCUCAAACACAAUAUAUGAAAGACCCUAAGAGAGUGAGGUGCAAAGGAAGGUCGAAAGGAAUAACGGGAGCAAAGGAAAAGGCAAUGAAGCGAGGGAUUAGACACUGUCGGGAGUGUGGACACAUUGGUCAUGAUAGAAGACAAUGCCCAGCCUUGAACACACCGUAAGAUGCUACCACUAUUUGUAAUAAUAUCUAAAAUAUGAAAAGGUAAAAUUUUUAUGUGCUUGUGUUUGAUGUUUAUGCAGGACAUCACCGUCGAACAAUGACAAAUCAACUCCAAUACAUCGUAGUGACCCAUUAUUCGACGAUUUUGACAAGAUGCACAGACCAACUGAAUGAUUGAUAUUUGUAUUAGACGAAAUGUGGUUGUUAUGAAGAUUAAUGAUCAAGUGAAGUUUUAUAGAUUCAGUUUUUGAAUGUUAUUGUGUUUUUGUUCAUGUCCACCGAUGAGCUCUUACUAUGUCCACUGGUAAUUGAAAUGAAAAUUUUCUUGGUUUCAUUCUUCCAAGACAUUUGGAGACAUGUUAAUUUUACGUCUUCUCCCUAUUUAUAAAUUUUCAUAGACAUUUGAUCAAGUUUGAAAUUUGUAGUUAUGUGAAGAAGCAAUGACUCUUACCAUGUAAAAUGGGCAGUUUAGGGUGAAAUUUGUUUUAACAGAGAUUCAUUUUUCAAUUCCUCAGGGUAAUGCAGCAAUUACAGCAGCCAGCUGUUGUUUCCAUUACCAGUAAUCAUUUCCAGCAGCAGCCACUUUUUCCGACUGGUUAUUAGGGGCACGAUUUUGUACACUUUUGUAAGUGAAGGAUACUCGAAGCACUUUGUUGGAACAGAGCAAAUAGAAACCAGCGGGUAAAAAAAAAACAUAACAUUGCAGCUAAUUACAUUUCGAUACAUAGGUGAAAAAUAUUAAAGGGUACACUAACUUACAUAAAUACUCAUAAUUCCACACACAAAAGAACAUUUGAUUGCAAAACAUAUUAUGUGCUUCCUCAUAGCAAUACCACGAUCUCCCCAACCAACUGAACAACGGUAGCCACAAUCACUGGGUCGUACUCGUCAGCUUCUUCUUAGCAGGUCUCACAUGCUUAUGGCCACUCAUAUCCCUAGUGAUAUACACGAAAUAAAUCUUCAGCAAUAUUUGGAAUUUUAUUAUAUAUAAAUAAACCAUAAACCAUUCAGUAAACAAUGUAUAGCACAUGUUAUGUAACUUAUGACUCACGUGUCAGUUUUUUUUUUAACACAUUAGUACUCCAGCUCUUUAAUGUAAAUGGACAUGAUAAGGAGCAUUUACUGAUUCCCGGCUUUCUAUGAUAUUGACUGCUUCUUGAAUAAUAUUUCCAUAUUUGCAAAAUAUAAUGUUAGACAUUAUAACACAUGAUGACUUGCAAUACAUAGUCCCAAUAAUUAUAUAUCAAGCAAAUGAAACUGAUAUUUGUGUUAUUUUAAGUUAGAUAAUGACAUUAAGGGAGUAUAUGUGCAAUACCACGGUCACCCUCAACCAACUGAACAGCGGUAGCCGCAAUCACUUAGUCGUAUCGGUCGGCUUCUUCCGAGCAGCUUUGACGUGCUUAUGCUCAUUCAUGUCACCCCCAUCGUCUAGUAUCUCUCUCACAGCAUCAGGGGACACAUAGUUCCAAUCAUAACUUGUAUGAGUAGUUGCCGCAAAUGCUCGGAAUUUGUCGAAUCCUUCGUUGAAUGCCAACUCCAGUUCAGUAUGGUGCUCUUCGCAUCGCAUAUGGUUCAUCAAACAACCUUUGAUUUCAUCAUUCAUUACUGUAUCCAACUCCUCAGCUUUCAGCUUCCUGCUAUGACUCAGCUUCAAGUACUUGUUCUUUUGGGAUAACGCUUUGUUCACCCUAAUGUUAAGAUCAGCCAAAAUUGCCUCGUCUUCAACACAUUUCUCGUGCCAUGAAUUGAUCAGUCUGGAAUUAUAAUCCAGCUUGCCACUGACUGCAUGUAUUGCCUGUAAUGGAUCAUCGGAGUCCCCCUCACUCCCAAAUGAUGUUGAAAAAGGAAGGGGUCGGCGAGUACAAUGUGGAAAUAGAACCUGCCACUCCAAUUUGUCAUCUUCGAUUGUGUUGUUGGCGCCUGAAGAGGUUGACAUGCUUGAAUAAUCCUCUUUGUUUUGGGAGGAUGAGGAUUGCAUAUGCAAUUUCGUUUGAGAAAGGGAACAUAGGUUUAUAGACCAACAUACCAAAGCUUGUGUGUAGUCAACAUAUGUACUUUUUGGCGGGAAUUUUUUAAAAAUAGGUGUUAGGUUUUGCUUUUCAAGCAUGUCAACCUCACACUCUCCUGACACCACUGCUAGUGGUUGAAACAAAGUCAAUGGAAGUGACAUCUACUUAGUUAACUCAACCAAACUAGUUAGGAUUAAACUUAGAUUGUAUCAGACCAAAAAAUAAUUUCUACUUUGUCAACCAAAUAUUUUUUGGCGGGAACCCUUUUCUUGGUAUUACUAUCACCCCUUUCAUAUAAAAUCUCCUUCCACACAAAACUCACUCCUCCACCGAAUCUGUCUCCAUCUACCGAUACUCUCUCAAGCAAACAAACUCAUUCCCCCCAAAGAAUGAGCAUAAGCACAACCAAGUUUGAUGUGAGCAUAAUAAACACCCCUCCAAACAAAGACCGGCUUCGACACGCAAGUGAGUCACCGGACAAGCAAUGUCACAUUGCUAGACAGAAUGACCAUUUUGUUGGAAGUUUUGAGUCUGAAAGAGUUGUUGCUUUUUGGAAGGAGAGGCAUCUUCAACUUGGUGAUGAAAUCCAAAGGGCAAGGGCACGUUUGGAAUUUGUGGAAGGCCAAAUUGAAGAUGACAAAAGGCAGGCCAAUCUGGAUAGGGCGAAGUUGUAGCGCAUGAAGCGUAGACACAAACGACUUCGGAGUGUAGCUGUUCAAAAAUACAAGAACUCAUCUAAUGUAGUGGAGUCAAAGAAGCGUGUGAUGCAAGCUGGAUUCGACUACUUCCGAUCCUAUGCAAAACUCGUCGUACCCGGGUUUGAUUGGUCAUCUAUUACCGUUUCCGACGUCACCAAAUAUACUCAGCAAGGGAAGUAACCAUUUUGGUUCUCGUGUUUUAGCAGAGGCAAAUAAGUGGAAUUGGAAUUUUGGUUACACUCUGCUUCAAAGCUAUUUUGAUGCUAACUACUAUGGAAGAUUUAAACCUUAAUAUUUUGAUGUCUUUAAUUACGAAAACAGAAGAUGCAAAGAGCUCAUCUACUUCAGCCAUAUGUUGCUGCCAUGUCCAUUUGUUUUUGAUCACUUAUCAGAUUUGGACAUGGUUGCAUCAUAUGCAAUGUUGCCUUUAUUUAUUAUAUGUUAGGACAAGGUUUAUGGAAAAGCUUUUGUGAGUGCGUUUGUGACAAGGUUAUGGAAUUAUUAUGUACACUUUAUAUAUUGUUUUUUGUACUGGUUCAUUUCCUACUAUUUCUUGCUUUCUUUAUAUUUUAUGUUUGUGGAAUCCCUCUCAAAGUUAACAUAUACUGUGAAAAAAAUAUUAUGCAACUGAUUAUAUAAUCACUCAUAUAGACUAGGACAAAUAUUCACUAAGGGUUUUAAACUUGCUUCACUUGUGUGAUGUUAUUGACAAAAAGUAUGGCAUUAUUUAUGUGAUUUGACAUGAUUGAAAAUAUAUUACUGAUUCCCAAUGCGGCGUCAUAUGGACAACGUAUUGAAUACCUGUGACGUGUUAAUAACUCAAGGUGCAGUUGCAUGUGGACAACUUCUUGAAUACCUCUGACGUGUUGAAAACUCUAGGUGCAGUUGCAUGUGGACAACUUAUUGAAUACGAACUGACGUCUUCAAAGCUCUAGGCGUAGUUGCAAUGAUGGCUUCAAAGCAUGUGCAAUUAUUUUUUAUGUACAUUAUUAUAACAAAACAUAUUAUUGUAUAUAGUGAAACUAAAUAUUGUAUUAUUAGAAAUUAUAUUUCGAAUAUUAUCCGAAAUAUACGUGUUAACGUGAAUUUGGGUUAAGAGGAAAGUGAGUUAUGUACAAAUAAUUUUCAUUUUCUCAUUUUCCGGGCAUUUUUUGGAUUUUCGUAGAAUUUAUUACCUAUGUCCACAGAUUGUUGCACUAAAAAAGCCAAAAUAAUAGCAAGAGGACACCUGGAGCGAUCUCAGCCCGUCACUGAUGACUACUUGCACAAGUGUACGUCAGUCAACAUGGCCACACCCUCCCAUUUUACCCUAAAUUAUUAUUUUAUUACUUUUCCUUACAAAAAUCAGAACUAAUUACACACAAAAUAAAAAAAUUAUCCGAAAAUUGCUACGAACUCAUUGACACUCCAUCUCCGUUGCUGAAUUCUCCGAUUCAUUGUUACGUAUUUGUAAAAUUAAUUCCCAACAUUAACGGGAGAUGCUUGUUGAAGUAGGUUAUUCAAGUUGAAGUUAACAAACAUCAAUACUUAGGGUUAAGAGGAAAGUGAGUUAUGUAACACAAUUUGGAUUAUUUCAUUGCGAGACGAAUGAUUUAUAGGUUCUCCUAGUUUUAUGACGUCACAAGUAGGCCGGAGUAAUUUUUGGGGCAUUUUUACGAUUUUCCUACUAUUUUUUACCUAGUUUCAAAGAUUUUUGAACAAAAGAAUCCAAAAUGUAAAAGAAGAUGACACCUGGCGCGAUCUCAGCCCGUCACUUUUCACUACUUGCACAAGUGUACGUCAGUCAACAUGGCCACAUCCUCUCAUUUUACCCUAAAUUAUUAUUUUAUUACGUUUUGUCUUGGAAAAUUCAUAACUAAAUACACAAAAAUUCAAAAUUAUUUCUGAAAAUUGCUACGAACUCAUUGACACUCCAUCUCCGUUGCUGAAUUCUCCGAUUCAUUGUUACGCAUUUUUAAAAUUAAUUCCCAACAUUAACGGGAGAUGCUUGUUGAAGUAGGUUAUUCAAGUUGAAGUUAACAAACAUCAAUACUUAGGGUUAAGAGGAAAGUGAGUUAUGUAACACAAUUUGGAUUAUUUCAUUGUGAGACGAAUGAUUUAUAGGUUCUCCUAGUUUUAUGACGUCACAAGUAGGCCGGAGUAAUUUUUGGGCCAUUUUUACGAUUUUCCUACUAUUUAUUACCUAGUUUCAAAGAUUUUUGAACAAAAGAAUCCAAAAUUAACAAGAAUAUGACACCUGGCGCGAUCUCAGCCAGUCACUUUUGACUACUUGCACAAGUGUACGUUACCGAACAUGGCCACAUCCUCCCAUUUUACCCUAAAUUAUUAUUUUAUUACCUUUUUUCUUGGAAAAUUCAUAACUAAAUACACAAAAAUUAGAAAAACGAUCCGAAAAUUUCUACGAACUUAUUGCGAUUUCAUCUUCCUACUGCAUUCCCUGUUUAAUGGUUAUGCUACAUUAGUAUUUUAUUAUUAUUUAUCCACAAUUAUUAUAAUUAUUAUGAUAUUACUUUUUAGGCUGUCCAUUUGUUAAUUAUACCACAUCCAACUUGUUGAAAACAAUUUUAUUUUCCGUGCGAAUAGGCCAUUUGUAGUGCUUAUCGGUUUCUCUGUUCUUCAAUUUGUUAAUUUUUUUAUUUUUUAGGUUGAAGGGAUGUUUUGAAACAUAAUAUGGAAAUAUACAAGUCAUCCAUUGUACUCCUUCCACACAAAAAAAUAGUCUACGUCAUUCACUGUUCAACACCCUAGGUUAAGACACGUGUAACCAAAUCCGUUCGGAUAUGCUAAGUGGGAAAAUGUCAUUCCCAAGCACUGGUGAAAAGACACUUAUUUACUCCAUGCAUGACUUUUGGUUUACCAAAUAUGAAGAUUGGGGUCGGUGAGCAAAAUAUCUGUGUCAGUAAAAUGUCAUUCCUAGCCAUCUAUGAUGUAAGUAAUAAUUCCGCUAUAUAAUAAAUAUUAUACAUUUAUAUAUAAAACGGUUUAUGACAAAAUACCAACAUUUGAACAACAUUUAAACUGAGAUAGGUAUAACGUAGCCAGCCAACCUAGAAGUGAAGAGAAGCAAGUCCACAAUGCAUCAAAACUGUAAAUUCGUACUAAAACUAAUGCAAAAAUACGUGAUUCCCUCGCACAACUUACUCACGCAGGAUUUUGCACCAAAAAAUACUCUCACGGUGCCAUUUGCAUCGGUUGCAGCAAGUCCAAAACGCAGGAUUUAUCUUGUCUUCACUAGGCCACCCUGGAAUAACAAAAUACCAUUCAUUGUUGUUACAAGCGCUGCACCGAUUGAACUUAAUCUUCCCAUAGUCAAACAUAUCUACGAUAUGUCUUGCAACAAAUGCUCCGCGACAUCUUCCUGUUAAAGCAUCCCUGGUUCCUUUCAUAUCAAUGUUGUUACGUUGAUUCAAAGAACACAAGAAUUGUAAUGCAUCCUCUUUUGACUGACCAAUUCCGGACAUACCAAGUAGUCCAACUACAUAUGCCGCUUCCAUAUGGCCUGCCGUGGCUGCAAUGCGCAUCCCAUACAACGCUUCCACCUUACCGUCUGUGAAAAAACCUUCGAAUGCUUCUCUAAAUAUGGACUCAGGGUUAUCGCAAGCCCUGCAUUGUUGCAAGAAAUGCUGGACUGCAGGUUUGGCACGGUAGCAGAUAGGAUGGUGUGGGUACUUUGCCAUUGAAAUGGUGUUCCACACUUGUGGACUGUUUGCCAAAAUGUUGAACAAUCGGCACACACAUGCCAUACGGAAGAGAUCUUCCGAUGAUUCGGUUGCCACGUAUAACAUCACUUGAAACCAAGCGGACUCCGGGAUAAAGGCUUCGGGCAUAUCGAAAUGGAGAUGCUUCCUUCUCUUUCCUCCGACUGUAGUGAAGUGUUUCGAAUUCAUUGAAAAGUUUUUGGAAUGGAACGAUUUGAGGAGUGGCAGAGGGGAUAAAUGAUAAUAUUUGGGGUACACGUUCUACUUCCGAGCCUCUGUUUAUAGUGUUUUGAAAAGGUGUUUCCAGUUGGGGUUUUUCCAAGUUGACCCUUUUGAAAGAAACUGAAUCCAAGUGAAUUAAAACUUAAGACAAAAGAAGGGAAAACGUCAUAACGGUGCAUACAGAGUCAGACAGUUAAAAAGUUAAUUAAAUGGCUAUUUGCAUAGCCAUUUUUGGGUUUAUCCCACUAUCAAAUUCAUUGAUACAAAUGUGAUGGAUUACUGACUAGUGACAGAAGGUCCCAUCAUAUACUUUUUCAUUUUCGCACACCCAACUAUCCCUAGUAAUGUUAUUAAAAUGGAACCAAUAAUGACGGAUUCUUAUCCAACUAGUUGCCUUAAUGAAAUAUAAAUAAAUUAAUAAAAUUGAAGCAGUGUCCCGUCAUUAGUCAGAAAAUAUAUUUGGUAGUGAAGUAGUUUCUAUUGCUUUUCGGGCUAAAAGAUGUCACAAUGCUGACGGUACAGGUGUCGACAUCGUGACCAACCCACCAAAUGAUCCCAAAAAAAAGUAAUAUAACUCGAUUUGGGCAGAGAUGAGAGAGAGCUGAGUGACAAGUUUAGGGUUAUGAGUGAAGGGGUAUGAAUGACAACUAUGAGUGAGAAGGUAUGAGUCCGAAGAGGUUUCAGUGAGAAGAUUUGAGUGAGAAGAGGUACAACUGAGAAGAUUCAACAUGUCUUCGUCUUCAUCUCCUGCUCAAACAAAGAGGUGUCAGUAUUGUGGAGCUACAAUGGUGCUUCGGGUUUCAAAAUCUGAAAAAAAAUCGAGGGAAGCCAUUCUGGAAGUGUCUAACCUCCUAUGUAAGUUUUAAUUUAAAGAAUAUGUAUGUGGGUGAAAAAAAACCUAUGUCUAACUCUGACAGAAUUAUAUUCCAUAUAUGAUGCCUGCAAUUAGGGAGCCACCAGUUGCAAUGGAUUCGAAUGGGUUGAUGUAACCUCCGCUGAAGCAGAACAUCAAGAUGACACGUAUGAUGUUAGAGUGCUGAACAUGCUGAAGUCCAUUAAGGACUUGGUAUUAGUUUUAUUAGUUGUAUUAAUUGUCAUUUUAUUUGUUCUUUUAAUGAUCAUUUAACUGCACGGUUUAAAAGAUUGUGAAAGUUCUCUCGCACAAGACAUAUUGCACGCACCACCAAUGAGACCCUAAACCCAUUUUGUAAUAUUUGGUAACUGCAUGUAUUUCGCAUGUUAUUGAAUGUUUAUUGAAGGUUUAUUGAUAGUUUGCUGCAUGUAUAUGGAAUAUCAUUGCCCCAAAAUUGGAUGUUUAUUGGGGCCACAAGUAUCACUCAAGUAAGAAUGAAGGGGAGAAACGGACCUUAUUCUUUCUUAUAGUAGGAAGAACAACUGUUAAGUUUAAUAUCCUAUUCAAUACGACUUCCCUAUGGUUGGUGUACUUGGGGACUGAAGUAUAUUGCAUCAUUAUUGUGGGCAAGGGCAUGUCUAUUGUGUGUGUUAAGGGAGUAUUGUGUGGGCAAGGGCAUGUCUACUGUGUGUAUAUUGCAUGUCUACUGUGUGUAUAUUGCAUAUCUAUUCUCUGUAUAUGGCAGGCCAAGUUUGUGUAUAUUGUUUGUCUGUUGUGUGUGUAUUGCUUGUCGGUGCGUUUGUGAAUUGUGGUUCAUUUUGUGUAUAUUGUCUUUGUUUCUACUUUUAUGCUACUGAGCUGCGGAAAACCUCGCAUGUUUAGACACCUAUUAUGAUGCAACACAUUGCGAUUAAUGGUGGCUUGCAUCAACAAUGACAUAUCACUUUGCAAUGAUGUAAUACACUUAAAAAGCCGUCUUCAAAUCCCAAUUCACAUAUGCAGUCUUAAAAUUCUAAUUCAAUGCAGUUUGGUUAACAAACAUGUAAAUGUCAUGAAGGAGUUAGCGGUAGAAUUCGAUAAGGACCCGUACGUCUCUAUUGUGUAUUUACAUUAGUUUGAGAAUGGACAUUCCCAAAACCUUCUCAUGUACCAUUUGUCAUCUUCAACCAAUAUCAUGGGAAGUAAGCAUCUCCCCUUGUUAUCUCCGCAGCCAAUUUCAACCGAAAAAAAGGCAUGUUGUGCGAGGUGCAAGUAGCUAACGGAAGCUUAGCGCUGAAAAGCUCAAUGUACUUUAACACAAACAUGCCACAAUCGCCUCUGAAGCAAAACAAGAACUCGAUCAAUUCAACUAAUGACAUUCUAAUGUAAUUGACAAUUGAAAGUAAUAAAAUUAAAUUGCAAGUUGUGCUUACUCAUUAGACUGUUGUGGAACAUCCACACGCUCUAUUGGCCACGGACACCACCAAUCUCGGCUGCAAUUGUUUGCAUAAACACCUUCUUCAUAAAAGUCGAUGGUGUUGAGAAGAUUUGGAAGCGUAAUUGAUAGCGGGCCGAGUUCUUCCUUUACGAUGUCAUCUGGAAUUAGUGAAACCUUUGAAUCGUACACUUUGAUUCACACAAUACCAGAUCAAACANNNNNNNNNNNNNNNNNNNNNNNNNNNNNNNNNNNNNNNNNNNNNNNNNNNNNNNNNNNNNNNNNNNNNNNNNNNNNNNNNNNNNNNNNNNNNNNNNNNNNNNNNNNNNNNNNNNNNNNNNNNNNNNNNNNNNNNNNNNNNNNNNNNNNNNNNNNNNNNNNNNNNNNNNNNNNNNNNNNNNNNNNNNNNNNNNNNNNNNNNNNNNNNNNNNNNNNNNNNNNNNNNNNNNNNNNNNNNNNNNNNNNNNNNNNNNNNNNNNNNNNNNNNNNNNNNNNNNNNNNNNNNNNNNNNNNNNNNNNNNNNNNNNNNNNNNNNNNNNNNNNNNNNNNNNNNNNNNNNNNNNNNNNNNNNNNNNNNNNNNNNNNNNNNNNNNNNNNNNNNNNNNNNNNNNNNNNNNNNNNNNNNNNNNNNNNNNNNNNNNNNNNNNNNNNNNNNNNNNNNNNNNNNNNNNNNNNNNNNNNNNNNNNNNNNNNNNNNNNNNNNNNNNNNNNNNNNNNNNNNNNNNNNNNNNNNNNNNNNNNNNNNNNNNNNNNNNNNNNNNNNNNNNNNNNNNNNNNNNNNNNNNNNNNNNNNNNNNNNNNNNNNNNNNNNNNNNNNNNNNNNNNNNNNNNNNNNNNNNNNNNNNNNNNNNNNNNNNNNNNNNNNNNNNNNNNNNNNNNNNNNNNNNNNNNNNNNNNNNNNNNNNNNNNNNNNNNNNNNNNNNNNNNNNNNNNNNNNNNNNNNNNNNNNNNNNNNNNNNNNNNNNNNNNNNNNNNNNNNNNNNNNNNNNNNNNNNNNNNNNNNNNNNNNNNNNNNNNNNNNNNNNNNNNNNNNNNNNNNNNNNNNNNNNNNNNNNNNNNNNNNNNNNNNNNNNNNNNNNNNNNNNNNNNNNNNNNNNNNNNNNNNNNNNNNNNNNNNNNNNNNNNNNNNNNNNNNNNNNNNNNNNNNNNNNNNNNNNNNNNNNNNNNNNNNNNNNNNNNNNNNNNNNNNNNNNNNNNNNNNNNNNNNNNNNNNNNNNNNNNNNNNNNNNNNNNNNNNNNNNNNNNNNNNNNNNNNNNNNNNNNNNNNNNNNNNNNNNNNNNNNNNNNNNNNNNNNNNNNNNNNNNNNNNNNNNNNNNNNNNNNNNNNNNNNNNNNNNNNNNNNNNNNNNNNNNNNNNNNNNNNNNNNNNNNNNNNNNNNNNNNNNNNNNNNNNNNNNNNNNNNNNNNNNNNNNNNNNUUUUCCUCUCCCUCAUCUCUAUUAUUUGGCCCUUCACCCCCUUCAAUCCCUUCAUCUUCUUUUUCCUCUCCCUCAUUUCUGUUACUUGGCCCUUCAUCCCAUUGAAUGUCAUCCAUUUCCCCAUAUCCCUUAAAUAGAUGUGAGACGACACAACGAUUCGUCCUCUGUUUCAGUAAAGCUAGGUCCCUCCUUACUUCCUGCUCAAACUGAGGACCUAAACAUUGGUCCAAUAGUUUUUCCAUCCGUAUGACCUUUAAGUGAAGGACGUCUUUUUCCCGCUUUUCUUGAAACAACUCGGACCUCAACAAGCUUACCACCUUGUUCAACUCAUCAAGAUCACCACAUGAAGAAGGAAUUGACUCUGCCGAGACAACAGCAGGGCGAUCCUGUGGCCAACUCCAAUAUGGCUGUCUCAUUUCCUCUUCACUUAGACAUAGCGCCCGCAACUGAACUGACUGUUUCAGAAUACAGACAAGAGUCAUAUUAAAUCAUUCUACUUCAUAAUUUCAUUCAAUCUUAUCAAUAGUUCUAAGGGCUGCAAACCAAACCUCUUUGCUCUGGAAAAAAUAAUUGUUCAACUUUCUCAUCUCUGGAACAGACGUAGUAGUUCUCCAUCGCAAAAUACGCGGGACAGCGGUCGGAUCAACAACCUUGCAGUAAUUCAGGUCCGCCAUUCUAGGAAUUAAUUCAUAUACCCAAAUCUACACAAUUCACAGGACAAAAGUCAUUAUUUAUGUUUUAAAGAAAAACAAAACAUAACUGACAUGAACAUUAUUACCAUGUACCUGGAAAGCAUACGUGAAACCUUUAAAACUCCAGCCACUCCUUUGCGCUUCACUAUGCUUAUCCUUCUUGCCCUUCUCAUUUCUCCGGCUUGUUCCCGUUACCUUACUUUUCCCCUUCCCUCUUCCCUCUUCAUUUUCCAAGCUUUUCACAUACUUUGUUGGUGCAGAAAAUAGACUGUCUUGGGUUUUGUCAAAGGACACCGAACCCCACGGAUACCUGUUGAACGCAUCCAAGUCCUCUACAAGGGUCAGGUAAUUUAGAUUGAUGUUCAAAUGUUUGUCCCUUCCCAAAACCACUAACUCAGCAAAGUAAACAAGAGGUAGCUUGAAGAUGUCAUCUUCCUCUGUGCACCUCACAAAUGCUUCUUCUAAAGCAUUGCAUGUAAUUCCUUCGUCUAUAAAAUAUCUUUUCUGAAGUCUGAUUUCAUUACUCUCUCCACUGGAAACUUCAGGCACUUCCCCAAAACGAAGCCCUGUGAUCAAACAGAAAUCCUGACGAGUGAACUGAGCAACGUCACACCCUAAUAAGAAACUCAGUCCAUCCAAGUCUUUCACACCCUGCCCCGCUACUCUACGCAACACAACCCCAUGCACAAUCUGUCCGCUAAACUGAAUCUUAUCUAUAUUCAGAAGAUGGCCAAAGCAUGAUGUCUUGAAUUGUUCUAAUUGUUCCGCACUCAACUUCGCUCGAAUUGCAGCUAGAGAUGAAUUUGCAUGUGAGCAGUUGUUCACCCGUGAUGAAUAUACCUCUGCCUCUGGCCAUACCAGCUCCACGUUGGAUCCCAUUUCCUCAAAUACAAUGUGAAAUAACGUGAACAUAUAUACUACCACGUAUUUGCACAAUCACAACUAGUCAACCAGGCACAUUACAACUUUUACAAAGUACAUGAGCAUAUGGAUUACUCAUCACAGGCUUUAACAUCAUCAAAGCAAUAUGACAAUUUUUGUGCAAAUACCUGUUAAUGCAAUGAUUAUGUGAAUUACAAACAAUUUCACGUGUUUUAUUUAUGGAUCCAUACUCGUGUGAGUGCAAUGUAGGCAAGUUCUGCACUUCACACACAUGACAAUUAUUGUCAUCUCAUACACAACCCAAAAUAAAUAAAUAAGAAAUAUAGUGGAAGGAAGCAAAGCAAAGCAUGUACUCUGCUAUCUGCUUGCUAAGCAAUUGCCACAUCCUUCUUUCUUUCUACCUUUUUCUUCAGUCACCCACAAUCGUCAUAGAUCAACCUUCAUUUCAAAUGCUUUGCACUUUUAUUCAUGAGUUUAUUAUUAUCUGUUCUCAUUUCUCAUAGGCAAAUUUAGUAACAAAUGAAAUAAUAUUUAUUUCACAAAAUAUAUAAAUUCUAGUGCCAGAGAGGUACUCUUCACUCUGCACUGCUUCAAAUGUGGAAGGUUUUGAGAUGUUAUUGACAUGUGAUUGACUUUAUUUUCAUUCGUUUUUUAACAUAUACCCAAGCAAAAAUUAACAUGCAAUUGAAGCACAAAUAAGAGAUGCCAAAUCCAACAACAUUGAUGGUACAAAUUGGGGAAAACCAUUACUCUAACCCUAAACUCAAAUUCCUUACAUUACUCAUCAAAUGCUUUGCAGUUCUAUUCAUGAGUUUAUUAUUAUCUGUUCAAAUGUUUCUCAGGCAAAUUUAGUAACAAAGGAAAUCAUAUUUACUUCAUAAAAUAUAUAUAUAUAUAUAUAUAUUCUAGCGCCUCUUCUUAAUCUGCACUAUGCACUGCUUCAAAUGUGGAAGGUUUUGAGGGCCUCCUCCAAUUCAACACCAUUAUCUUAUUCAUAUCAUUAUUGACAUGUUAUUCACUUGUUAUUGACUUCAUUUUCAUUCUUUUUUUAACAUAUACCUAAGCAAAAAUUAACAUGCAACUGAAGCACAACGAAGAGAUGCCAAAUCCAACAAAAUUUAUGGUACAAAUUGGGGAAAACCAUUACUCUAACCCUAAACUCAAAUUCCAUAAAUUACUCACCAAAUGCUGGUUAUUGCAAGGUGUCUGUGUGGGGUCUUUCUGUUUCUUUGCUCCACAAAUGGAACCUACCACUUCCAACGAAUACAGCUUUUCCCCUUCCCCUUCCACUGCUUCGCCUCUUCACUGAUUUGGAAUCCACACCUUUGCCCCUUCUACUCCAAAUAAAUACUUUCUCGGGGUCUGGAGAACGGAGUGGCGAAUCGUUGCCUUCAACUGUCGUUAGCCGUUGCCUUCAUUGGGUAUCUCAGACCUCUGUGUUUUAGAGAGAUGAGUUCUUUCUGUUCAAACUUCGAACUUGCCUCUUCUUCUUCUUUUUCGGACGUGUUUCCCUCUUCUUCUUCUUUUUGGACGUGCUGGAUAUUCAAUUCGGGUUUGGGUUCCUUACCUACCCAAUUGUGAAACUUUAACUCAAUUCUCCCCAGCCCUUGGAUUAAUCUGAUGGCUAUAAAGUGAACCCCUUAUAACUUACCCCUUAUAACUUUCCACUCAUUAUAGUCUUGGCCAGGUAUGGCGGCCAUGCUAGUAAGUGUUGGGUCUUUGACCCAACUUAAGCUAAAUGGGUCAUAAGAUGACCGAUCAUCUUAUCUCAUAAGGAUAUAUAAGUCAUGUUAUGAUUUAGGAUUUUAUAGGGUUUCCUUUGUAAGAGGUAAGAGAGAAACAAGCUCUCUCUCUCUCUACACAAGGAGGUCAGCCAUAGCAAGGGAAAGGCUCCUAGCACUCUCCUCUCUCUUAUUAUAUCAUCCUUCCAAGGACAGCUUUGGUAUGGUAAAGUUGGAGGUUGCACACUUUGUGCACUUUGGUAAGAACUCAUCCAAGGGAGCCAAGAUUAAAUUGGUUAGCUGUUGGAUUAAAUUGGUUAGCACGAUUCAACGGUUAAUAGAUAAAACUUCACAUAAAAGUCAUAUAUAAGGCCCUCACUAUAGAAUGACUCGUUAGUUUAGUCUCUUGUUACAUAUCAAAUGUUAGAGAUAUUUUUUAAUAAGGAUCUGCCAUACCACAUAGUUGGAUAAGACAUUAUACACGGCUUUUGUAAGAGCAUCUCCAGCGCUCCAAACUAGCCCAAGCAGCAGGGGGGCCUAAGUCUAGGAAGCAGCUCCAGCUCGCAAGAUUCAACCCAGGCAAGGUGUGGAACCCACGAGGAGAUCUAGCCCGUCACCUUGCCUUUGGGUUUCAGUCAAGCUGAUGUCAACGAAAGAAUUUCAAAUUUUUUUUACCGUUACAAUGUACGCGCCAACGAUAAAUUUUCUUUGGAUUUCUUGCAUUGAUCCACAGCUACCAAAAACCAACAGCUACAAGCCACGUGGCUUCUCCAGGAGCCUCCGAUCCAAAAAUCAUGUCAAAUCUAACGGCAGUCCAUUUUUUGGCUAAAAAUAUCAAAAAAUUAUGGAAACAUGUUCUAUAAAUUCCUACAAAUAUUAUUCACUUCCCACACCAAAUCUUCAUACAAAUUCAUAUCCUUUCAAUAUUUUUCACUUUCCAUACAAGAUUUUCUACUACUAAGUUUCGUUUGUGUAAAAAUACAAAUGACCUCUUCUAUCGAAGCCGGAGGCGCGUGUACAACCGUGGAAGAUAUUUUGUUGCGUGAGUGUUGGGUCAAAGUUGGUCAUUCCCUGAUCACGGGCAAUGAGAUGAAGUCCUCUCGUAGGAGUUUCUGACAUCGCAACGAAAGUAAGAUGUGAUAUGAAAAUGUAAGGAAUUUGAUGAGAGGAAUGGGAUUUGAGGAGUUUGAUGUAGGAAUUGAUGUAGGAAUUGAAUUUGGGAGGUAUGUAUAUAAGAUUUGAGGGUAUGUGUUUAGGGAUUUUGAUAAGAGGAUUUGAGGAAUUUAGAUUUGAAGGAUUUGGAUUUGGGGAAUUUAAAUAUGAGGAAUUUGAUUAGGGUUUGGGUUUGAAUAUGUGAAAUUUGAUAUGAGAGUUUAGAGACAACAGAUGAUCGAUUGCUCUGAUACCAUGCUAAAAUAUGAUAUGGUUUGAAUACUUUAGGUUGAGUUUUAUUCUUUUCCAUAAAAAGGUAUAUAUAGGAGUUUACAUGAGUGCUUUACAAAGAAAUAGAUACAAUAAUCAAUUAGGAUAAUAUCUCCUAAUUAUACAAUAAUUUGUCAACUAUAUAGAAUAGGAAAGUAAAUUCCUUAAUUAAUCAAGAAAAUAAAUCUCAUUGAUUAAUUAGGAGACUAACGUCAACAUUUAUAAGCCAUAAAAGAGCAGAAAAAGAGGUACUUAGGAGAUUUUAUACGUCGGACUAAGGUAAGCUUAAAGGACUAUAUCAAAAAAAUAAGGGACCAAGAAGCAAGACAGAGAAGUUGUUAUGCAAACCCAUUAAGUUUAGCAGUGAUGAAUUUGUAAAAAUCAUUCUAGUGGAUUCUGCCUUCACUAUUGAGUUCUUAUUGAGGUUCUAUCUGAAAGGAUCUGGACAUGAAGGAGACCGCUUAUUAAACAAACCGUGGAUGUUUACAGCCUGACAUGUGGUUGCUUGAAAAUCAGCUCCCAUUCUUUAUUCUUGAGGAUCUUUAUCACACAUACAUAAUAACCGACUCUUUUAGGAAUUAUUACAGUACUCAUGAUCAUGAGAGGCUUUCAAUAAUUAAUAUUUCUAAGAAUUUCUUCACAGCCGGAAUAUUGAAUUUGGAGGGGAAGGGAGACAAAUGGAACAGAAUAUCAUCUUCUUCUAGUGUUGGAAAUUUUAUAUUAUUUAAUAAUAUUUAAUUUCUAUUGUGAAUGAAAAAUAAGUUUCUUUAAGAAACGUGUGUCUUAGGCCAGUUUUUCUAACUGGUCGGCUUCCUUAGAUUUGUGCCUAUUGCUUUUCAAAGUAUAAUGAUGCAAUGGUUGUAUCUCGUUCAGGCAAAUGGAAGGUAUAUAGCAAUUUAUAGAACAAUACAGUAAUCCAGAAGAAAUAUUAUGAAAUGAAAAGAAUAAAAAGUAAAAAAAGAGAAAGAAAGGAAUUCCCACCUGCAAUGUAUAUGUAUGAAAGGAAGGACCAAGUUUGUUUUAAAAUGGUAAGAACAAGUUGAUUUUAAAUUGGGUUCAGAUCAACUCAUAGAUUUCUUGCCUUUUCUGUUCUCCUUCCUUGGACAUGAACUGUUUAAUCUUGGACUCUUCCCCAUCAUGUUGGGCCUGUCUUCUUCUUGAGGAUUGUAUAGGCCUAGGAAAUGCUUCGGGGUAGUUUUUGUGUUUUGGGCAUUGGGACCCAACUUCACAAAAAGAAAACAAAUUUGACCAAAACACAAAUUUGAAGGACAUUGAAAUUGUACCCGUAGGAUAGAUUAAAACACUAUAAGGGAGGUAAAUAGUACGUUUACAGAGUUUAAGUGUAAUAAAGGAAUAAAAACAUGCCCAGAGAAUUGAUAAGUGAUAUCAAUUCUUGAAUAUACGUGAAAAUUAUUUUAUGUGGUUAAACCCCACCUCUGGGGAAAAUCCACGGAACUUCUUAGUCCAACUUCUAUCACUUAUCCUAGACACAUUCUAGAUAAUGUUUGCCAACCUCUUCGUAACUCAACUUCUGUCACGAGAUGAUCUUUCAACACUUUAUGUCGAACGCAAUACUGGUCACGAUUUCUUCAAGCUCGCCGGAGUUCUUCCAAUUCUCCUUAUAUUGAAUCUGAUACUAGUCACGAUCGAUUCAAGCUCAUCGGAGAAAAAUCGCCACAACAAUCUUGGUGCCCUCAACCGUAUGAGUCACUGAACAUGCAAAUGAAUACAAUAUGAAUGAUAAAAGUGUUUGAUAAAUCACCAAGUUAUGGAACACUUGAUGAUUUAUCUCAAAUAAAAAUUCAGCUUUCCAAAGUUUAUGAAUUGAAAAUAUGACCGUUAAAGCUCUCUAAACAAAGAAGACGAAGGUCUUAUUUUAUAGACUUUUACUUUACAAGAAAGAAAACACGUUGAAAACCAAAUCUCCAAUUUCCAAGGCUUGACAGAAAAUCACAAAAUUAUCUUUCCUAUUCUAGAGAUUGGUCACAUGAAGUCCAACCAAUAGGAAAUGAGAUAUUUAAGAAAGGAAGAUUUUGAUCAAUAUCAAUAUCAAAUGAAUUCUUAUACGCCUAGUCAAUUGUUAUGGGUAUCUUGACUCCUUGAUAUUGUGAUAUGAUUGAAACAUGAUUUCCACGUUAGAAAAUUAAGGGGAUGUUAAAACAUGAAGGUAAUAGGAGAAUCAAAUUGAUUUGGGCCAAAAUUGCCUAAAAAGAAAACACUCCUUAAUAAACUUCAAUUUACUUUUAAAAAUAGUAAAACGUGAUUGAAUCGUUCUUUAAAACAAUUCCCUAAUAUACAUGCAUGAUAGUGAUAUCACUUACCUUUGAAUCAGAUGGCUUUCACGGGUCAAGCCACAAGUUUUUGUCUUGGGGAUUGCUGAGCUUCAUCAAUCCUGCCAAUGUCAAUUUUGCCCCUAAGCUCUCUCAAAGCACGUUUACAACCUAUGCUAACAUAUAUUAGAGUUUAUGUUAGUAUCAAGAAAAUGCCAACACUAAUUUCGUAACACGUAGAAAUUGUUAGAGAUUGAAGUUUUUAUCAUUUUUUCUUCCAGACUCUCCACCACUCACUAAUAUAGUUUACUCAUGUGAUGAGUUUACAAAACCUAUUUCUCUACUCUCACAAAGACUAUACUUAGGGGGGUGUAUUCAAUUAGGAUUCUAAAGCGUUUAAAAAGAUUUUGUUUAAGUGCCAGCUUUCAUAGAACUUGAUGGAACUUUAUAAUUCGUAUAGAACUUGAUAGACUUUCAGAAGACUUCUGUAUAAUUUUUUAAUAAAACUUUCUUAAGCUUUCAUAGAACUUGAUAGGCUUUCAUUCCAAACUUAUGUAGAUGGUAUAUUUCAUUUUAUCCCCAUCCUUGACAUUUAAAGAAAGAAACUUGAAUUUUUUCAAUCAAAUUUGUUUUUGUUACCAAAGCAGCAAAAACAAAAAGUACUUGUUUGCGAUGGAAGAACAUAUGCACAGUUCAAAAUGAAAAGAAUAAGAAGCAAAGUACCUAUUUGACCAAUGAAUGCUGUGUCAACUAGAGAAGCAAUUGGAUCGGCUGUCAAAGCCAAUGCUGCAGGCAAUGCAUCGAUGGUCCAAAUUGCAAUAAAAAAAUAUUUUGAAUAAUGGCUCUUGCAGACAAAGACCACAUAAAUUCUGAACUGGUCUAGCUUGAAUAAUAAGGUUAGAUUAGCCAAUUGAUGAGAUUAAAAGCAAAGCAAGUUGAUGAAUUUAUCAUCAACUAUUUAAUAACCACAGUCCUGAUCUCUUGGACCCCUGUAGUCCAAGAGAUUUAUGGUCACCCACCGUUGGAUGUAAAUUCAACGGUUGACUUGAAUCGGGUAAUAAUCAUUUAUGUCAUAUUGCAUUUAUAUAUAUCAUUUUGAACCAUUGGAUUAAUAUCCAACGGUGGGUGACCACAAUCUCUUGGACUCCUGUGGUCCAAGAGAUCGGGACUGUUAAUAACCAAUAGAGUAUUUAAACAUAAACAACAAUGUUUGAUCAACAAAACAAAUAGUCCAAAUAUCAUCCAAAAAACAAUAACAAAAAAUCAAUCAUUCCAAACAAACUAGUCAUUCUCAAAAACUCUCAAAAAACCCACUCAUUCCAAAUUGUAGGAUAUCCAAUUUGAGCACUCCUCAGGAGACAUUUUCAAAAAUGCAUCCUUUUUUGUGUUACUAUGCAACAAAGAGAGUGCUUUAUAACGAGCAUGUUCAUCCAAAUUUGGGGUCUCCUUAAUGGCAUCCCAUAUAUAACUCCGCUGCUCUCUCUCUUUUUCCCUUUUUGCCAAUAGGUUAUGGACCUCCCGGAAGUCGAUGACAAUUGAAUCAAUGCUAAGGCUAAUUCUUCCCAUAGCUUGCUGGGUGGUCACAUUUGAGAUAGCAUUCCCUUCCAAAUAUGUUCUAGUUCGUUUCCUCUAGUAACAAGCAUAAAUCCUAGUAACAAGCAUAAACCCUAACCCCAACCUAUAACCUAAUAACAAGAAGAAAACCCAACGAGGUAUUGAUCAAAGAAAAAUUAGGGAGCAUACCUUCACAGAUGGAGGAAGGAAGCUGUUCGUCUUCGCAGAGAGAAAAUCUAGGGAAAGAGAAAAACGUCUUAUGAAAUACUUGGGGGGGAGGUUGGAUUUAUUUUGGUCUUUUUUAUUUAUAACUCUCCCCUUAAAACCUACGUAAAUUUAUCACUUAAUGAAAUCCUUCCAAAUAUAUGACCUUUCGAAUACACCUAGAUUUGAUUCAACUUUUUUAUAAUCAUAAUUGAAUACACCCAUAUUUGAAUGGACUUUUUAAAAGUUCAUAUAGGUCCGAAAUGAAUAUACUCAAACUUGUAAAACCUCUUUUAAAGUUUGUAUAAAUCCAAAUUGAAUACACCUGGAUUUUUAAAAUCUUUUUAAACACUUUAUAAUCCUAAUUGAAUACACCCCCCUUAUUCUCAAAAGACUAUAUUACUUUACCUCUAUCUCUGUGAAAUGUAAAAAGUUGAAACUUUAAUGUCAAACCUCAACAAAAGAUGAACUUUCAUCAGUUACGUUGAAUUUGGAUUUGUUGAACUUAAGUGGUUUUAUUUUCUUUGUCAGUGUUUGAUGACUUAAUUUGGUAUUUAUUUCUUCUUUUUUUUCCUUGGAAAUGUGUUCCACCAACGUGAGGAAGAAAAAUAUGCACAAAUUAAUAUAUUUAAUAGAAGCCCAAGAUUUCGGAUGCAUAUAAUUUCUACAAAAAUCUACAAAGUUUUUUACUUUACAAACUUCUUAUGUCUACCAAUUUCUACUAAAAUUAAUUUCUCUGUGGUGCUCAAAUUCAUCAUAUGUGUGUCGUUAAUUUUAUUGAAAAUUGGAAGUUCCCAUCAUUUUUGUUUUUUGGGAAUUUUCUGAACCAAGGAAAAUCAAGUAAAAUUAAUAAAGCCUAAAUUGGAAAGGGAAAAUAUCUAGAGGAUGCAUUGUAGGAUUGCUCAUGCCAAUAAUUGUACCCUCUAAAUAUAUAGAGACAUAUUUUUUUUGUUUUCAUGACAUGUGGUCCUAAAAUUAUUGUGUAAAUCUUCAAUCCUGAACGAUGCACCUAAAACUCAUCCACCCAUUCUCAGGCCAAUUAUUGCACCUAGUGGGCUCUCGACCCCCUCUCAAAUUUAACCACAUAUUUUAUGGACCAUCCAGCUGUGAGGUACAUUCCCCCCACAUGCCACAAUUGUAUAUUCACAAUUACGUCUGAUACAUCACAUCAUGCCACUUGCCUCAAAUGAAUUUAAGUGAGUGAGGCAGUUGGAAGUAAUUAAGCUCUAUAUUGGUGGGUGGAGUGUUACUUCUCGGUUCCCCUCAUCAUUCGUCUAUAAAAUGGUGAAGGCAGUUGCUAUUGUUACCAUAAGAGCCAGCUCCGACUUCCUUUAAUUUCUUGCUUCAUAUCCACUAGCUACAUCUGUUACCAAGUUAAUUUCAGUUCUAAUGGGGUUUCAUCUCCCACUCAUCUUUGCUCUUCUCAGUGUAAGCUCUGCAAUUUGAUUAACUUUUCCAUUCUCUCUCAUUGUACUCUAUAUAAACGAAAGUUUUGUGUUCCUAUUGUUCUCUCCGAUUUUAUUUAGUACGUACUUAAGUGUCGUCCACUAAUUAAUUAUACUUUGUGAUUUGAUUUUAAUUUGAGUUUGAAUUAAUGUUGCAGCUAGCAGCAGUGGCACUGGCAAACCAUGCUGCUCAACCAGCACCUCAACUUUACUGGAGCUCCGUCCUGCCAAACACACAGAUGCCAAGAUCUAUCAGUGAACUUCUGCAUCCUGGUUUGUGUUGAGCUCUUUAGAAUCUUAGAUAUCUCUUCUACCUGCCAUUUUACUAAAAUAUGUUCCACCACAUAUUUAUCAGUUAACCAUUGUCAUUACAUGAGUGACACAUAUUCACAAAUCGGCUGAUCACUUAUUUUCCAUUAUGACUUGAUAUAUAAUUUGCAGACUCCACAAAUGAAGAAAAGAGCACAAAUGACGUUGGCAAACCUGAAACUUUCCCAUUGGGCAAUCAACAUUACUCCAGUCAAAAACAUUAUGGAGGCAUACCUGAAACUUCCCCAUUGGGCAAUAAACAUUACUCCAGUCAAAAACAUUAUGGAAGAGGCAAACCUGAAACUUUCCCAUUGGGCAAUCAGCAUUACUCCAGUCAAAGACAUUAUGGAAGAGGCAAACCUGAAACUUUCCCAUUGGGCAAUAAACAUUACUCCAGUCAAAAACAUUAUGGAAGAGGCAAACCUGAAACUUUCCCAUUGGGCAAUCAGCAUUACUCCAGUCAAAAAAAGUAUGGAAGAGGUGCUUCUCCAUCCGACAAUCAACAACUCCAUUAUAAAGACUUAGCUAUUUUCUUCUUGGAGAAGGACAUGCGCCCUGGCACAACAAUGAAGUUCCAAUUCCCUAUAAAUUCAAACACGGCUACUUUCUUGCCACGAGAAAGCGCUCAAUCGAUCCCCUUCUCCUCUAACAAACUGCCAGAAAUUUUCAACCAUUUUUCAGUGAAGCCAACAUCUGAGGAAGCCAAAACAAUUAAGCAAACAAUCGAAGAGUGUGAAGCUCCAGACCUUAAGGGAGAGGAAAUAUAUUGCGCCACAUCUUUAGAAUCAAUGGUUGAUUUUAGCACUUCGAAGCUUGGAACAAGAAACGUUGAAGCAAUCUCGACGGAGGUAUUGGAAAAAGGAGCCACCAUGUCCAUCCAAAACUAUACAACAAUGCCGGGACUGAAGAAGUUGGCAGGUGACAAAGUCGUUGUGUGUCAUAAGCAGAACUAUCCCUAUGCUGUGUUUUUCUGCCAUGCAAUAAAACAUACAGCAGCUUAUGCUCUCUCCCUGAAAGGCGAUGAUGGGGAGAAGGUUAAAGCAGUAACCAUCUGCCAUCUAGACACAUCAGAAUGGGACCCAGAGCAUAUGUCCUUCCAAAUCGUCAACGUUAAGCCCGGAACCAUUCCCAUCUGCCAUUUCAUUUCCACUGAUGCUAUUGCCUGGGUUCCGAACCACAAAUCUGCAUGAUCAUCACUUAGCACUAGUACUGUGCGUAUAAUAUGCCUGUAUAAUUAUCUCCCUACUUAUUUCUGCCUCUUCAUCAUGUGGUGUAAGAUAUAUGUUGAGAUGAAGUUUUUGGGAUUUGUGGUCGAAAUUAACCCGAUCAUGUUUUCUCUUGCAACCAUAUAGACUUCAACUUGUACUCAUAAUAAAGCAUGCUAUAUUUAUGAAGAGAUAUUAAUCUUCAGGCAAAUAGAUAUUAUGAAAACAUAUAUAGCAAUUUAUCCAGAAGAAACAUUAUGAAAUGAAAAGAAUAAAAAGUAGAAAAACAGAAGGAAAGGAAUUCGCACGUGCUAUGCUAUGUAUGAAAGGACCAAGAUUGUUUUCCCUUUGGUUAAUGACUAGAAAAGCUCACUUGCAGAGUGCUUUCUCCGACCAUAGAUGGAAGAGAAAUUUUCUCUUAAUAAUAGCACAAUGAUCGGGUAAUUGUAAGAACAAGUUGAUUUAAAAUUCCUUGACCCAAAAAAAAAAAAAAAGUUCUUUUCAAAUUCAGGUCAACCCAUAGAUUUCUUGCCUUCGUCUUCUUCAUCACGUUGGGCUUGUCUUCUUUUUGCGUUUUGGGCCUUGGAAGUUGGGACCCAACCCAACUUCACAAAAAGAAAACAGAUUUGCCAAAAAUCAAAUUUCAAGUCUCUCCUCCGAUCACUAAUACAGAUCAAAUUUUGGAUUUGAUGAACUAAAGUGGUUUUACUUUCUCUGUCAGUGUUUGAUGACUUAAUUUGUUAUUUACUUUUUUUUUUUUACUUGAUCUUUGUAGGGGCUUUUUUUUUUCCGGCAGCUUAAACGGGCUGGGCUGCCGUAAAGGGUAGAUUGAUGAAAUUGUCCCCUUUGUCUGAAUUCGAAAAUCAAGCCCCAAAAGCGCUUCGAAAGGGCAGUAGAGCCUUAGGAAGCGUUCUGGUUACCUUCACUAAUUAAAACAACAGCAACUUACAGAUGAUUUCUUGAGGCUUACAGAUAAAUUUUCUAGCUUGGCAUGACAUGGAAGCAAAAUCAGCAUGAGUUUAGCACCAAAGAGGAAAAUAUGGCUUCCUAGGGAGAAAUGAGAGUGUUUAAGGUGAGGAAGAAGAGGUUUGCAGGCUGAUUUGGCUGAGAAAAGAGAAAGAAAGAACAAUGUUCUUCCGGCAGCUUGACAAAGCUUCUGACAGAUGUGAAAGUCGUCCGCCAGAAGAGGAAAAUGGAGAAGAAGGAUGAAUAGUGCACGAAAUUGGUGGGUUCUUGCAGGUAAGAGAGAAAGCUUGCUCUCUGAAUCUGAGUUGGUUUUGGUUGGGUAGAAGAAGCCCCCUUUUAUAGCUGCGGGAAACCAUCUUUUUCCAAGAAACCCUAAUGGUUUCUAUCCUUUUUGGCCAAGCUUUUCCCUUCCUUUCUCUUCUCCUCCCUUGACUUUUCCUAUCUUGGUGAAAUUUCCUCUGCCUAUUUGCACAAAAUUAGAGAUUUUGAGGAGCUCAAGGCCCCUUUCCCGCAGCUGCCUUAGUGGAGAAUCCCCAUUUUCAGUCAUCUUUCUUCCUUCUUUUCUCCCAUCUUCCAAGGCUAGGUUUGAUGAGAGAAAGAAAUGGAUAUGCACACUGGUUUGAAGGGUGUUUUUCCUUGAAACUUGUUCUCUCCCAUGUGCUGGAGCUUCCCAGCAGCUUACACACAUAGAUAUUUUGGCUUUCAUCGUGGCUUUUGUUUUCAGCUAGGUGCUGGAGAUUUUGCAUAUAUUUUCUUGAGUUGCUUGGGCCUUCUAGGACAAUACGUUGGUUUAUCAAGUGAAUGGGCUAACUUCAUCAAUUGUUGGGCAAUUUUGGUUGAGUUAAUGGACUAUUUUGGUUCAAGUAAUGGACUAUUUUGGUUGAAAUAAUAGGCUAUUUUUCUCUCUUUGUGCUCACCCACAUAUUUGGGCCUAAAAAAUGGGCUUGAGUUUCGGGGCUCCCAAGCAACCCCGGGACUUCCAUUUCUCGGCCCAUCAAUGAGCCUCAUGUCAACUUAUUACCAUCCAUACCACAACCCACUCAAGCAAGCCUCAGGCAUCUUGCGUGGCUUGGGCCCACGUAAGCUCGUAGUGGCAAUGUUGCUUAUUUGCUUGACGUGGCAUGUGUGCAAGUGCAUAUGACGAACUUUCGCGUGCCCAAAUUGAGUUUCUUCUCGGUAGGGUAUCGCAUUGGGCCGAGAAUUUAAUUGGGUAGAACCGUGGAUUUUUUGGGCCUCAACAAUCUUAUAUAUAUUAGUUUUCUUUUUUUCCUUAAUAUUCACCACCUUUCUGUUGCAUAAGUAUUCCAGUCUUAGCGGGUUUCCAUCUACCACUCAUCUUUGCUCUUUUAAGUGCAAGCUUUUUUAUUUUUAUUUUUUUAUGCACAAGAUUAGAGGGGAGGGAGAUUUCUCAAUGUAAGCUUUGCAGUUUCAUAAUUAAUAUUUCCAAUAUCUCACUGUUAGUAAAAUAUGGAACGGGAAAAGUACGAAUAAAAUACACACAUGUUUUAUUUAGCAAAAUUUUGACAAGAUACAACUGAAAAGUUUGGCCACUAUAUAAUAUUUUGAUUUAAUUUUUUUUAUUUUUUUAAUAUAUAUUAUUUUUAUUCAAUAAUAUGUGAAAAAUAGGUGUACAAUAUAUGAAAUUUGUAUGUAUUAUUGAAAAAUUCGUAAAAAAAAAACAUGUUAUUAAAUGUGAAAAAUAUGUACGUAUAUGUAUAAAACAUGUAUUGUACAUUACUUUUUAACAAACUUGUAUUUUACCUAGUCUUUAAACCGUAUAUGGAAAACGGAAGUAUUAUUGAAAAAUACAUAUGUACGUAUAUGUAUAAAACAUGUAUUGUACAUUACUUUUUAACAAACUUGUAUUUUACCUAGUCUUUAAACCGUAUAUGGAAAACGGAAGUAUUAUUAAAAAAUACAUAUGUACGUGUAUAAUAUGAGUAUUAAACAAAAAAAUGUGCUAAGUACUUAUCUUUUAAUUUAAUAAUUCAUUUCAUUUUGUGAUCUCAUACGUAGUAAUGAGAGUUCAAAUUAAUGUUGCAGCUGACAAUGGUGGCUCUGGCAAGCCAUGCUUGAUGCAGGAGUAUAGGGGUGGAUCAAGAUAGAUAUUUACCAUGUAAUUAGUUAUUUCAUGAUAUAUUGUUAUUUUCUUAUUUAGGUAGUUUUAUGAUAUCUUUUAUUAUUUAUGUGGGAUUUUAUAAUUAAUUAGUUUACUUUUGGACCAAGUAGCCUUGGUGCUCAAGUCUUGUAAAGCUUAUAAAUAAGGCUAAUGUAAUAGUUGUAGGAAAAGAGAUGUCGAUGAUUAAUAAAAUCGUUUAUUUGUGGCAUGGAUUUGCUACGAUAUAUGUGAGUUUGCACUAGCCCUAGAUUUCGGUGCUCGUGUAUGUGGUUGGUGACCUGUGUCCGGAUCCCGAUCCCCAUCAAUGCUGUUCUCCCAGUACCUCAACUUUACUGGAACUCUUUCCUGCCAAACACAAAUGCCAAGAGCUAUCAGUCAACUUCUGCAUCCUGGUUUCUAUUAAGGGACUUUUCGUGAGCUUAUCAUCUACCCAAAUUUUACUCAUCCGACGUAAUUUUAAAAGUGAUUUGAUCCUUUGGCAAAGUAAUCUUGAACUACAAAAAAGGAGGGCACUCGAAUAGGCAUGCCAUUUGGUAUUACCCACCUCUAAUUUCUUUUAAAAUUUUAGUAAUUGAUUUUUAAGAUUAGAAAAUGGGAAAGUUCAAAACCGAAAAAGUUGUUUCAGUUUUGGCAAGUAUCGGAAAAGACUAAAAUUUUCCGACUUUAUUAUUACUAGAAACAAAGUCGAAGUAUUCACCAAUCAUGUGGCCUUCCAAGUGCUCAAGGUUAAGCCAGGAACCGUUCCUAUCAGCCAUUUCCUUCCCAAGUAUGAUCAUGUUGUCUGGGUUCCAACCCACAAAUCUACAUCAGUACCUGAACUAAUCAGUUCUACAUGAAUAUUCAUUCAUGGCAACCUUGGGCUAAGUAUUUGAAUUUAUGCUCAUAAAGCUUUAAUGCUUUUGAGGGCCAAUCGUUGUCUACAUAUGGUAUUGUAGCAUCUUUAGAUGGAAGAGGUCAGGGGUUCAAUUCUUGUUUUCCACUUCUUUAUUUGUUGGUUUAUCGAGUGUAGAGUGGAGUUGCACCUAUAUGUUCGUCUCUCACCCCAUCAUUUACCAUUGAUAUAUAUUUAAUAGAAGCCUAAGAUUUCGGAAGCACAUAAUUUCUACUUUACAAACUUCCUGUGUCUACCAAUUUCUACUAAAAUUAAUUUAUCUGCGGUGCUGAGAUUCAUCAUAAUUUUAAUAGAAAUUGGAAGUUUUCAUCAUUUUUGCUUUAAGUCUCUACUCCACUCACUAAUAAAGAUUACUCAUGUGAGUUUACAAAACAUUUUUUUUUUCUACUCUCUCCUGAAGACUACACUUCUUCUCAAAAAAUUAGAUCACUUCACAUCUUGUGUAUGUGAAAACUAAUGUAAAAAGUUGAAACUUUAUCGUAAAACCUCGACAAAAAUGAGCUCUACUACAAAAUGUUAAAUUUGGAUUCGUUGAUUUAAAUGGCAAUUUGACACUUGAUAGAAAUUUUUACAUACAUGUGUUAGUGUUUGAUCACUUCACAUGUCACUUACUAUAUUUAUUCCACUCAAGUUAGGUAAAUAUUAUUAUCAAACAUUUCAAUUAAUUUGUGAUUUUUUUAUUAUUUAAUCAAUUAUGAAUUAAUGGAUUCUUCUUGUUGUUUUGAAGACCAACAAAAAAAAAAAAAAGGGUAGUGAUGGCUUAUAAUUCUGGUAAAACAACAGUGACGUGGACAACAGAUGUUACGCUGUACUAAAGAUUUUUGAAGAUUCUUUAUUUGAGUUUCUUUCAAGAUAAAAACCAUAUUAUCCACAACCACAAGCACAUCCGGCAGACAAUCUUUGGCUAUUCAUCACAAUUGGGAGACAAUGAAGAAGACAGAAAAUGGAGUAAUUCAGAUGUUACCAGCCAUCCACGACAAACUGAAGUCUGCAAAGCAUUCGUAAUCUAAAAAGGAUGGGGAGGCUGCGCAAUACUUAGCCACGUGUAGGCCAGGAGGCUUUCCAAUUUUAAUAUAUAUAUAGAUUGAAAAAAUAAAAUAAAAAUCAAUCUAUUAUCAUAUAUAUUAUAAAAUAAAGAUUAUUGCUCCCAUGGGCGGUGCUAUGCACAGGACAGUGCCUGCCUAGUCCAAAUUUUUUUUAAAUAAAAAUAAAAAUCUACAUAUGUUAUAAGCUCAUCCAAAAAAAAAAAAAAAAAUAAAAGUGUUGUAAAUUAUAAGGUGGAGCCCACAUGUUGGAAGGCUUUGCCUACAAAAGGGUUCACACCCUCCCUUUGUAAUUAGACAUUGAGAAUACUAAGGAAGACAGAAAUGAAUAGAGAGAAAACAUUCCCUUCUCUCCAUCUCAAUUCCCUCUCCAAUUCCUCUAGAUUUAUAACACGUUAUCAGCAGCACGAAUCGCUUUCAAACAAUACCAGCUGAAUUUUAUGAUGAAACCCAGAUCUCUCAUCCAUCUCUGCUGCUCCACUACUUCAAAAUAAAUCCCACAGAAAAAGAAAAAGCCUCAAUGCUCUCUCUCUCUCUCUGUCUCGCUUGGGAGACUUGGACAAUUCCUCAUCCCCGUUACUGACAAUUUCAACAGCUUCAGGGGAAGCUAGUUUAUCUUCCUCUGCUCACGAAACCAUGACUCUUUCAGAGCCAAACAACAACACAAUAGACAACGCAUGGAGACCAGACUGGAGCUCGUCGGCUAAGGCACCGACGAUCCGACCCUACCCGUAUGGACCUUCCGGAUGUGGUUCCUGGGUCUUGUCUCAUGUGCCCUCCUCUCAUUUCUCAACCAAUUCUACAAGCAGCAGAGCUUCAAAUCAAACAGAUCAUGGCAUCGCUUUCACACCUCCCCAUCUUCCUCUUCCUCCUGUUCACCGCUUUCUAUUCUACAGCUUCGCAGUCCUUCAUCGGCGCAUCCAAAGGCGACAUACCGGCGCUCGCCUCAGAUCCGAACGCGGCGGCUCAGUGGGUGAACUCGAAUGUCCUCGCCUUCUACUCGGCCAGCAACAUCGACCUCAUCAACGUCGGCAACGAGGUCCUUUUUCUCCAACGACCAGGGCCUCAUCUCGCAGCUCCUCCCCGCCAUGCGAAAUGUCCAAUCUGCCCUCUCCGCCGCGUCCCUCGGCGGCAAGGUCCGUGUCUCCACGGUCCACUGCCUCGCCGGAUCGGGAUCCUUCCUUCAAGUGUUUCUCUGUCUUCGACUUGAAAAAGAAGGUCAUGGCAGGCCUAUGUAAAAAUUGCGAAAAGGAAGGCAAUCUUCAACCUUUUCUCCUGUCUCUCUCUUGAUCAAUUCAUGGAAGGCACAUUUGGGUCUUCCGGGGGCUCAUCAAAUGAGUCAGCAAUGUCAAAGGUGGAGGUGGUGGAGCAAGACUACGUGGGGAUGUCAUAUGAGGCAACCUCAUACCCAGCUGAGGCAGAGCUUGUGCUGGGCCUGGGCCUUGGCCUGAGCCUUCGUGGUGGUGGUGCAGGGAAGCAGCCAAAGCCAUGUGCAUGGGGUGAGCGUGGUAGAAUCUUGACUGCUAAAGUUAGGUGCUGAGUUACACUGUGUUCUCUGCUACUGACCCUAAGAGGAGUGCUAGAAACUUCCAUGUUCCGCCAUCAUUUCGCUUUCACUGUUACAAGGCACUGGAGUAUGUUUAAUUGAAAAGUGAGAUACACAGCAAGUUGAUCAGCCUAGUGGAAAGCAAAGGAUUAUUGCCAGGGAUAUGAACACCCACCGAAAUAAAGGGAUAAGUACUCUUUUUCCCUUCGACCAGUUUUUUUUUGUCCCACUGGGUUUUUACUGGCAAGGUUUUUCACGAAACAUAUUCCGUAUCAUUUGUGGUCUCUAAGAGGGAGUGUUGUAAAUUAUAAGGUGGAGCCCACAUGUUGGAAGGCUUUGCCUACAAAAGGGUUCACACCCUCCCUUUGUAAUUAGACAUUGAGAAUACUAAGGAAGACAGAAAUGAAUAGAGAGAAAACAUUCCCUUCUCUCCAUCUCAAUUCCCUCUCCAAUUCCUCUAGAUUUAUAACAAAAAGUAAAUUCUACACAUAUGUUGCCCAUCCAGGUGGUCCCAUAUCUUCUCUUUCCUUUUCUUUUGGCUAUUAGACUUCUUGUUUCUCUCUCUCUCUUUGCUACCCCACAUCAGCAAGUUUCUCCCUCUCUUUUUUUGGGAUCAAAUUCUUCUUCUAUUGACAAAAUCUUCUAUUAUAUUGGGUGGGCAACUUGGCAACAACAUCUUCUCCUCUCCUUUUGUCAACAGCAAGUAUUAUUCUCAUUCUCUCAUUUGCUAUAUAUCUUUAAUUAUAGUUUUAAUUUAAAAUUGAGUAUUCUAGGGUUUAAUUAGGGAUGAAUUAUAAUUUUGGGAUUUUGUUGAAAUUAAUUAGGGCUUCGAUUAGGGGUGAAUUAUUCUACUGCUUUGAUUUGGAAUUUUGUUAAAAUUGAGUAUUAUAGGUUUAAUUAUGGAUGAAUUACAAUUUUUGGUUUUGGUAUUGUUGAGAUGUUAUUAUGAGAAUUUGUUUGAUUUUUUGUUGGUAUAUUUGAUUAAAAUUCUUUCUACAUAUUAUUCAUAGGCUAUCUUUUAUUAUGUCGGAUCACAAUCGGAAUCCCAAGAAAACAAAAAAUUUGAAUAGUGUUGUUUUGUAUUGCAUUGCAUUUACUUUUGGUUUUAGUUUUGCUUUUAGUGUAAAUUACUCAAAUGGUCCUCAAAUUUGUACCCAAUUUACAUUUUGGUCCAUAAACUAAAUUAUUCAUUCAAAUGGUCCACCAACUCUUUAUUAAUCGGUGCUUUGGUCCUAUCGUUAUGUUUUCUAUUAAAUUUAGUCAUGUGAGCAGCACAUGCUACAUUUGUAUGGGUAAAUAAGACUUUUGACCAGUGGCGGAUCCACGUUGGGACAAGAGGGGUCGGACGACCCCUUGGAAGGCUGGAAAUUUGGCAAGGGAGUCCAUGAAAGCCCCCUUGGACAGCUGCUGGAAGCCCCCUUGUAUGCACACAAUGUGCUCGACGAAAUGCCCCAACGAAAUGUCCUGCGCAGCUGUGCUGCGCCUUGCGCGUAAUUUUUUUUUAAAACCAGCCUUGCCAAACGACGUCGUUUGGUCAAGGCUCAGUCAAAUUUUUUUUUAAUUAACCUGGCCUCAAAACGACGUCGUUUUGGGCCAGGUUUAAAAAAAAAAAAACAGAACAGUACACACGCACAGCAGCUCUGCACAGAUUCAUUUUCUCCAAACCUUUCAUUCCCAAUUCCACAGCCCCUCUUCCCAUCCUCUCAAACCCUAACCUCCCAACCUCCCAACCUUGGACAACCUCCAUCAACUCUUCACCGGUGGCCCAAUGCCGAUCACCACCACCUUCUACCGCCGUCCGCCGCCCAUUUUUUAAACUACAAGUAAGUAAGCAUGGAAAAUCUGAUAUUAAUAAUUAUAGUGAUAAUAUAUAUUGUUGAUAUUGAUAUUUUUUUUUUAUGUAAUGAAAUUUAUGGAUAUGAAUCAUAUUGAUUGAUUGAGUUUAUGCUUGAAAUUUAUGGAUAUGAAUCAUAUUGAUAUUUUUUUUUAUGUAAUUAAAUUUAUGGAUAUGAAUCAUAGUGAUAAUCAUAUUAAUGUAGAUUGAUUGAGUUUAUGCUUGAUUGAUAAUAUGAAUUGAUUGGGUAUAUUAAAUAUUGAUUGCUAUUUGAUAUGAUAAUUUGGUAUAUUGAAUAUUGAUUGAUAUGGGUUUAGGGAGUAUAUUGAAUAUUGAGAGUGGGUUAUUGAAAUUUUCAUAUUCAUAUGAUAAUUAGGAUAAAAAUUAAUGAUUGAUUGAAUUAAUUGAUUUGUAGAUUUAUGGAACGAUUCUUUAAAAGAAAAUUAUCUACGGAUAGUUCUUCUCUGUCUAAUCCGGGUAGUUCAAAUGCAAGACCAAUUGAAGUAGAUGAGAUCUUAGCUAAUCUUCAAGCAGACCCUGGACUAAGAACUCGAAUGGCGGAUUAUAGUCCUAAUAUUAGGGAUGAGAUCCGAAGAGCAUAUCUACAAAAGGGACCUUGUCAACCUAGAAGUUAUAAAUUCCCACAAACUAAUCAAUCAGGAAUUAAUAGACGCUUCAUUGCUCAUUGGUUUGAUGAUCAUGAUUGGUUGGAAUAUAGUAUUGCUAAAGAUGCUACGUUUUGUCUUCAUUGUUAUCUCUUCAAAUCUAAUUUUGAUCAAGUGGGUGGUGAUGCAUUCACUGGGGUAGGCUUCAAUAAUUGGAAGAAGGCGAAAGAAAGAUUUAACCUUCAUAUUGGACCGGUUGGUAGUGUUCACAACCAAGCUAGAGAAGUUGCUUACAAUUUGAUGCAUCAAACUACACACAUUGAAACAAUUGUGCUCAAGCAAACAAGCCAAGCUCGCACGGCUUAUCGCACUUGCUUGAAUGCAUCACUUAAGUGCACUAGGUAUUUGUUGCGGCAAGGGCUUUCUUUUCGUGGUCAUGAUGAAAGUGCACAAUCAAGUAAUAAAGGGAAUUAUUUAGAGCUCUUGCAAUUUCUUGCGGAUCAUGAUGAAAAAGUUAAGGCCGUUGUAUUGGAAAAUGCUCCGGGAAAUUUAAAGUUAAUAGCUCCUUCAAUUCAAAAAGAUCUUGUCAAUUCUUGUGCCAAAGAAACCAUUGAUCUUAUCUUGAGUGAUGUAAAAGAUAGAUAUUUUUCAAUAAUGGUGGAUGAAGCACGUGAUGUUUCAAUAAAGGAGCAAAUGGCAAUGGUGUUGCGUUAUGUGAAUGACAAAGGACAAAUAAUUGAAAGGUUUGUGGGGGUUCAACAUGUAACCGACACUACUUCAAGUGCACUAAAGGAAACAAUUGAUGAAUUCUUUUCUUCCGCGAAUUUGAGCUUUUCCAAGCUACGAGGACAAGGUUAUGAUGGAGCUAGCAAUAUGAGAGGUGAGUUCAAUGGCCUUAAGAGAAAGAUUUUGAGAGAACAACCUUGUGCAUUUUAUGUUCAUUGCUUUGCUCAUCAACUUCAACUAGCUCUUGUUGCGGUAGCAAAGAAAAACAUUGAUGUCAACUCUUUUUUCACAACGGCUAAUAGUUUGGUUAAUGUGGUUGGAGCAUCUUGUAAGCGUCGCGAUGCACUUAGAGCACAAUACCAAGAAGAGCUUGUGAGAGCUUUUGAAGAUGAUUGUCUUAUAACGGGGCGGGGCUUAAAUCAAGAAAGGACUCUCAAACGUGCCGGCAAUACACGAUGGAACUCACAUUAUGGUACGUUGAUUAGUAUCAUUUCUAUGUUCCCAUCUGUGGUGAAUGUGCUUCAAAUGAUUGUUGAUGAUAAUCUUAAUGAUAGUUCGGGUGAAGCCUAUAAGUUAAGGAGAGAAAUACAAUCUUUUGAGUUUGUGUUUCACUUAUUUGUAAUGAAAGCUAUAUUGGGAAUAACAAACACUUUGUCUCUAGCAUUGCAAAAGAAAGAUCAAGACAUUGUGAGUACAAUGAAUUUAGUGAAAACAUGCAAGGAAAACCUGCAGUUGAUGAGGGAUAAUGAGUUUGAAGAAUUGGUUGGGCAAGCAUCCUCGUUUUGUUACAAAUAUGAUAUUAUAGUUCCUACCAUGGAUGAGGAAUAUGUAAUUCCAGGGAGAUCAUGGCGUAAUGCUCCAAUGAAGACAAAUUAUCAUCGUUAUCGUGUGGAGAUCUUUAUUCAUGUAAUUGAUGGGCAACUUGCGGAAUUAAAUGAUCGCUUCAACGAGGUAAGUACUGAGUUACUUACUUGUUUGGCAUGCUUGAGUCCAAAAAAUAACUUUGUGACUUUUGACAAACGAAAGCUAGUUCGUCUUGCUCAAUUUUAUCCUUAUGAUUUUUCGGAUAGAGACUUAUUGAUGCUUGAAGAUCAACUUGGUGUUUAUGUUCAUCAUAUGCGUUCGAGUAGUGAUUUUUCUCAAUUGGAAGGGAUUAGUAGUCUUGCGGAAAAAAUGGUGGAGAAAGGAAUGCAUGAAAUAUUUCCUUUUGUAUUUGCUUCUUACAUUGGCUUUGGUUUUACCGGUUGCAACUGCAUCAGUGGAGAGGGCAUUUUCCGCUAUGAAUAUUAUUAAAAAUCCACUUCGCAACAGAAUGGGAGAUCAAUGGUUGAAUGAUAGCUUGCUUGUUUACAUUGAGAGAGAUGUUUUUGCUUGUAUUGAUAACGAAAUUAUAAUGCAAUGUUUUCAGAAUAUGAAAACUCGUCGUGGACAAUUGUAACUUGUAUUAUUGGUUUUGUUAUGAAUUAUGAAUGAAAGUACUAUCUUUCUAUCUUUUUAGCAUUAUUUUCUUUGUAGAAAAAUUUCAGAACUUUUACACUAAGCCCCCUUGGCUACAUAAUCCUGGAUCCGCCACUGCUUUUGACCACUUUAUCACCUAUGUAUCACCACUUUAUAACCUAUUUGGGGAACAUAGGUCAGUUAUGGACGGUUUUACCCUUACAUUUGACGGCAACAUUAACAUAAUGUAACAGUGGGAUCAAUGGAGUGAUUAAUAUAAAGUUGAUGGACCAUUUGAAUGAAUAAUUUAAUUGAGAGACCAAAAUGUAAAUCAAGUAUAAGUUUGAGGACCAUUUGAGUAAUUUACCCUUCGCUUUUAUAUUUGUUGAACUUUUAUUUAUGAUAGAUAUGCAUUUAAGGGUAAGACCCAUUAUGUUCCCCUGGCUAGGUGUAUCUUUUUAUGUUUAUUAAUGAAAUUCACUCGAACUGUUGAGUUUAGUAUGUAAGUUUUGCCUAACUGGCUUUUGAAUCCUAGAACCGCCACUGUUGCUCCAUCCUCCAUGCACUUGCAUGUGCUCUUACAAAGUGUGAAGUAGAUUUUGUGUGCUCCAAGUCAUUGACUAGAGCUGAAACAUGGUUAGCUAGAUUUAUAAGGACCCAUCUCUUUAUUUCCUAGACAUAUACCCAUCUCUCUAUAAAUCUAUAUGUAAAACCUAAUUUCAAACUUAAAUGACCAGUAGGAUAUAAAAGGUCAUAGUAUUCCUAUGUUUUUAUAUCGUUGCCACCAGACUUCUUAUUUUAUUUAUAAUUUAUUUCAAGCAUUUCAUUAACUGCCAUAAUUGUAAUUAAUACUCCAUAUUAAUAGCAUAUCAAUCACCCCAUUUCUUUUGGUUGCCAUUCCCUCUAACAUAUCGCCCCUUAAAUUUGAAAACCAAAAAAAAAAAAUGUAAAUUACAUAUCCAAUAAUGUACCUAUGAAAAAUAUAAAUAUAAAUAUAUACAUAUAAAAAUAUAGGUAUAUUAUUUACCAAAUAGAAAAUAUAAAAACCUAGGUCAGUUGCUUUGUAAUUGAAAUUUCUGUACAUUUUCCACAAAUUAAAAAUAGGUACAUAAUAAUUUAUAGAAAAUAUAUGUACAUUAUUUAUCCAUAGGUAAAAAUACCGAUAAAUGCACAUAGGUGAAUUAUUUACCAAUAUAUUAUUUUUUUGCUAAGGAUUUACCUUAGUUUUUAGUAGAUUAAUUUACCUACCUAGAGGCAUAGGUAGCUUAAAAAAAAUGUACCACCUUAGUUGGUUGCAUACUAAUUUACCUACCUAGAGGCAUAGGUUGCUAAGAAAAAAUGUAGGUAAAUUCAUGUACCUAAACACAUAGGGGUCAAAUAGAGAAUAACAUGUUAUUUCCCUUUGAACAAAUUAAUUUCAAACCAUAACAAUUAUUGAAUUUGGAAAUUGGUAUAAAUAAAAGGAAAUAAAUAAACUAUCAAUUUGAAAAUUAAAAUAAGAAAUGAUCAAGUAGUCAUAUUUGAAAAAAAAGGAAAGAAUAUAUUCUUGGUUUUUAUAGGAACAACGAGUAUAUUCAAACCAAACGGCGAUAACUACACCAAGCUUUAAUUACUUUUUUUUAAGGCCAAAAGUCACUUUUGGUCCCUGUAGUUCGGCAUUUCUACCACUUUUGAUGUUGUAGUUUCAAUUCCGUCAAUUUUGCCAUUGUAGUUUCGUAUUUGUAGCAAUUCAAGGACCUGUUAAUAUUAAUGUCAAUUUGUUUAAUGAUGCAAGAGGUAAUUUCGUCAUCCCAAAAUCCUUGAGCAUAAAAGAUUGUCUGAAAUUCUCCCCAUUUCAUAUUAGGGCUCGAAAUUCAACCACUAAUCCUAAUUUUUGAAGAACCCUAGACCCAAAUGACCAAUUUCAAGCCCUAAUAUGAAAUUACGGAAGUUUUAGAUGAGCUUUUAUGCUCAAGGAUUUUGAGUUGAAGAAACUGCCCCUUGCACUGUCAAAUAAAUUGACAGGAAUACUGACUUGUCCUUGAAUUGCUACAAAUACAAAACUACAGUGUCAAAAUUAACAGAAUUUAAACUAUAGGGUCAAAAGUAGUUGAAGUGUCAAACUAUAAGGACCAAAAGUGACUUUUAGCCUUUUUGUUUCAAUAAGGAAAAAACUGACCUAUUAAAUCCUUGGAAUCUAUACAAAAUUGAAACACAAUUAAUCAACAUUGAAUUGCAGCUAAUUUCUUAAACAAGGGUAUUAUAGGAAUUUAAAAAGUAUAACAUUUAAUCCAUUGAAUUUGAUUAGGAAACUUGAUGAAUUGAAUCCUAGUUAUAUAGUUUUUCUUAUAAAAAUCAGGUUUUAUUUAUAGACAAAUAAAACAAUGGGUUGUAGGUAAGAAAAUAUUAAUUUGAAGGGAAAGAGUCAAAUUUACUAAAUUAAUAAAGCAUAAAUUGGAAAGGGAAAAGAUCUAGAGGAUGCAUUGUAGGAUUGCUCAUGCCAAUAAUUGCACCCUCUCGAUAUUGAAAAACCUAUUGUUUAUUAUUAUCUUCAAUCCUGAAUGAUGCACCUAAAACCCAAGUGUCUCAGGCCAACCAUUGCGCUCAUACCACUUGUUGCAGUACACAUUCACCUGUUUUUAAAGAAAGAAAUUCUACCAAUCGAUAUUUUCUCAAAUUUAAUCACAUAGAUCUAUUAUGGUUAACCAUAUGUACUUUUAUCUGCCAUCCAGAGGUACCUUUUUCCAACGUGCAACAAUUGUAUUUGAUUCACAAUUAUGUCUGAUAUACAUCACAUCAUGCCACUUGCCUCAAAUGAAUUUAAUUGAGUGAGGCAAUGGGAAGUAAUUAAGCUCUAUAUUGGUGGGUGGAGUGUUACUUCUGGAACCCUCAUCAUUCGUCCAUACAGGGGAACAAUUCCCUUCCUUCUAUAAAAUGGGAGCAAUUCUCUCACUGUACUCUAUAUAAAGGAAUAAGUGUCGUCCACUAAUUAAUUACACUUUGUGAGAUUUGAUUUUAAUUAGAGUUCGAAUUAAUGUUGCAGCUAGCAGCGGUGGCACUGGCAAACCAUGCUGCUCAACCAGCACCUCCACUUUACUGGAAUUCCAUCCUGCCAAACACACAAAUGCCAAGAGCUAUCAGUGAACUUCUGCAUCCUGAUUUGUGUUGAAUAGAUAUAGUAUGUUACUGGAGUACGUAUGGCAACAUAUUCACAAAUGUGUCACGUAUUUUCCAUUAUGACGUUGAUAUAUAAUUGCAGACUCCACAAACGAAGAAAAGAGCACAAAUGUCAUGAAUGCUGUUGGGAAUGGAAAGCCAAUUGACCACAAGGGCAAACCUGAAAAUACUGUACUACCACAGCUUGCACGACGCCCAUUUUCUUACAAGAGUGAUGAUCGUCCCACUGACAAUCAACUCCAUUAUAAAAACGUAGCUAUUUUCUUCUUGGAGAAGGACAUGCGCCCUGGCACAACAAUGAGCUUCCAAUUCCCUAGAAAUUCAAACACGGCUACUUUCCUGCCACGAGAAAGAGCUCAAUCGAUCCCCUUCUCCUCUAACAAACUACCAGAAAUUUUCAACCAUUUUUCAGUGAAGCCAACAUCUGUGGAAGCCAAAACAAUUAAGCAAACAAUCGAAGAGUGUGAGGCUCCAGGCAUUAAGGGAGAGGAAAUAUAUUGCGCCACAUCUUUAGAAUCAAUGGUUGAUUUUAGCACUUCGAAGCUUCGAACAAGAAACGUUCAAGCAAUCUCGACGGAGGUAUUGGAAAAAGGUGCCACCAUGUCCAUGCACAAGCACACAACAAUGCCGGGACUGAAGAAGUUGGCAGGUGUCAAAGUCGUUUUGUGUCAUAAGCAGAACUAUCCCUAUGCUGUGUUUUACUGCCAUGUAAUAAAACCAACAGCAGCUUAUGUUCUCUCCCUGAAAGGCGAUGAUGGGGUGAAAGUUAAAGCAGUAGCCAUCUGCCAUCUAGACACAUCAGAAUGGAACCCAAAGCAUUUGGCCUUCCAAAUCCUCAAAGUUAAGCCCGGAACAAUUCCCAUCUGCCAUUUCCUUCCCACUGAUCAUAUUGUCUGGGUUCCGAACCACAAAUCUGCAUGAUCAUCACUUAGCACUGUACGUAUAAUAACCUUUACCCCUGUAUAAUUAUCUCCCUACUCUACUUAUUUCUGCCUCUUCAUGUGGUGUAAGAUAUAUGAUGAGAUGAAGUUUUUGGGAUUAGUGGUCGGGUUGCCUUAAAAACACAGAUUACAGAAACUGCUUGAACUUAACCCGAUCAUGUUUUCUCUUGUACUCGUAAAGCAUGCUGUUGUGGUUCUACUUAAUUUCGUCCUCCCCAAUGUUUGAGUGUUUAAUUGUUACGUUGGAAUAGGCUGCUAAUGCAUGUAGUUAGAGAAGCUUUCAUUUAUAUCAAAGUCCUCAAACUAUCAAGAAUUAAUGCAUCCAGAAACAUAUAUACCAAGACGCAAAACAACAUAUUUUCCAUGCUGUGUCGGUAACACCAAAGCAAACUUCCUUUAUCACAAAAGGACCAAAUUCCAAUACUAAUCUAAUCCAUCAUGUAAAGCAUACAAUCUACAACUGCCUCCCUAAAUUUGUCCAUUGGAUAUAUAUGUCACUUUUUGGUAAUUUGGUAUAGCAGCACCACGUAGUAUGCAUUUAACAGAAAAGUAAACAAAAUUGACAGUAGAACUAUUUGUCCUAACGAAACUGAAGUUGAAAGACCAUGAGAACGAUUUUGAAAAUUAAGGGACUCAAAUGAAAAUUGGGUCUAAGUUCAGGGACCAAUAAAACGAUUAACCCAUAGAUUUUGGAUCCAGUACCACAUCCCAAAGAGAAAACCACAAGUUUGCAAGCAAGUUUGUCCAUACUAACACUACGUACAGUAUGGGCAAUGUGCUAGACUCAUCUCACUUUCUCAACCUAUCCUAUACUUGUCUAAAAGAGUUUCUAAUUUAAUGUACUGAGAUUUACGAAAGAAAUAUCAGAGAAACAAUUUUCAGGCAAUAAAAAAAUGUCUUGGCAAGAAAAUGCACAAUUUGUUACAUAACUUAUUAAAUAUGAACAGUUGAAAGAAAAAAGAAUUUGGAUGAGGGAUUUGCAAAUUCCUAUGGCCCAAUUACCUUUUUUUCUUUGUUUUUUUUUGGUUCUUUUGAUCCAGUAGCAUAUUCCAAAGAAUGAAAACCACAGGCAUGCAAUGCAAGCUCUUUUCCCAUGUUUUCCUCUGUUUUUCUCCUAUCAUGGAAGUGAUUAAAACACACCUCUAAGCUUGUUUUGCGUUUGGUAGCCGAGUGUAAAAGCUCAAUGCAAGAUAGUUUGAGGUAGAAUUUUCUCCUGUUUUAUUAGGACAAUGAUGAGCUAUAUGUGACAACAAAUUGCUUUAAUAAUGAAAAUUAAAAAAGUGUGAUUCAUUGAAUAUUUGCGGGGUUUUGUUCAGAGCUGACAAAGUUCUAAGUCAACACAUCAAAUUCCUUUUUCCAACAAUCGUAUUUGAUUCACAAUUUUGUCUGAUAUACAUCACAUCAUGACACUUGCAUCAAAUGAAUUUAAUUGAGUGAGGCAAUGGGAAGUAAUUAAGCUCUAUAUUGGUGGGUGGAGUGUUACUUCUGGAAUCCUAAUCAUUCGUCCCUACAGGACUCUAGAACUCUCACACUUCUUACAAGGACUACUUAACUCUAUAGCUUAUUGCAUAUAGCAUAUAUAUGCAAACCCAAUUAGAAAUUCUACAACAGAAGCAAGAUCAAUCUCACUAUGCCUUCUAAACAAACAAACAAAUAAAACAAGCAUAUUAAUUGCUUUAAUCACUCUACUAACAUCAACACAGCACACUUAGUUUACUAACAGAUGAUAUAGAAAGGAAAAAAAAGGACCAAUAGGGAGAAAAUGGUGAACUAAGGAGAGACUAAUACUUCUGGUCCUUAGAAGGCAUAACAGAAAUAAUAGAGCACACUGCUUGAAUGCAAGUCAGUAUUAGGAGCAAAACAGCUGCAAUGAAAGAAAUAGUUGCCCAAGGUGUAUUGAAAUAAUGUUGCCUCAAAUUUGCCUUCCAUUUGUUCCAAGGCUUUCUGCAGUAGCUAUUAAGGCGCUCAGAAAGAGUAGCAAAGUAGAAGCUUUCACGAUACACUGCAAUUCCUUUUCCGAGGUUGUUAAUCAGAGUGCACACCUCAUUGUAGUCACCAAGCAUAUUUUUGACAAUCCCAUACUUCAGAAGGAACUCCACAUCCUUUUCGGUGUUCACAAACUCAUCCAUGAGUGAAACAUAAUCACUUAUGUAAUUCUUACGGCAAUGGCACUAUUCAAAGGCAAUGAGGUUAUGGAGUGUGAGCUCUGUGUAAUCGUUUAUUUUUAGUUUUGGAAUUUCUAGAAUCCCAUCGUUGAAUCGUGUUAACGCAGCUUUCCUUUCCUAGCCUACGCGGAAGUCAACUUCACAAUCUCCUCCUAGCAAUUAGCCUUUCCUACUGUAAAUCGGAUUGUAUUCAUGUCUAUAUUAUUUCCUACCUUAAAUAGAUAUCCUGUACUAGUAUACAUAGGGACUUUGUGUAAUCUGUUAAAUACAAGGAAAUAUAUACUCUACAUGGUAUCAACCUAACCUAGGGUUCUCUCUCUCCCCCUUAUUCGAUCCUCUUCUCCUUUAGGUCCACCUCAUGGCUUCGUUUGAAUCCACCAUCUCCCUCCCAAGCCCUAACUCUUCUCAUUUUAUCAAGCUUACUAACUCCAACUAUCUUCUUUGGCUCCGCCAACUCAAACCCUUUUAGUUGGCCAUGACCUCUGGAAAUUUAUCGAUGGCAUUCAUAAACAACCUUCUGCCCACACCUCCACCUCUACCACCACAACACCCACAACCACCACCACUCUUACCGAAAUCAAUCCUACCUAUGCUCAGUGGUACCAACAAGACCAACUCAUUGUUAGCUACAUCACCAGUACACUCUCUGAGUCCAUUUUCUCUCUCACUGUCGGUUGCAUCUCUGCCCGGGAUCUCUGGGAGUGUCUCCAAUGCCACUUCUCUUAAUCCAAUAUGGCCAGUGAAUCUGCUCUUCGUUUUCAACUCAUGGAUUUGCAAAAAGGCUCUCAACCCAUUGAUGCUUACCUUCGUCAUGCUAAGUCUCUUGCCGAUUCACUAGCUGCCAUCAAUUAACCUGUCUCCCCAAAAGAACUUGUCACUGCUGUGCUUCGGGGUUUAGGACCCGAUCACAAAAUGCUCAUCACAGCAAUUCUCAAUUUCUCUCCGCUUCCAGACUUUGCUGAUCUUCGUGCUCGUUUGUUAGCUUUUGAUGCACAGACUCCUCGAAUCUUUCCUGAUCAAAACACAACGCUAAUGGCCACCCAAUCUUCUCCUUACACCACCGGUCAUACUUCCUUCCCUUCUCACCGUGGUUGUGGCUCUUCCAGCAAUAGGCGCGGUGGCUGGUGCAGUAUUGGCCGUGGUGGCUGGCACAACUUCUCAUCUUCCUAGAGCAACCCGUGGAAUGGCUUCCAGCAGCCCUAAUGACCUAAUCAACUGUGGCCUCCUUUUGCUCUAAGUUUUGGAUCUCAAAGCAACUGGCCUUCCUUUCAACCUCUUUGGGCCCAAUCUGCCGCUUCUAGCAAACACUCUGCCCGACCCAACUCAGCUCCUGGUGUCUUGGGACCCGCUUGGUGCACCACAUGCAAUACCAAUCGACAUACUACUACAACAUGUCCUUAUUGCUACAAUGGCCCAGAAUUCUUCCUUUGCUGGGGCUCAAUUCAUGCAGCCACCUAACUCUACAUGGUACCCUGACACAAGUGCCACUCAUCAUAUGACUGGUAGUUCUUCUAAUCUCCAAAGGAAAUUAAAUGAAGGAGUCCUACGAAGGCUCAAGGCUCGAAAGCACACGAUCCGGCUCUGCUGCGGAGCUCACUCAACUACUGGCUGAGGGGGCGCAAAACAGAAAAUUGUGAGUGGACAAAAAUAAAAAUUCAGUUCAGUGUAAACCAACGUAAUAUAACCCCACCGUUUAGAAAACCAUGCAAGAAAUCCAAAUGCAUCUCAAAACCAUCAUAAUCAUCAAAUCAAAAUCAAAUACUGGAUGCCAAGUCCGAAAUCCAUAAAGAAAGCUUUACAAACCCACCAUCCAAAUCUUACAAUCCCACAACUAAACUCUCGAAAGCGUACCCAUUGGCAGUACCAGCAAGGAAGUAUCCUCACCGAGAAACAAGAACAAAAGAAUAGCUAUAUAUAUAAUUAUAUAAUAUAACCACACCUAGUUGUACCGGGAAAACAAUCCAACCGGGGGAUUGUUUGACUAGUCACCAUGGCAGAGUCAAAGUAAACAAAUUCCUCAAUUCACCAUGUGACUAGGGAACGAGCUGUCCAACUGGGGGACCAACUCUCAGCCAGCAUGUACCGUCGAUAGCCUCAAAACCCGUACGUCUGUGACCAGUCCUACGCGUGCAGACUACCCAAUCAAGGGUUUACAGCAACAUCCCAUCAAGGAUGCCCUAGGUUCCCACAAUUCCAAGUAUCUCAAGUUUGCGUAUCCAAGUUCCAAAUCCGGGGAGGUACAUAGGGUAGUGCUUAUAGCACUCCAAAUUGACAUUCUAUACUCAUCACUUUCCACAAUCUCAUCUCAACAACCUAAGUACCCCACACAUAGCCAAACAUAUAUAGAAAUUCUCAAAAUCCAUAUAUACAUACUCAAGAUACUCAAAUAUGUCAAAAUCCAAAAUAUAUUUCCAAUGCAUCAUAAAAAUAUCACUUUUAACAAUUGAAUAAAUAAUAUAUAUCCAAUAUACCAAUUAAAACAUCAUGCAUAAUAUUUCCCAUCAUAAAAUCAUGCAUAAGAUUUGAAAACAAAGUCCACUCACAAGUAGUCCCACACUGCUUGACCUUGAGAGGGUCCCGCCUACUGCGUAUGCGUGGUUGGAGUACCUAUUUCAGAAUACGUAUACGAGAUUAAUAAGAAGCGUUUCGAACGAGAACUUUGAAUUAAAUAUCCUAAUUUCCCAGGUUUCUAGUAAGUGUACUAGGAACGAGACGUUCUAAGGUUCCACUACCCAAUUCGAACCAUGGAAGAGCUUCGGGAGACACUCGGUCAACCGGCGGUCAAAUUCCCAAAUCGGGUCAACUGGCCCACGGGACCCACGACCUCCGUUUUUAAAAUCCGUAAGUUCCUAAAGGUUUCACAAUGUCUAAGAUACUACUAUCACAAGUUUGGUCCGAAACGGACUGUUAGAUCGCUUACGAUCGCACGAUCAGACGGUUAUUGUAAAACGUAAACUUUAAGUUAUUGAAUCAGAACAUCCGGGGCUCCGAUUCACGAUCCGCGAAUUCCUACACGAUCCUAGGAAGGUCUAGAGUAACAUAUAUUGGAAUGGAGUCGAUCCAAAGGUCCGAACAUAUCGAACCUAGACCGGAUAACUCCUAAUAUGUGAGAUUCGUUCGGGGUUCGAACAUCAACCAAAUUGGAAUCCUAAGGUACCUACGUGCUCGUGACAUUAAGGGGAUCAAUUGGGACAAAAAUGCCCCUCUGCUACAGUGCCCACGUGCCACCACACGCGGCGGUAGAGAGUGGGUGUCCAAAGCGAUUUCUCUUCGCCGGAAAAUCUCCAAAUUACAAGCCACUCUCCUGGCUACAGGUUCUACUCAACGAGUGGAACACUUUAUUCAACUACAGCCAAGUCCAAUUCGGACGGCAAGUGGCCGGAAACUCACGGUUUAACCCGGAACUUCAUGGCUUGGAUUGGGCGACCAUCGUCACCAUUGUCGUGGCACAACCUAGGAAAUAGCUAAAAGGAGAGGAGGGCUACCUAUUCCAAGCGAUGGCGCAGCUCGCGGUAGCCGAAAAUGUAGCCGAUGACGUUGGCAGUUUUGGCCGGUUUUUCACGUCGUUGCCAUCGCCGUUUGUCGAGUUUUCGAUUGGAGAAAAGGGGUGGGGUGAGUAGAGGAGGAAGAGAGGAAGCUUUUGCAAGAAAUGACACUUGUCAGGGAGGGGGGGGUUGGGGGAAGAGAGAGAGAGAGAGAGAGAGAGAGAGAGAAAAAAAAAAAAUUUCAGAUUUUCAUCCAAACCCUUUUCGAAAUAUUUACAAGUUUGCCACUAAACUACUUUUGGUUGCCAAAUCUUCGUUAUAACUCCGAUUCAAGCCUACCACGUGUCUACGGAUUCGUCUCAAUACAACCUACCCAAAAAUACCAGUCACUGCCCCAAACUCUUUUUGGGUAAGAAAAUGACCAAAAUACCCCUACCCCAAGGGUAAAUUCAUAAUUUCACUUCAAUAAUUUAAUAAAGAAUUAAAUUUGGAGUCGGGGUGUUACAUUAACUACCUGUUUAGUAGGUGUGGGGUUUUAUACAAAAAGCAUCGAUGUUAUUGGGAGUGGAACCACUUAUUAUAAGUUGUGAUUUAUUUAGUCAAGUUUCCUAUGUGGGAUUUUCUAUUCUUCAACAAGCCCCCUCAUGUGGGACCACCACAUAGUGGGCCACAUGUAAAGCUAAGUCCACAUCGGAGUCAAUCAUUCAAGCCCAAUACCUAAACACCACGUAUUGUGUGAGGGGUAGGGGUAAACAUUCAAGCCCAACAUGUGAACCACCAAAUAUUAAGUAAGGGUAAAGGCUCAAUUCAGGCCCAAUCAAUGAACCCAUUAUGAUAUCAUGUUAAAUUUCAGAUAGACGGGACUGUGGCCCACCACUAGCAACAUUGAUAUUGUCCCCAACUUAACUACAUGUUUAGUAGGUGUGGAGUUCUAUACAUAAGGUCUCGAUGUUUUUAGGAGUGGAACCACUUAUUAUAAGUUAUAAUUUAUUUAGUCAAGUUUCCAGUCAACCUGACUUUGAUACCAUGUUAAGAUUUUAAAGGGACGAACUCUUGGCACUAUUAGUAACAUCGACAUUGUCCCCAACUUAACCACCUGUUUAGCAAGUGUGGGGUUUUAUCCUAAAGGCCUCGAUCUUAUUAAGAGUUGAGUCAUUUAUUAUAUGGAACUUUCUAUUUUGUUAACUCUGUGUAUUCUUCAUCAAUGUGAACACCCCUAAACCAAUCAUACCUGAUACGAAUUGAAACACAAGUUUGUUUUUUGCCUUUGGUAGAUGAGUAGCUAGAAAAGCUCAAUGCACUUGCUCUUCUGCUACAUUUCAAUAUAAGAACAAGGUUUGGAAGUCAGGUCAACUCCUCAUAGCUUCCUUGCCUUUGCUUUGACAUGUCUAUGCACUUCUUGGGGAAGUUUGAAUAAUCCAUUGCAGGCCCCAUGACAACUAAGGAACCAACAUUUUGUAGAAGGUUUUGUCUAUACCUUUUGACUAUAAGUAAAAUCUUUUGUAUCUGCUCUUAUGUUUCGGUGAAGUUUCUAUGUGUCCUUUGUGCCGAGUUUCUAUGCGUCCUUUGUUGAACCAAAAAAUGAGGUUGUUUCUUACUAGAUUCAAAUACUUAAAAGAAAAAAAGAAAUUGUUGUUUCUUAAUGGAUUUUAUGAUGAACAAUAUCAAACUCUCCUCUUAUACGUCUGUUGGUAAAUUUUAACAACAAUAUUAAAACCUUGCAAGUGCACAAAUCAAAUGAUAGUAUAGUAAGCAAGCAAGGGUCGAUCCCACGGAGAUUGUGAUCUAAAGAGAUGUUUAUCAAUGUCACGCAAUGAAAAUCAAAACAAAGGACUUCCAAACACACGCCAACACCAAGGGGGGUUUUGAUUUGUUUUUGUGAAUCAAACAAAAUAAGGAAAAGGAAACAAAAGAGAAUUUAAAUUAGAGUUUAAGAGAAAUUGGUUUAAAAUCAAUCAAGAUCAAUAGCUAGGACUUACUAUCCACCUCCAAACAAUCAAUCAAUCCAUAAACAACAAUAGAUAAUCAAUUUCUAGUAAGCACACUACUACAAAAAAGCAAAAAGACGACGGUAAAUCACCGUCGUGUAUUCGGUUUUUCAAUGGUCGUGGAAUCCACCGUCAUCUUUUCCCUCAUAAACCACGACGCUAAAUCACCGUCGUUGUUACAAUAUACAACGUCAUCAACAAAUACAAAACGACGUCUUUGUACUGCAAAAAGAUCUAAAAAAGCAAUCGAUGAUGAGAAAAGACGACCAACUCUCUAAACAAACCGUCGUUAAAAAGAAAAAAUAUGACACAUAUUAACAGAACAUGGCCGCAAGAUAGACAUACAACGACGAAAAUUAAAAUAAGACGCCGUUAAAUAUCAUUUUCACGACAAUAAAAAAUAUGUCGUCUUUAAAUACAUUAGAAGACGACGUUAUUGAUACCUACUACGUCGCCUAUAUAAAAAUAACCGUCGUAAAAUAAAUUUUCCACUUCGAUUUUUCUAUAAAAGAUGACGUGGAAAUAGUUGUCAGUGUCAUUAUUUACGACGUAUGUAUUUAUAGAGUAGACGUUGAACAACGAAACAACGUCGGUUACAAAUAUAUGAGAGUCGUAUUACAAAAUUUAUACGUCCUAUUUUCAGAAACAAACAACGACGAUAAAUAUUAGACGUUGUUAAAUAAAACAACGUCGAAAACAAAUAAAAACAGACGUGUUUAGUCUGCUAAAGUUCUAAAAAAUAGUCGAGGAUGAGAAUAGACGACCAACUCAAACAAAUCACCGUCGUUAAAAAGGAAAAAUAUGACACAUAUUAAAAGAACAAGGCCGCAAGAUAGACAUACAACGACGACAACUAAAACACUACGCCGUCAAAUAUAAUUUUCACGACAAGAAAAAAUAUGACGUCUUUAAAUACAUGAGAAGACGACGUUAUUGAAAUAUACUACGUUUCUUAUUUACAAACAACCGUCGUGAAAUAAAUUUUCCACUUCGAUUUUUCUAAAAAAGAUGAUGUGGAAAUAGUUGUCAGUGUCAUUAUUUACGACGUAUGUAUUUAUAUAGUUGACGUUGAAAUGCGAAACAACGUCGGUGGCAUUUAUAUAGUCGACGUUGUAUUUAUAUGUAUUCAUUACUCACGACGCACUUAUUAAUAUAGACGACGUUGAACUUCUAAACAACGUCGGUUCCAAAUAAAUGAGAGCCGUAUUACAGAAAAUAUAGAUGGCGUUGAUUAUGAUGAGAGCCGUAUUACAAAUAACGUCGUUUAAUUGAUAUUAGACGGCGGUUAUAAUGAAUUACCGUCGGAAUUCAUUUCGUUCCUCUUCGUUUAUAAAAGAACUUGCGACGUGGAAAAUGUAUGAUGACGUCGUAUUUUUUAACGUUCAGAUUAUAUAUCUCGUUUUUUAGACGUCGGUAUUAUGGGAUUGGAGUCGUGUUAUUUUGAAUUACAUGGCGGUUCUUAAUCCUUCCCCGACGUGAUAUCCUGAAUAAUUGCUUCAUAAUAGCGUCGUGGUUCUUCAUUGUUACGUUGCUUUAAGACGUCGGUAAAUAUGCUGAAUAACUGGUUCACAAUAACGUCGUGUUUUAUUUGAACGUAGAAAGUGAAGAAAUCACAUUACAAUAUAUUACAAAAUUAAUGUCAUACACUGCCAAUUACAUAAGCAUCAUUCAAUCCAUAUAUCUUCACACCCAUCUCGAAUAUUUUGACCGCCUAACUCACCCACCAGUUCAUCAAAUGUGUCAACAUUUGGCAUCCCUCUAGUAAAUGGCUCACACUCAAUUAUCACAUCACCUAAGACUUCAUCACCAAUAACAUUAUUAUAUUCUCUAUUAGGCAUUGAUAACACUACCGACCAACCACGAUGCAUCGGGUCGUCAACAAAAAAUAUUUGUUUGACUUGAGAAGCCAAAACAAAUUGGUCAUUCCUAUGUCCAAUUUUACUCAAAUCUACAAGGGUAAAUCCAAGUUCGUCGACUACAAGACCAGAACUAUCUAUCCAAUCACACCUAAAGACUGGGAUUGUAAACUUUUGGUAGUCAAGGUCCCAAAUUUCUUGAAUGACACCAUAGAAACCCAUAUUUGAGAGAAUUGAGUUUUUAUCCUUGGCACUAGCAACUUGCAUGGUAUGUGCAAGUAAAUAAACUCCACUAUUUUGAGUUGUCCGCACAUCAUCUUGUGCCUUGAUAUUGAAUUUAAUACCUUUAAUAAGAUAGCUCCUAUAUAAUGGCACAGCCAUGUUUGGACCAGCUGCUAGCCACCUUAAAUUUUCUGAUACGCCAUGAUUGUCUUCCUCAAGUUCACUUUGAACCUGCAAAUUAAUCAUAUAUCUUAAUGCAAUCUAACAUAGAAAUAAGAAGAAAAUUAAAAGAGAAAUAUGUUAUUCAACAACAUAUACCUUGAAGCGUAGCCAUUGAAUGAAAGUGUUAUUGUGCUUAUCCUGCAGCCACUUUGUGAUUUAAGGUAUGACAAUCAUGUGAUUUAAGGCCAAGAAGUCUUGAAUCUUGUAAAGAUACAAGAUUUUUAAUAUUUGAAGAAUAACCUUCAGGGACCUUCAUACCAUAGAAAGAAUUGCAAACCUCUCUCUUCUCUGCUCUUGACAAAUUCCAAGGCCCAGGAGGCAAACGAGUACGUCUUUCUCCAUACUCGGGUUGCAAAUCAGUUUUGACCCCCAUGUUCAAUAAAUCUAAUCGAGCAGCAAUCCCAUCUUUAUUUUUUCCAGGGAUCUCCAGCAAUGUACCAAUGAUACUAUCGCAAACAUUCUUCUCAAUGUGCAUAACAUCUAGGGCAUGCCUCACAGGAAGGUAUUUCCAAUACUCGAGAUCAAAGAAUAUUGAUUUCUUCUUCCAACAAACUCUGUCACCAUUUUCAACCAUGUGCAGCACUUCUUCUCCGGUUAAUGGCUCGGGAGGUAUGCCAUAUUCAGGUUUCCCAUUAAAAGCUGCACGUUGCCUCCUAUAUGGAUGAUUGAUUGGUAACCAUUUUCUAUGCCCAAUGUAACAAAUUUUGUGGCCAUUUUCAACCUGUGACUAGGUGUAUCAUCGCCGCAUAUUGGACAAGCUUUAUAUCCUUUAACAACACAACCAGAUAAGUUUCCAUAGGCGGGGAAAUCAUUAAUUGUCCACAUUAAUGCAGCUCUGAGUGUAAAGUAUUCUCCAUUAUGUGCAUCAUACACUCCUCUAAUCCCAUCCCACAAAGAUUUUAAAUCAUCAAUCAAAGGCUCCAAGUAGACGUCUAUAUCAUUUUCGGGUUGUUUAGGACCGGAAAUCAAUAAGGUUAACAUCAUGAACUUUCGUUUCAUGCACAGCCAUGGAGGGAGAUUAUAUGUAACUAAGAUAACCGGCCAACAACUAUAUCUGCUACUUAGAGAACUGUGGGGAUUGAAUCCAUCAGAUGAAAGAGCCAAUCUCAAGUUUCUCGGCUCAUUACCAAACUCAGGCCAUUUAUCAUCAAGAAGUUUCCAAGACGGGGAAUCCGCCGGAUGAGACAUCUGACCGUCAAUUGAUUUUCUAGCAGCAUGCCAAGUCAAACUCUUAGCUGUCUCAUGUGAUUGAAACAUCCUUUUAAACCUUGGAAUUGGAGGAAAAUACCACACCACCUUCGCUGGCACAUCCUCUUUCAAGAUUGAAUCUUUGCCUUCCUUCCACCUUGAGAUACCACAAGUAGGACAAUUAGUUGAAUCCUCAUACUCCUUCCUAUACAAGAUGCAAUCAUUGGGGCAUGCGUGCAUUUUCUCAUAACUCAGCCCCAAUGCACACAAAGUCUUUUUUGCCUCAUACAUAGAGGUUGGUAUUGUAUUUCCUUCUGGAAGCAAAUCGCCUUGAAGUAUCAAUAAUUCUGUAAAACAGACAUCACUCAUCCCAUGUUUUGCCUUCAAAUUAUACAACUUCACUAAUGCCGAUAACUUCGUGUACUUUCUACAACCAGGGUACACUGGUUGAUCUCCAUCCCCAAUCACAUUGGCAAACUCAUACGGAUCGGAACCAAAAUCACCAAAAUCAUUAUCAUCCAUAUCAAUUUCUUCAGACACAAAACUGUACCUACUAUGGCCAUCAUCUUCUUCAACAUUUCUACUAGCAUUAGUAGUUGCUUCCCAAGGUUCUCCGUGAAAUGUCCAAUUCUUAUAGCUUUGGUCAAUUCCAUUAAAGUAUAAGUGAUCCCUUAUAAUUCCAACCCCAAACAACUUCAAAUUAACACAUUUAACACAUGGACAACGGAUAUGUGUUGUAGUUAGAAGAUUUUCUACAGCAAAGUUCAAAAAUGCUUCCACCCCAAACUCAUAUGCCUUCGAUCUUCUAUCCGAGUGCAUCCAUGACUUAUUCAUCUCCGACACUAUAACCUAUUAUCUAUAAUAAAGUGAAAAUACAGGCAAUGACCAUCACUAUAGCAGAUUAUACAAAGAUCUAAUAGCAAGUAAUACAUAACAGAGACGACGGGUUUUAAACAAAAACAGACGUAUUUGGCAUAUAUAGACGACGGAUUUUCAACAGACGUCGUCUAAUAUAAGUAAUACAAACGACGGUUUAUGAAAAAACCGUCGUGUAUAAGUAAUACAACGACGGUUUUUUCAUAAACCGUCGUGUAAUCGUCGUCGUAUGCCUAAAAAGGCGUCGUGUCUCAGUUUAUUUUCAAGAACCCAAAACCCAUUAAGAACACAACAUAUAUAUGAAACCAAGCAAGAAACCAACAUAUACAUGAAGCCAAGCAUGAAAACAAUAAAUCCAUUCCCAAUUCAACAUAACAUAGGGUGAUUAAAAGAUCCGACAAAAUUAAAACCAUUCCCAAUUCAACAUAACAGAUAAUGUAAUCCAUGAACCCAUUAAACAGAAAAUCCAUGAACCUAUACCUAUAAGCACAUUAUUAACAGAUCGCAAAGCAUAUACCUAAAACCCUUUAACAAAACAACCUAAUAUCAUUCAAUGAAUUUACAAAGGGAAGAUAGGGUUUGUACUUACAGGUUGGACGAGCUCACAGAUUCGACGAAGCCUGGAGAGUGCAACUUUUAAUUAGAGCAGAAGUGAGAGAGCGAAUGUUAUGUUGCGCGAAAUCUGAAAAUUUUAGGGUUCAGGGUUAGAAGUAUAAGAAUAAGAGCCAAAUAUAAAAAAAUUUAGGGCGCGCGAAAAUUUUUAGAGCGCGCGCUCUUUAAAACGUCGAAAGAAAAACCAUGGCGAAAGUUCUACAAGAACCGACGUAAAUGUAAUAUUCCACGACGAAAACACUUAACGUAACGCCGUUUAUUUUGACGUUCAUUUUUCGGAUUAAUUUUAAAUUUAUUUUGAAUAUUUUGAUAUAAAGACGACUGAAAAACCACGUCGAAGUUAAGAAAUUGAAAACGUUGUAAAUUAUAAUAGACGACUUACAUAUUAAAAUGACGUCGUUUAAAGUGGAAACCAUGUCGGAUAUUUUACUGCACGACGUAACAUAUGUAUUCCACGACUCAACCACCGUCGUUAACAAUUAAUACCCUAAACCCUUAAAACUAAAUUAUAUAAUUUUAAAAAUUAAGUUUAUAAAAGGGUUUAUGGUUUUACAGCCUAAUAUAUACCCUAUACUACCCAAAAAUUAUACUUUAAAAAUAAACCCCAAUAAAUAACAACCCUAAUCUCUAAACCCUAGACUCUAAACCCUAAACCAUAAAACUAGAAGUGAUUUUAUGACUCAUCAAAACAAUUUUGUUUUGGAUGGUCAUUUUAAAUUUUUUUUAUUCAAAAUGAAUUUUUUCAAGGUUUAGGGGGAAGAAAAUAUAUCAAUGACUUCAUAGGAGUUGACUUUUCAUUUUUCUGAUUUAUUUUAAAUUUAUUUUGAAUAUUUUGAUAUAAAAAUAAUAAAAUAUUCUUAUCACAAUAACAAACCACGUCGGUGUUAAUAAAUUUUAGACGUUGUAAAUUGUAAUAGACGACUAAGUUGUUAAAAUGACGUCGUUUAAAUGAGAAACCAUGGCGGAUAUUUAACUAUCCGACAUAAAAUAUAUAUUCCACGACUUAACCGCUGUCGUUACAAAGUACUACCCUGAACCCUUAAGAAAUUGAAGACGUUGUAAACCAUAAACGACUCAAUUGUUCAAAGAACGUCGUCUAAAUAUCCUUUUACGUCGGAUUUGGUUAAAACGAAACAACAAAAAACGACGGCUUUUGACUUUAUUACGUCGUUGGAAAAGUAUUACACGUCGGUUACGCAAUUUGUAUGUUUGUUUUUUUUUUUAAUUUAAGAAAACCUCAACAAAUUUUUACAUUAUAUAUUAUAGACAAAAUUUGUACAUUAUACAUAAAUAUCAAGUGUUCAAUAAUUCCCCUAUUCCAGGUGAAGGCAAACAAACUCUGACCAUUCAUUCCGGACUUCAUCAAUUGCUUCUUGGGGGUAUGGCGCUUCCUGUUUUCCCUUGGCAUACUGCAUAAACAAUGACUAUUAGGGUUUAUAAAUAAAAAGAAAUUCAAUCACAGACGACGAUAUUUUUCAUAACCGACGUACUAUAUCUAUUCAACGACGGUAAUUUUACAUGACCGUCGUUGAUAAUACAAAAAACGACGUAAAAUGUAUGAAGGUAAUUUCUUCUUACCUUCUUCUCAAACCCCAAGGAAGGAUCCAUGAUGAUGUCCCUCAUGAAGCGCAUCACAUAAUACCCGCAUUCGACAUUGCUGGGUUGCUUUGGUGUCCCUGACAGAGUUUUCCAAAUGGCUGCCUUACGGCCUGGUCUGGCUAUGUGAGAAUUAUAAAUUUUUAUAGCACUGUUCACAAUGUUUUUGGCCUCUUCAUCGACCACACGAUUUCCUGGCAGAGGAUCCAGAAAAUAGACGGUUUCUCUCUUUGCUCUUACAAUCAGCAAGAUCCAAUGACGGCUGCACAAAAUUAAUAUAAAAACGACGGUUAUUUACAAUAACGACGUAUUAUAAUGUUUCACACGACGAAAUAAAGUAGCAAUCGACGACAUUUUACAUUUAUCACGACGAUAAAUAACUACCGACGUGGUUAGUAGUUUCAAACGACUCAAUAAAAUAAAACACCGACGUGGUUAGUUUAUACGCUGUAAUUUAUUGAAAAUCAUAAAAACAAAAUCCUGUUAAGGAGACUAACCCUGGAUUGUAAGGCAUCAGGAAAAUCUGUUCACCGUCAGUCUUUUGAAGUCGAGCUGCUAGUAAGCGUGAUCUGUCAGCUAUUGUGCCAGAGUUGGCACUAACUGUAGCAAGGUCGAUAAAGCCAACCAUAUUGCACAUAUUUGCUCGUUUCAAAACAUCGUGCAAGUGCCUAAAUAUAUAAAAUAAUAUAAACAAGUCAGCACAAAAAAACACACGACGGUUAUGUAUAACAAAACGACGUAUUAUAAAAUUUCACACGACGUACUGAAAUAGACAACGACGUUAUAAUAUAUUUAUCACGACGGUAAAUACUAACGACGUGGUUAGUUAGUUAAGACGACGUAAUAAAUAAACCAACGACGUAUUAUUUUAGAAUGACAAACCUCAUAUAUACAAAAAAACACGACGGUUAUGUAUAACAAAACGACGUAUUAUAAAAUUUCACACGACAUACUGAAAUAGACAACGACGUUAUGAUAUACUAACGACGUGGUUAGUUGGUUAAGACGACGCAAUAAAUACACCAACGACGUAUUAUUUUAGAAUGACAAACCUCAUAUAUACAGCAAUGACAGUGGCUCCUAUUUCUUCCAUGCCUGCAAAUUGUGUAAUAUCUUCAGGCAGGAGGAAGGUAUCGCGCUCUAGACCAAACACCUCCUUAUCAAUUGUAAAGUGCAGGGUCUUAUCCUGAGGCACGAGUGUCGUUUCCACAUAACGACAAAGGGAGUUUAAAGAAGAUGGCGCCUCCAUAUUUGAAUAAUCAACAACUUUAAUAACCUGUUUAAAGAAAUAUAAAAAAUGACGUGGUAAUUCAAUAAAAACGACGGUUUAAGGAAUAAAACGUCGUCUGAAAAGAAUUUAAACGUCGUCUGAAGAAACCGUCGUGGUGAAUAAUUUAUUACGUCUUAAAAAAAAUUCCGCCGUCUAAGUUGUAAACAAACGACGGUUUAAAGAAAAAUAUCGACGUCUGGAAUUUUGAAAAACAAAUAAAAAAGGCAAAGUUAUGUGAACAUACCUGGUCGUCAUCUUCUUUCUCCUUUUCAUCAUGUUUUUCUUCUGUCUUCCCUUCAUCUAUUACGUCGAGAAUGACUAACUCCGUCGUCUAAAAACCACAAAGUUUUAAAAUAACGACGUUUAAUGGCGUGUAAAACAAGUAAACUAAAUACGACGUGGUAUUGAAAUACAAACGACGGUUUAUGUUUAAAAUCGUGGUGGUAUGUAUUUCAAACGACGGUUUUAUUAAUAAUAACGACAUCUAAUGGUUUUUAAAAAAACAGAGAAUUCAAAGUUCAGAUAUGUUACCUUUUCUUCCUGAUGUUUCCCAUUUUUGGCAGUAUCAUCCUCAAAAUGCUGGGAUCUCACAUCACCUCCAGAGCAGCUUGCUUUGUCAGACAUUGGAUUUUUGGGACUUUGGCUAAUUCUGGGUUUAAGCAUGCUUGGAUCAAAAUUGGGAAUUAAUUGGGAAAGCUGACUCAGGAAAUGCUCCCUCUCAGCCUCUACCAAUUGUUUCGUUCUAGCCUCCAUCCUUAAAGCCUCUUCCCUUGCCUUAGCUUCCAUCUUUUUAGUCUCUUCUUGAAGGAGAACUCUUAAACUGUCCUUCAAACGGUCGUCAAAGCUCACUCUCUGUGGUUUGGGUAAAUUGAAAUAUUGCCUUGGUGAGAUCCCAGCACCUACUCCUCUCACUCUGCCUGGAUGCUCGGGGCCCAAAGCCAUGGUCAGCACAUCAUUGCUGCCAGAAACAGUGACUUUGCCUUCCGAGACUUGUUUUUGCAAUUCAUCCUAAAACAAAGAUAUAUAAAAAAGUAAGAACAAAAACACACGACGGUUAUUUAUAUACAAACGACGUAUUAUAUAAUUUCACACGACGCAAUAACAUAUAAAUCGACGUUAUUAUAAUUUAUCACGACGGUAGUUUUUAAACCGACGUGGUUAGUUUUUAAAACGACGAAAUGAAUAAACCACCGACGUCUUAUGCUUUAUUUACAGAUAACAGAGGGAUGAUUCAAUAUUCACACCUUUAACGACCUUGUUUAAAAUAUUUCGACGUAGUAAUUCAAUACAAACGACGCGAAAAUGAACCACCGACAUCUUAUGCUAUAAUUACAGAAAACAGAGUAGUGAUUCCUGAUUUAGACCUUUAACGAUGUGGUAAUAUCAUUCACACGACGCAAAAUAUAACAUAAGACGUAAUAAGAAUUAUUCACAGUUUAAUAAAAAUUUAAAACAGAGUGAGUAGGCUUACAAUUAAUUUUGCUUUCUCUGCCACCUUUGGAUCCGGGAUGUUACCAUGUUUGUCCUGUCUAGCUCUCUUCCAUAAGGUAGAUCGAUCAAUUUCUACCCCAGGCAUGGUUUCCUCCAAUUGAUCCUCCAAACCAGCAUAUCCUUUUCGAGACAAUCGAUGAUUGUACUCAAGUUUCUCCCUAAUCUGUGCAUGUUGAGAAUGCACAGACUCAAAAUCUUUGGAUAACCUUGAAGCUACAAAGGCAUCCCAUUGUGCUUUCUCUAUGAAUUUAUAUAUUUCAGGGGGUUGGCUUAAUCUCUCCCUGUCAUUAGUGUAUGGAAGGAUAUAUUGCCUCGUUAGUGUAGACUUGAAAUCCUUCCAUUUCUUGGCAGCAGAAGCUAACACAGAGCUCUUGCCCCCUUGACCUACCACAAAAGCAAUGUCAACUGCUUCCCAAAUCUGCUCCUUUAUAUCCUUGGAGAUUUGAGCCUAUUUCAUGUCCACAAGUGGAACUCUGGAGCGUGCCAACACACCAAUGUAGGACUGCAUCUCACUAUGUGCUUGGCCAAUUCCUUUCCCCCUUUUAUUGUACUCAACAAUUGGCCUCAGUUUCUGAAGUUUUCUCUUCACAACAUGAGGCAUUGUGCUCAUACCUCGACCAGACUUUGAAUCAUCAGAGAUUGUUGUCGUGCUGGUUCGUUCUGUCUCAGCAGAUGAUGAAGCAAACUUCAUCUUCUUCGAAGGCUUCACUUGAGGAGGUACCAUUCCAAGGUCCUUACCUCCAUUUUUCUUGGAGCCAGAAUCCUUACUUUGGUCUUAGUGAGAAACCAUUUUUACAGACAAAACUGCAAGUGAAAAUAUUUCAGGAAAAGAUUAAGAACACAAACGACAGUUAUUAAUAAAAUACGACGUAUGAUAUGAUUUUAAACGACGCAAUGAAAUAAUCUCAGACGUAAUAAAUGUUUAAAACCAAGGUAAUUAAACAACGACGAAAUAAUUAACUAUAAACGACGUGAUAAUUAACUAUAAACGACGAAAUAUUUAUAUAACGUCGUGGUAUUGAUGUUCACACGACGUCAGUCGUAAUAUACCGUCGUCUAUAUAAGGAUCCAAAACCCUUCUUUCUUUCUCUGUGAAUGUUUGAUUGCAGAUUUGAUUUUUCUGAACCAUGGUUUUUGUUUUCUAAUUUGAUAAAAUACAAGGCCAAGAAAGAAAGUUUUGGAAUCUUAUAUAGACGACGGUAUUUUAAUAUGACGUCGUGGUAUUAACAUUCACACGACGUAAAACAAUAAGAUACUGUCGUCUAUAUUAGAUACCAACCCUACUUUCUUUUUCUUUAUAUUUUAUCAAAUUAGGGAAAAACAAAAACCAUUGUUCAGAGAAAUCAAACCUGCAAUUAAACAAGCAAAUAAAAAAAAGACUAUAAUUUUAAAAACAACUUUGUCAAUUUUCAGACGACGCUAGAACGACUGACGAACCGUCGUGGUCUACAUAUUUAACCACGUACAUAAGAAGCUACCGUCGUCUUAUUUAGUUGAGGUAGUUGUCUUCAAAGUUGGAAACUUUCCCUCUUUGUCUGUAUAUUUUAUUGAACUUGGAAAGAAGUAAAAUGAUUUUGGCCAGAAAAAAGGUAAAAAGAUUUUUCAAACAAAAAACGUAUGAGCAUGCAAAACAACAACCAAAAUAGUGAAAAUGAAAGCUUACCUUUUGCGUGCAAUGAAAGCAAGAGGAAGAUUAUGUUUAAGUUCAGAGACGACGAAGAAGAAGAGAGGAAGACGAUGAGAUACUCUGACAGUGCUCUGACAAGGAAAAAAGUCUAAAAGUUUUCUCUGGGAGAUUGAACUUUUUAAUCGGGUUUGAAAACGGCGCAUGUGUAUGUCAGGUAGACGAAAAGUUGCUUACAUAUAAAACCAUUUCAAAAAAAUAAUACGGCGGUUACAUAUAACUACGACGUAUAAAUUACAAAAUACGACGGUACAUUUAACUUCGGACGUGGUAAAUAAAUACGACAGUAGUGUUGUAGGUACCGUCGUAGUAAACUCAAAAAUUAAAGUACAUAAGUAAUAACUCGCGUCAUGGUAGAUUAUUUAACACGUCGUUUUUAUUAAUUUACCGACGUGGAUUUCUGUAAUAUACGUCGAUAAUACCGACGUUGAUUUUACAAUUUAAACGGCGGUUUUUUUGUAAGGACCGCCGUUGGUUUUAAAAAUUUAUUCUAUAAAUUUGUCGCUUUCAUUCAUUUUCGGUUUACAUUUAAGGUUCCAAGUUCUUCCUCUCUCAGUCUCUCACGUCUCAAAGACAAUAAUUUGGAUGUCUUUCUCAAAGAGAAAUUGAGCUUACUCGCAUCAAAUAUAUGUCCACAAGAAGAAGCUUGUCAACUAGCCUUCUCACUUCCUUGAUCAAGCCUGAUAGGACACUUAGUGCUUCUGAAUACUCCUUGCUUUCCAUCAAAAGAGAUGCAAGCCUGGCCUCCACUCGCUGUCGAAGGAAAGUUCGCUUCUCAGGGAAAUCUUCUUGAUUUUCUUGGCUAAGAAGAUCCGUCAGAUUUGUGAUAGCCUCUUCCUUUAUCCGUAGAGCUUCAGAAGAAGAAGAUGGGUUUCAAGAAUGCGAUAAAGAAUAGAAAUGGCUUCAGAUGGCCUCUAAAGCAUGAGCAAUCGAAUCAGUAGUUGUUGGGAGAUAUGAUGAAGACAUUGUCAAUGCUUUGAACUAUACAAGUCCUGCAGAAAGAUAAAGGACCAAACUGUUAAAGAAACUGAAACAAUGGCGGUUUUCUGUUCUACCGUCGUCUUUUCUCGUCGUCUAUAUUAAGGUAAGAUGGCGGUAGAUUUAUAAUUACCGACGUAGAUUAUUUUGUUAAACGUCGUUAAGUGUACUACAACCGACGUGGAUUUUAUUUUUAAAUUAUAAAUAGAGUUUUUUUUCCCCUAUUCUUUCAGUUUUAGUUUUCAAUUACAAAGCGUGAUAAAUAGAUUUUUCUUUCCCGAGGAAAUUUAAAAUGAGGGAAAUUAAUGUUCUAGAAUUUGUAAACUAACACGACGCAAUAUUUGCAAAUCUGUGUCAUCUGUUAAGAUUAUGAUGUGGAACAGAGUUCCAUCUGGUAAGAUUUCGUAACCCUUGGGAUCUCAGACAAAUCUGAUUAUGUCGGCGGUUUUCUAUAUAAAUCGUCGUGGUUAUUUCAAUUCUUGUCAUUAAGUAGAUCUACCGACGUAGGAUAAGAAAAUCAAAGAAAAAAAUUGUUAACAAAAAUUCUUAUUAAGACGACGGUUAAAAUUAAAGGUACGACGUAUAAAAUGAAUAAAUACGACGUUAAAUUUUAUUGUACGAUUUAAAGAUAACGUCGUAGAACUAUAAGAGAAUGACGUCGAUAUAUUUAUAUUUUCCGUCGUUGUACAUUAAUUUAAUACGGCGAUAUUUUGUAUUUUAAAGCCGUGGAUUUGUUUGUAAUUAUACGGCGUCUUAUACGAAAACCUCGUCGUGUUAUUUUAUGAGUAAAAACGGCAGUUUUUAUUGAAAUCGUCGUCUUUACUUUCUACGUCGGUCGAUUCAUAACUUCUGCCGUUCUUUGUUGGCAUUGAUUUUACACUGCGAAAAUCUGUUUCAAAUAGACGUCGGUUGUUUAAUUAUGUACGUUGUUGUUUUUGAACAGCCAUUUGAAUCUCCAUUUUUUAGUUGUCUAAGGUUGUAUUACACGACGGUGUUUUUAGAACCGUCGUCUUUUUAAAAACCACGACGGUUUUCACUUAGACCGUCGUUGUUUUCUGGUCGUCUUUUUCACUUUUUGUAGUAGUGGCAUAUGAUGACGACACUCACAACAAGAUCAUGGCAUUUGACUCGAGUUGUAUGAUUCUCUCUUAAGUGUAUGUAAAGUGUAUGACAUUUACAUCAAUACGUGUAUUCUUAAUUGAAAUCUACUAUGGCAUUUACUCAAAUUAACAAUCAAGAAUCCAUUAAGAUCAAAGAGAAUAUGAGUGUCACAAAAACCCUAAAACAUGGCAUUUGUUAUUAGGAAUUCAAGAAUCGAUUUCUCAUAACUAGUUCUUAACCCAAUUAUUCGUUGCAAAUAAGAACACAUUCAAUAUGGCAAUUGACCUAUGUUCUACAACAAUUUAAUUCCAAUACAUGCUUCUAAGUUAGCUACUCAAAGAAACAAAAUAUCAGAAUUCACAUAACAUAUAGAAACCGAAAACAUCACGCUUGUAGAAACUAAAAAUCCAUUAACCUUGUUUAUAAAAUUGAAAUCAUGUUUAGGGCUUCAAGAUUAAGCCCUAACUAACAAGAAAUUAGUUACUCAUGGUCUUGGAUGAACUCAAAAAUAAAUACAUAAGAACUGAAAAUUAAAGAAGGAAGGAAAAGAAAGAACUCGUUCGCAGCUUUCUCCUCUUGCGCUGUUGAUCUCUUUAGGACGUGAAUCCUUUUUAUCAGCCUUGCCUCGUCUUUUAUAUCACUUAUAUCAGAGUUCUAAACCCUAAAAUUGACUGAAAAGUCGUCCAAGAAGUCUUGGUAAACAAGGAAUCCAAAUAGGAAAGUAAAAAUCACAAUUCCUAACUCCACUGGGAAAUACAGCUCAGCCCAAUGUUCACACGAUUUUGGGAUCUUCGACCUUGUAGAAAAAUCAUUAAAAAUAUAUUUUAGAAAGAUAAAUGUCUUAUCUUUCCAACCAUAUAUAGCACGUAACUUGAAAAAUUCGGAAAGGCUUCCGUUUCUUCACAUUCACGUAGCAUGUACGAAACUGUCCUGUCUGCACGUGGGCUAACUUUACUUGUAAUACUGUACCAAUUGGCUCGGUAGAAAAUUCUAGAAAAAUCAUAGAUUGAACUUCAAGAUGUUAGCUUUCAUCUCCAAUCAGGGGCGGCCUUGGGGAGGUGCAAGUGGCGCCACCGCACAGGGCCCCCGAAAAAAAAAAUAUUUAUAUUAUAUAUAUAUAUUAAUAUUAUAUGAAUCGUAUAUAUAAUAUAGCGUCUGGAUAUUUGCACAACAGCGUGUUCAGGGGAGUUGGAUGGAGCACAUCUCUCUUUGGCAAAAGGGCCCGAGUUCGAUGCUCCUUGAUGUCGUUCUACUGGCUAGCCUUUUGUGAUAUUAUUUUUGCAUUCAAACUUUACAUAAUUAUUGAACCAUUGGAUUAAUAUGCAACGAUGGGUGACCACAAUCUCUUGGACUCCUGUGGUCCAUGAGAUCGGGACUGAUAUUACAUGACUUAUUUUAUUAAAUUAUUAUCAUGUUGAUGAUUGGUUGUAUGAGAAUAUAGUUUGUAGAAAUAUUUAUCUAUUUCUUGUUGGGGUUUUCUUCCAGGUUAUAGGGUUUUGGAAUUUUUCUUUGUAAUCUAAACAUGCCACCUACUAGAAAAUACGUUUAUGGAUAUACAAAACGGCUUAGAAAAAGAAAAUUCGAGGAAUUGACUCAAUCUCAAAGAGGAGCUCUUGAUAGAUUCAUUGUUAGAGAAUCACAUGCUACAAUUGAUGAAAAUAUUUAAAUUUUUAUGAAUUUAAUUUCUGAUUUUCAUUGCAUAUUUAUUGAUGGUGAAUUUUAGUUAUAAAAAAAAAUUGUUUAUGACAUUAAGUUAUGGCAAAUUUUUAUAGUAUUUUCGUAUUAGAUUAUGCAAGGCCCCAAUUUAAGUUUCGCACAGGGCCCUCAAAAUCUCAGGGACGGCCCUGUCUCCAAUUGGUCUUGUGCUAAAAUUCCUCCGAAAAGUUGAUUUUCCCUUAAAAACCUUCUAAGAGUGCAGAAAAGCUGAAAAUCAGAAAAAUAAAGUAAUAAGCCAUUUUUAAAUCUAAUUCUCUUACAAAACCAAAGUAAAAAGAGUACAUAAAUGAGUAUAUUUAUGGACUUAUCAACGUCUUCUUCGUUGGACUUGGGGUUGUUUUCCUUAUAUGUCCCCUAUAUAUAUAUAUGGCCUUUAGUUGAGCCCACAAAUACCUUCAGUUAGUUUUUGGGUUUAGGGGCCUACAGAACCUGCACUAAACAAUAAAAGAAAAUACCUAAUUAGUUUAGUACGAAUUUAUAAUGAAGGCUUUAUUAGGUGAAGUUUUAUUUCUUAAUCGUUAGAUCAAAUUGGUUAGCAUCUGAAGUCGCCCAAAGAUUUGAGAGGGAUUCCACAAACAUAUAAUAUAAAGAAAGAAAGCAAUAGUAGGAGAUGAACCAGUACAAAAAACAAUAUAUAAAUAGUACAUAAUAAUUCCAUAACCUUGUCACAAACGCACUCACAAAUGCUUUCCAUAAACCUUGCCCUAACAUAUAACAAAUAAAGGCAACAUUGCAUAUGAUGCAACCAUGUCCAAAUCUGAUACGUGAUAAAAAAAAAAGGACAUGGCAGCAACAUAUGACUGAAGUAGAUGGGCUCUUUGCAUCUCGUGUUAUCGUAAUUAAAGACAUCAAAAUAUUAAGGUUGAAAUCUUCUAUAGUAGCAAGCAUUAAAAUAGGUUUGAAGCAGAGUUUAAAGAAAAUUCCAAUUCCACUGAUUUGCCUCUGCUCAAAGACGAGAACCAAAAUGGUUACUUCCCUUGCUGAGUAUAUUUGUUAACGUCGGAAACGGUAAUAGAUGACCAAUCAAACCCAAGUACGACGAGUUUUGCAUAGGAUCAGAAGUAGUUGAAUCCAGCUUGCAUCACACGCUUCUUUGACUCCAUUGCAUUAGAUGAGUUUUUGUAUUUUUGAACAGCUACACUCCGAAGUCGUUUGUGUCUACGCUUCAUGCGCUGCAACUUCGCCCUAUCCAGAUUGGCCUGCCUUUUGUCAUCUUCAAUUUGGCCUUCAACAAAUUCCAAACGUGCCCUUGCCCUUUGGAUUUCAUCACCAAGUUGAAGAUGCCUCUCCUUCCAAAAAGCAAGAACUCUUUCAGACUCAAAACUUCCAACAAAAUGGUCAUUCUAUCUAGGAAUGUGACAUUGCUUGUCUGGUGACUCACCUGCGUUUCAAAGGCGGUCUUUGUUUGGAGGGGUGUUUAUUAUGCUCACAUCAAACUUGGUUAGUAAAUCCAUUCUAUGGGGGGAGUGAGUUUCUGUGGAGGAGAGAGUUUCAGUAGAUGGAGACAGAUUCGGUGGAGGAGUGAGAUUUUUGUGGAGGGAGAAUUUCUAUGAAAUGGGUGAUAGUAAUACCAAUAAAAGGGUUCCCGCCAAAAAGUAUUUGGUUGACAAUGUAUAAAUUAAUUUUUGGUCUGAUACAAUCUAAGUUUAAUCCUAACUAGUUUGGUUAGUUUGGUUGAAUUCACUAACUAGAUGUCACUUCCAUUGAGUUUCUUUCAACCACUAUCAGUGGUGUAAGGAGAGUGUGAGGUUGACAUGCUUGAAAAGCAAAACCUAACACCUCUUUUUUUUAAAAUUGAAAGAAAGUACAUAUGUUGACUACACACAAGCUUUGGUAUGUUGGUCUAUAAAGCUAUGUUCCCUUUCUCAAACGAAAUUGCAUAUGCAAUCCUCGUCCUCCCAAAACAAAUAGAAUUAUUCAAGCAUGUCAACCUCUUCAGGCGCCAACAACACAAUCAAAGAUGACAAAUUGGAGUCGCAGGUUCUAUUUCCACAUUGUACUCGCCGACCCCUUCCAUUUUCAACAUCAUUUGGGAGUGAGGGGGACUCCGAUGAUCCAUUAGAGCUAAUACAUGCAGUCAAUAGCAAGCUGGAUUAUAAUUCCAGACUGAUCAAUUCAUGGCGCGAGAAAUAUGUUGAAGACGAAGCCAUUUUGGCUGAUCUUAACAUUAGAGUGAACAAAGCGUUCUCCCAAAAGAACAAGUACUUGAAGCUGAGUCAUAAAAGGAAGCUGAAAGCUGAGGAGUUAGAUACAGUAAUGAAUGAUGAAAUUAAAGGUUGUUUGAUGAAUCAUAUGCGAUGCGAAGAGCACCACAGUGAACUGGAGUUGGCAUUCAACGAAGGAUUCGAAAAAUUACGAGCAUUUGCAGCAACUACUCAUACAAGUUAUAAUUGGGACUAUGUGUCCCCUGAUGUUGUGAGAGAGAUACUAGACGAUGGUGGUGACAUGAAUGAGCAUAAGCACGUCAAAGCUGCUUGGAAGAAGCCGACCGAUACGACUAAGUGAUUGCGGCUACAGUUGUUCAGUUGGUUGAGAGUGAUCGUGGUAUUGCACAAAUUAGAAGUAUAUUCCCAUAAUGUCAUUAUCUAAUUUAAAAUAACACAAAUAUCAGUUUCAUUUGCUUCAUAUUGUAACACCCCGACCCCAAAUUUCCCCAAAAUUUACCCUCAUUUAAUUAAUUAAUUAUUUAAGGGUAUUUUAGUCAUAUUUUUAACCGGAGAGAGUUUGGGACCAUGACUUGUAUUUUUGGAUAGGUCGUACUGAGACGAGUUCAUAGACACGUAGUGGGCUCGAAUCAGAGUUGUAACGAGAGAGAUAUGGUCAAAAGAAACCCAGUGGCACAAUCGUAAAUAUUUCAAAAUGGGAUUUUUAUAAAAAUCUGGUUUUUCUCUCUCUCUCUCUCUCUCUCUCUCUCUCUCCCGCGACUUCUCUCUCUCUCCCGUCGGCUCUCUCUCUUUCUCUCCUUGUAUCUCCGGCCACCGACCACGGCUGUGGGCGGGGCCGGUACCAAACUGACCGGGACGACGUCCCCUUCCUUCCCCGACCAUUCCCCGCCGGCAACGCGGCCGUUGCUGGCCGGAAAAUGCAGAAAACCGCCGGGAGGUCGUCGAAACUUCAACGCCGUCGAUCUCCCUCCUCCGGCCACCAUUUUCGUCGACCCAGGUAUGGAUCUUGAACCUCUCGAGCUGUUCUAGCUGUUUGUUGGUUGGGUUUUGAUCGAUUCGAUCUCUAGAUCACUCGAUUUUCGAAUUGAAAAUUGGCCGAAACUUCGGCCGCCGUGAUCGGCCAUUUUCGGCCACUUUUUGUGGUAGGUCCAAGAACAAAAGUGGCUCCAAAUAGGGUGUUAUACCUAGGGUAGAAGUUUGGAGCCGAGAUGUUGAGAUUUUCCGGCGAAGCGUUAUCGCUUUGGGCACCCACGCGUGCGGCGGCGCGUGGGCACUGUAGAAAAAGUAGAUGUGUUCCGAUGAGAUCCUUAGGUUGUCACGAGUGCGUAGGAUUUGGCGGAUCUCAAUUCGGACGUCGUUUGACUAUCGAACGGAUAAUCGCAUAUUAUGCGUUAUCCGGGUUCGAUAGGUUGAGACCGUCGGAUGGUCCCAAAUUUAAUAUAUGUUGAUCUAGGUAUUUCUAGGAUCGUGUAGGAUUUCACGGAUCGUGAAUCGGAGCCCCGGAUGUUCCGAAUAAUAAUUUAAAGUUUAUAUUUUAUAUUAACCAUCAGAUUAUGCGAUCGUGAGAAAUCCGACCGUCUGAUCUGAACCAAACUGGCAGGAAAAGUGUCCUGUACCUGGUAGAACCCAUAGGGACCUUCGGAUCGGAAAUUGGAGGUCGUGGGUUCCGCAAGUCUGUUUGACCAGGGUUAGAGUAGUUUGACCCUUGGUUGACCGUGAGUCUCCCGGAGUAAUCUCACCCUUCCAGGGGGAAUUAUCGGGAGCUAGACUAUUGUGGAGGGUUACACAAUAUUAGAAUUAUUUAUAUAAUUAUAUAUGGUUGUACAAGGGUACAACAAAGUCUAGAAUGUCAGUUUGGAGUGCUAUACGCACUACUUUAGGUACCUCCUCGGAUUUUGGAUUCGCUACAAGCACCACCAAGUGAAAGUUAGGUCCCGCGUGGCGUAGGUUAUCCGGCGUUGGGACAGACCCCAUACGUGGCGUUGGUUGUACCGGCGUAUGGGGAGAUUUGCAAUAUGAUGUUCAGGUCUCACGUGGCGUAGGUUAUCCGGCGUUGAGACAGGCCCCGUACGUGGCGUUGGUUGUACCAGCGUACGGGGAGAUUAUGUGAUAUGAUGUUGAGGUCCCGCGUGGCGUAGGUUAUCCGGCGUUGGGACAGGCCCCAUACGUGGCGUUGGUUGUACCGGCGUAUGGGGAGUUAUAUGAUAUGAUAGUAUGGCAUGGUCGCACAUGGCGUAGGUUAUCCGGCGUGUUGACAGGCCCCAUACGUGGCGUUGGUUGUAUCGGCGUAUGGGGAGAAUAUGUGAAAUGCAGAGAAAGGAAAUAAGGUAUCACCGAUGUGUGGAAUUGGGUUUUAGGGAAGAACUACGUGUGGCUUGAUCCCUCAAGGAGGGUACGUAGGCAGCCUAAGGUUAUUGGGUGCAGCCGCAGACUAAAUAUUAGUCAUAUUUGGUAUUUGAAUUGUAUGGUAGUUGUUUGAGAAUUAUUGGAAGGCCAAAGGCCAUUUAUGAGAAUUUGCAUGAAAUUAUAUUGUGCAUGCUGCUAGUUGUGGAUAUUAAAUGUGUUUUUAUGCAGGUUGAAAUUUUGGGAAAUGUCCAAUUUAUAGGGGAGACUCUGCUGAAAUUUCGGCAGGAAGUCUCGGUUUUUAGUAAGUGGGCCUGGCAUCGGGGUGAUGUCAGGAAUUCCAAAGGGUUCGUCUCGGGUUUUGAGAAAAUUCGGGGCGGGUCCUUAAACAUAUAUAAUUAUUGGGACUAUGUAUUGCAAGUCAUCAUGUGUUCCUUCUGUCUAACAUUAUAUUUUGCAAAUAUCAAAAUAUUAUUCAAUAAGCAGUCAAUAUCACAGCAAGUUGGGAAUUAGUAAAGCCCCAUUAUCAUGUCCGUUCACAUUAAAGAGCUGGCGUACUUUUUCUCAAAAAACUGACACGUGAGUCAUAAGUAACAUAACAUGUGCUAUACAUUGUUUAGUGAAUGGUUUAUGGUUUAUUUAUAUAUAAUAAAAUUCCAAAUAUUGCUGAAUAUUUGUUUUUUCUAUAUCCCUGGGAACAUGAGUGACCAUAAGCAUGUAAGACCUGUUAAGAAGAAGCUGACUAAUACGACCGAGUGAUUGUGGCUACCGUUGUUUAGUUGGUUGGGGAGAUCGUGGUAUUGCUAAGAGGGAGCACAUAAUGUGCUUUGCAAUCAAAUUUUCUUUUGUGUGUGGAAUUAUGAGUAGUUCAAAUGUUAGUGUACCCUUUAAUAUUCUUCAACCGUUUGAAAUGUGAUUAGCUGCAAUGUACUUUUUUACACGCUGCUUUCUAAUCACUCUGUUCCAACAAAGUGCUUUAAGUAUCCUUCAGUUACAAAUGUUUACAAAAUCGUGCAUCUAAUAACCAGUCGAGCUCAGAUCUUAAUAACAAGUAAAACACUAGAACAUAACAUUCGGAAAAAGUGGGUGCUGCUGGAAAUCAUUACUGGUAAUGGAAGCAAGAGCUGGCUGCUGGAAAUGCUGCAUUAGCCUGUGAUAUAAUCAAUGAAUCUCUGUUAAAACAUAAUUCACCAUAAACUACCCAUUUUACAUGGUAAAAGUCAUUGCUUCUUCACAUAACUCAAAAUUUGAUACUUUAUCAAAUGUCUAUGAAAAUUUCUAAAUAGGGGAAAGACGUAAAAUUAACAUGUGUCCAAAUUUCAUGCAAGAAUGAAACCAAGCAAAUUUUUAUUUCAAUUAUCAGUGGACAUAGUAAGAACUCAUCGGUGGACAUGAACAAAAAAAUAAUAAUAUUAAAAACUGAAUCUAGAAAACUUCACCUGAUCAUUAGUCUUCAUAACAACCGAAUUUCGUCUAAUAGAAACAUAAAUCAUUCAGUUGGUCCGUGCAUCGUGUCAAAUUCAUAGAAUAAUGGGUCACUACGAUCUAUUGGAGUUGAUUCGUCAUUGUUCGACGGUGAUGUCCUGCAUAGACAUCAAACACAAGCACAGAAAAAAUUUACCUAUUCAAAUUUUAGGUGUUAUUAUAAAUAGUGUUAGCAUCUUACGGUGUGUUCAAAUUUCUUGCGCAUUGUCUUCUAUCAUGACCAAUGUGUCCACACUCCAGACAGUGUCUAAUCCCUCGCUUCAUUGCCUUUUCUUUUGCUCCCGUUACUCGUUUCGACCUUCUUUUGCACCUCACUCUCUUAGGGUCUUUCAUAUAUUGUGUUUGAGAGCUGGACCCUCCAACUUCGUUAUUACUUGGUCCAUCCUUCAACAACUUCAACUUCACCUGCAAACUUUUUAGAGUCUCUGACAGUAGCUCACAUCCUUCUUCACUCAUUAAUGCACCCUCAACCACAUCUUAAGCAAGUCGAGACAUUGUACUCCGCCUUAUUAAAAGACCAGGAUCUGCAGAGUCUUUAAUUUCGUUGCCAUUUGCAUCUGACACCAAUUCAGAUUUUGCAGUUUUCUUCCACCUCUUUAAAAUAUAUUUAUCGGGCAUAUAUUCAAUCUGGUCCCUUCUGAACAAUGCUAGGAUGUGCUUGCAAAUAAUUCCAACAAAUUCAAAUCUUUUGCACCCACACGAUGCGUGGUCAGAAUCUUUAACAUAUACGACGUCUGCCACUCUUGUUUCCCAAUUUUUCCUUUUGCUCACGCGAAAGACAACUUUAGAAGCACCCUCUGUUUUGAGCUCUAGGAAACAUGUUGUACUUUGUAUUAGUUCUUGGUCAAACUUUUGAAACAUUGUCCUUGUGUACAAGGUAGCCAUUUGUUUGUUCAUUGGCAUCGGUAGAAUACAUUGAGCCACUUCAAAUGCAUCUACGUGAUCAGCAACUAACUCUUUUUGACGUUGAUGAGAAAGUGCCCUCUCAAAUCGUAUUAUGAAAUCCAUCAACGAAUUUCUCCUUGAUAUGUAUUGCUUGAAAAAACCAUGAGAACCUUCCACUCUUUGGCUGCUUGACAUUCCAGCGGCAAAAAAUUGUUGUGCGUAGGCUGGAACCCAAGAUUCUCUUAAAUCAAACAUUGAACUUAGCCAUGGAUGGUCAGUCAAACCAGCCUUUGUAACCACAAUAUUCCAUUUUGUAACAAACUUAUCCUUAUUGUCAGUAUCCCAUACGGCUUUCUGAAAUUCACGCCAAUACUCCUUAUAAGCAGAAUGUGGUAACUUAACAGAGAACUUUGAUGUGAUGUGCAAUAUGCAAAGUCGAUGAAAUGUAGUCGGGAAGGGUAUUGAAAUCGCUCUGGUCAUUGCCGCAUCUUGAUCUGUAAUGAUCGUUUUAGGUCCGCCACUUGGCAUGGCUUUCUUAAACUCCUCAAACAUCCAAAUAAACGACUCAGUCGUUUCCUUGCUCAAAAAUGCGCAUGCUUAGACAAUUGUCUGACCAUGGUUAUUAACUCCCAACAUUGGUGCAAAUGUCAAGUCGUAUCGAUUCGUGUUGAAUGUGGUAUCGAAUACAACAACAUCUCCAUAAAACCCGUACGCCCAUCUAGAAGUUGCAUCUGCCCAAAAACAUUGACUAAACCUGUCAUGGCCAUCUCUCUCAAUCUUGAAAUAAAAAGCCUCAUUUUUUUUUUCUGUUCAGCCAUAAAAUACUCGGUCACUAGUUCAACAUCGUGGUUCCUCAACUUCCCAUUCACACUACAUUCAAAAUUGUAGAUAUCUUUUUUGAUAAAACCGAUUUUAUCCAUUCCUCCGGAUUGCACCUCGAAAAUACUUACCUUCUGAUGAAUGAGAAUAUUAACCGAACCCAACUGUUUUGUGAGUACUUUUGUAGAAUCUGAACUAUGACGGUGUGAUCUCAAUAAAUGCAUUCUUUCUGAGGGUGUCAUCUUAUGAUUGUGUCCCUCUGCAAAAAGAGAGAUGGUAUACUUCUUGCUCCCAUUUGUCUUCACAACCACAAUCUUAGCUUUGCAAUUGCAUCUACUUAUUCCCCGCUGUCUUUUUCUCUCCCGAGUUUCAUCUCUCCUGUAUUCACCUUGUUUGCAACAUACAAAUUCUUUCCUCAAAAUCUCUUUCUUAUUUCCCCCCCAAAAGCUGGAAUGAAGUCGAAUACCAAAGCCAGCCAAGAAUGCAUAUCUAUUAUAGAAAUUGUAAACGAGGUCAAGCAAGUCGAACUUCAUCCCAACUGCUGGUGUUUCCUCAUUUCUUACUUCAAGAAUGUAAACCCUCCCAUUAGCUGUUACACAGUCAUCACUCUCUGAGCCCCCAGACAUUUUAUCCACGUAUAUUAUUGAUCCACUUCUAUAUUAUUGCAUAGCAAAUAUUAAUUCAUUAAUAAAUCAUUACUGCAUCACAACAUAUCAAUGCAUUCCACUUACACAAAACAUUGCCCAAAUUGACACAAAACACGCAUAGCCUAACUUGUUGGAUUCCGAUUACACAAAACGCAAGCAAAAUUUAAUAAUAGUUACGUCAUCUCUUGUGAAAUAAUCUAGAAAAAAUAACAUUAGAACCAACAUGUUCAACUAAGAACACAAAUGCAAUUCAAACCAGCAAUCACAUAACUUCACCCAAUAUCCUCUCCAAAUGCUUACUCCUAAUGUCAUUAAGCCUAAGUUUAGGAUCUUUUACCUACAUUUCAUAAUUUUUCACCCCCACCAAAAAUAAUCAACUAAGUAUACUGAAUAUUCAUAAGGAAAUGACGCAUUAUUGAUGCCACAAAUGACGAAUUUCCUACCCUCACAAAAAACAAAUCAAACCCAAUUAAAUCAAUCCAGCAAGAGUGAACUUACCUCUCAAAAUCAAUCGGGAGCUCCGAAGUCAGUAAGCUUGAGAGAAUGUGGUGGACAUUAGAGAAGACUCUUUGGUAUUGGAGACUCCAUCUCUACCAAAAUCGAGGAACGAACUGCUGCUACGGCGUCUAGCUACAGAAAAAGAUAUGCUACUUUACUUUCAUCUGGAAUCUUGUUUGCUGAACGAAAAAGAGAAAGGGUUUUCACUUGAGCCAUAGAAUCAAAACAAGGCAACAUCUAGGUAAGAGCCAUUAAUCGUCAUAUCGAGGAUACCAUAGAUCGCAGGCCUCCCAAGGAGCUGAUGACAAUGGAGCGACUAUAGGGUUUGGGAGCUUUGGAUCCUUCUAAUUGUGGGUUUGCGUUACAUUCAAAAAAAGAGGAGUGUGUUGUUGAGUUUUUCACAUAGAGGGAAAGAGGGAAAGAUCUUCAACUGAAGUUGGGUUUCCAACGGGUCAAAUUUCAACCCGGUUCUACAUGCACCCUCUUUUAAAAACUCACCGUUGGAUUUCAUCCAACGGCUCGUACAUACCCCUCAAAAACACCCCUUAUAACUUUCCACUCACUAUAGAAGCUCUCCCCAGGAAAUGCUUCGAGGUAGAUUUUAUGUUUUGGGCCUUGGGACCCAACUUCACAAAAAGAAAACAAAUUUGACCAAAAAACAAAGUUGAAGGACAUUGAUAUUGUACCUGUAGGAUAGGUUAAAACACUAAAAGGAAGGUAAAUAGUACGUUUACAGAGUUUAAGUGUAAUAAAGGAAUAAAAACAUGCCCAGAGAAUUGAUAAGUGAUAUCAAUUCUUGAAUAUAUAGAACGUAAAAUAAAGGAAUACGUAGAAAAUUAUUUUAUGUGGUAAAACUCAAUCUAUGGGGCCACGGGACUUCUUAGUCCAAAAAAAAUCCAUUGAACGAUGAUUACAAGAAGUACUCACACACUUAUCCUAGACACAUUCUAGAUAAUUUUUACUAACAUCUUUGUAACUCAACUUCUGUCAUAGGAUGAUUUUUUGACACUCCUUAUGUUGAACGCAAUACUGGUCACGAUUUCUUCAAGCUCGCAGGAACUCUCCUUAUAUUGAAUAUGAUACUAGUCACGAUAGAUUCAAGCUCAUCGGAGAAAAACAGCCACAACGGUCUUGGUGCCCUCAAUGGUAUGAGUCACUGAACAUGCAAAUAAAUACAAUAUGAAUGAUAAAAGUGUUUGAUAAAUCACCAAGUUAUGGAACACUUGAUGAUUUAUCUCAAAUAAAAACUCAGCUUUCCAAAGUUUAUGAAUUGAAAAUAUGAUCGUUAAAGCUCUCUAAACAAAGAAGACGAAGAUCUUAUUUUAUAGAAUUUUUCUUUAUAAGAAAGAAAACACAUUGAAAACCAAAUCUCCAAGGCUUGACAGAAAAUCACAAAAGUAUCUUUCCUAUUCUAGAGAUUGGUCACAUGUAGUCCAACCAAUAGGACAUGAGAUAUUUAAGAAAUGAAGAUUUUGAUCAAUAUCAAUAUCAAAUGAAUUCUUAUACGCCUAGUCAACUAUUAAGGGUAUCUUGACUCCUUGAUAUUGUGAUAUGAUUGAAACAUGAUUUCCACGUUAGAAAAUUAAGGGGAUGUUAAAACAUGAAAGUAAUAGGAGAAUCAAAUUGAUUUCGGCCAAAAUUGCCUAAAAAGAAAACACUCCUAAAUAAACUCAAUUCACUUUUAAAAACAGUAAAACGUGAUUGAAUUGUUCUUUAAAACAAUUCCCUAAUAUACAUGCAUGAUAAUGACAUCACUUACCUCUGAAUCAAAUGCCUUUCAUAGGUCAAGCCACAAGUCUGUGUUUUGGGGAUUGCUGAGCUGCAUCAAUCCUGCCAAUGUCAAUGCUGCCCCUAUGCUCUCUCAAAGCACGUUUACAACCUAUGCUAACAUAUACCCUAAACCCUAGUAUCAAGAAAAUGCCAACACUAAUUUCGUAACACGUAGAAAUUGUUAGAGAUUGGAAGUUUUUUUUCUUCAAGUCUCUCCACCACUCACUAAUACAGAUUGCUCAUGUGAUGAGUUUACAAAACCUAUUUCUCUACUCUCACAAAGACUAUACUUCUUCUCAAAAGACUAUAUCACUUUACCUCUAUCUCUGUGAAAUGUAAAAAGUUGAAACUUUAAUGUCAAACCUCGACAAAAGAUGAACUUCCAUAAGUUACGUUGAAUUUGGAUUUGUUGAACUUAAGUGGUUUUACUUUUCUGUCAGUGUUUGAUGACUUAAUUUGGUAUUUACUUCUUCUUUUUUUCCUUGGAAAUGUGUUCCACCAACGUGAGGAAGAAAAAUAUGCACAAAUUAAUAUAUUUAAUAGAAGCCCAAGAUUUCGGAAGCACAUAAUUUCUACAAAAUUCUACAAAGUGUUCUACUUUACAAACUUCAUAUGUCUACCAAUUUUUACUAAAAUUAAUUUAUCUGCAGUGCUCAAAUUCAUCAUAUGUGUGUCCUUAAUUUUAGUGAAAAUUGGAAGUUUCCAUUAUUUUUGUUUUACGGGAAUUUUUUGAACCAAGGAAAAUCAAGUAAAAUUAAUAAAGCAUAAAUUGGAAAGGGAAAAUAUCUAGAGGAUGCAUUGUAGGAUUGCUCAUGCCAAUAAUUGUACCCUCUAAAUAUAUAGGGACAUAUUUUUUUUGCUCAUACCACUUGUUGCAGUACACAUUCACCCGUUUUCAAAGAAAGAAAUUCUACCAAUCGAUAAUGUCUCAAAUUUAAUCACAUAUUUUAUGGACCAUCCAGCUAUGAGGUUUUAUCUCAAAAACCUUCGGUACAUUUCUCCCACAUGCCACAAUUGUAUAUUCACAAUUACGUCUGAUACAUCACAUCAUGCCACUUGCCUCAAAUGAAUUUAAGUGAGUGAGGCAGUUGGAAGUAAUUAAGCUCUAUAUUGGUGGGUGGAGUGUUAGUUCUGGGUACCCCUCAUCAUUCGUCUAUAAAAUGGUGAAGCCAGUUGCUACUGUUACCAUAAGAGCCAGCUCCGACUUUCUUUAAUUUCUUGCUUCAUAUCCACUAGCUACAUCUGUUGCUCUUCUCAGUGUAAGCUCUGCAAUUUGAUUAACUUUCCCAUUAUCUCUCACUGUACUCUAUAUAAAGGAAUAAGUGUCGUCCAUUAAUUCUCUCCGAAAGUGUCGUCCUGAUUUUAAUUAGAGUUCGAAUUAAUGUUGCAGCUAGCAGCGGUUGCACUGGCAAACCAUGCUGCUCAACCGGUACCUCAACUUUACUGGAACUCCGUCCUGCCAAACACACAGAUGCCAAGAUCUAUCAGUGAACUUCUGCAUCCUGGUUUGUGUUUGAGCACUUUAGAAUCUUAGAUAUCUCUUCUACCUGCCAUUUUACUAAAAUAUGUUCAACCACAUAUUUAUCAGUUAACUACUGUCAUUACAUGAGUGACACAUAUUCACAAAUCGGCUGAUCACUUAUUUUCCAUUAUGACGUUGAUAUAUAAUGUUGGGAAUGGAAAGCCAAUUGACCACAAGGGAAAACCUGAAAAUACUGUACUACCACAGCUAGCACGAAGCCCAUUUUCUUACAAGAGUGAUGUGGGGACCAAAUCUCAUGUAUCAUAGCUUAACCCAUAUGCCACAACUAAAAGACGUGGGAUGAUCGAACAGCAUACCCACAUGGUCAUGGAUCUCUUCAGAUAAUCAAUAUUAAACAACCCAUAAACUUCUCCCUUUGAAGAACAAAUUAAAACCAAUUUCUAGAGGAAGGUUACAAAACAUUUUAGCCCGUGAAGAACAAAUCAAGACAAUAUAACCCAUUUGAUAACAAAAUCAAAAUGAGAUUUACCAAUACUAGAUGACCACGGCGCCAGUAUAAUGGUACGACGGCGGCGUUAUUGUAACGGUGGAGAAGUGGAUGGUAUGACGACGGUGUUAGUGUGACGGUGGAGGAAACGAUAUUAUGAAGGAGGCGUUGCUAUGUUCGGUGGAGGAGUCGUGUGUUUCACAGUUCAAUAUAUCCUUUUUAGUCAUUUUAUAUUAGGGUAAAUCAGUAAUUCAAUAAAUAAUUUGAUAGUAUGGUGUACUCAGUUAAUAUUAGGGUUCAUUUAACAGCACUCAAAUUAACUAGUGUAGAGUCUAUCUAUAUUAUUAAUACUAAAAAUAAAUAUAUGACUAAAUAACUCAAAAAAAAAAUAAAUCUACAAUCUUUUUUUUAAAAAAUUUUUUUUAUAGAAUUUUAUUAGAUUAAUAGGCACUACUAAAAAAUCUCCUUAUAAACUACAAAUACACGCAUAACUUAUACUAAUGUGAGCUACUGACACCACCUGCCACAUGACAGUUGUCCAAGCAUAGUGUUGUCAUUCAUUAUUCCCCACAGCAACUAACAUCCAAUAAAGGGUUGGGGCCCACCCAUACUCCACCUCUCUGUAUGUAGCUCUUUGAGAAUACAGAAGAAAUAUUUUUUAGGGAAAUAGCUUAAAAUGAUACCCAUUUCAUAAUUUUAAUUAAAAAUACCACCCCUUUCCAAUUUUUGUACAACUAUCACCUAUAAAUAUAAAAUUAUUGUCCACUUAUUGCUGAUUUUUCACAAGUUCAGAAAUUUUGGAAAGAAGAAGCUCACACAGCUCUCUCUCUCUCUCUCUCUCUCUCUCUCUCUCUCUAGCACAACUCUCUUUCUUUGGUAUCUGUCUAUCACAGCUCUCUGUGUCUCUCUUGGCUCUCUCUAUCUUGGCUCUCUCUCUCUCUAGCACAACUCUCUGUCUCUCUCUUUGCUCUCUUUCUCAUAGCGCAGCUGUUUCUCUCUCUAGCUUCGUUAUGUCUCUUUCUCCCCUAUUCGAUCUCUUGCUUUCUGUUUGGAAUCGCGAACCCCUCCCUUUAGCUAUGUCUUCUGAAUAGCUGCUUGCAACCUUGAAGCUCUAGUGGAUUGCCGACCUCGAAAAGGUAGUGUUGAUGGUUAUUUUCUUAAUAUCAGUGGGAUUAUGUGAAAUGGGUUAUAGUUUGAUUGUUUGGGUUUGUGUUAAAUUCGUUUUGGCUUUAAUUUCUUUGGGUUAGGUUUUGUUGAAUAUUCAUACUCAUUCAUCUGGGUUUGUACCAAUUGCAUUUAGAUUGGUCUGGAUAUGUGAAUCUUGAAACUUGGGAUUUUCUAUUUGAUGUAGUAGAUCUGUAUAGUGUGAUUCUGUUGUGUUCCUCUUAUUUUACAGUCGUAUUGCUGUUAUAUUGUCAUUAUAUUGCUUAUAUAUUGCUGUUAUAUUGUGGUUAUAUUGCUAUUGUAUUGUUUGGUUAUUGUGGUUAUAUUGUGUUAAUGAAAUGUUGUUUUGUCAUGGUCAGAAAUGGAGACAAUUGUUAUUCUCGUGUGCUACAAUGGAAAAUGGGUCACCUCGAAGAAGAUGUGCAAAUACGAAGGGGGUGACUCAAAAGGCUUAAUAGUUCCACGGACCAUCAAAUUUGUUGAACUGUUGGACCGUGUGCAUUAGAUUGGUAAUACAAACAGCAGGGAAGACAAGGUUUGCUUAAAAUUCUCAGUUUUGGUGGCCUCGAAUGAGUGGAAGCACAUAAAUAUUGAGGACGAUGAUGAUAUCAAUUUUUUUAUGAAGUACAAUUCCGAGGUAACACCUUCAAAACUAGCUCCCUUACUCGUGAGUAUAGAAGAUAAAGGAUUGACAAAUGAUGUAGUUCAUAGUAUGCAUAUCACGACAGAUAGUAGUCGGAUGGGUCAUUCUUCAGUUGCCAUUGUUGAAAGCAAUGAAGUAACUUGGAAUAAUACGAAUGUCACUGAUGUGGGAGGUGAAGUAGGGACAGAUUUUGUGGAUAUGAUUGAUUUUAGCGAGGUGUAGGAGAUGCAUGGUGGUGAUAAUAGUACUGAAAGAAAUGAAGUGUCAGUGUACUCUGCCCCUCCUAAUUUGGGCUGCUUCAACAUAGCUGCCCAGUUGCCAAUAAUGCGUUUAGGAGGAGAAUCUGAACCCACUCGUCAACAUUAUUGGAGUCAAAUAGGUGAACAAAAUCGGUACAAUGCAGCCGGUGUAAAUGAUGAAGAAGCAUAUUUGGACAGCGGGUUUUCACGAAGUGAUUGGAAUCCGAAAAUUACAGUUGGGCAAAUUUUCUCUAGUAAGAAAGCAUUGUUGACGGAGUUACGGUUGACGGCAUUAAGAGGCCACUUUGAAUUUAAGGUGCAAUUCUCUUGCACUAAAAGGUUGCUUGUGGUUUGUUGUCAACGUCCAUGCCCAUGGCGGGUCCGAGCAUCGAGAAUUGGAGAAUACAGCUUCAUGAUUGUGAGGUGUACAACUGUCCAUGAAUGUGAUUUGAGGUUCGUAAGUGACAAGCAUCGUCAAGCAACCGCAGCACUUGUAGCCACUUCACUUAAAAGGAAGUGACAUUAUGAGAGAUGUGAAACACAACUUUGGUUGCACCAUCCAUUAUUCGAAAGCUUGGAAAGCAAAGGAGUUAGCUCUAUUGUCCAUUAGAGGAUCAGCGGAGGAGGCAUAUUAUAUCCUUCCAGCUUAUUGCUAUGAAUUGGAGCGUAUGAAUCCCGGCACAAAAACACACAUCCAAACUGAUGAGAACAAUCACUUUGUGUAUUUAUUUAUGGCGGUUGGCGCAUGUAUUAGAGGGUUCCGUUCUUCCAUGCGCCCAGUGAUAGCCGUGGAUGCCACUCAUUUAAAAUCCAAGUACAAGGGUGUUAUGUUUGUAGCAAAUGCAUUCGAUGGUAAUUGAAAUAUAUAUCCUCUUGCUUUUGGGAUCGGGGAUUUGGAGACGGAUGCAUCAUGGCAUUGGUUUUUCACUAAACUUCAUGAAGCCAUUGGUGAGUGUCCCAAUCUUGUUAUUAUUUCUGAUCGCAAUGUUAGCAUAGAGAAUGUGUGGAACAAAAUUUUUCCAACUGCACAACGUGGCAUAUGCUUUUAUCAUAUGAAGGGGAACAUGAAACGCACUUGCUAGUUGAAAAAGCGUGAUCACAUACUUAUGCACUUUGAGCAGGCUGCGAAAUCUUAUUCCAUUGCUGAAUUUGAUUGUCAUUUUUGCAAGAUCAAGCGAAAGGAACAUGUUGCUCAAUAUCUUGAAGAGACAGGGUUACAUAAGUGGUCUAGAGCUCACAUGGAUGGACGCCGCUACAAUGUAAUGACAACAAAUAUUGCAGAGUCAAUCAACUCAGUCCUUAGGUUUGCAAGGAUGCUGCCAGUGGUUCAUUUGAUAGGGGAAAUUGUUAAUCUCCUUGUGAAAUGGUUCACCGAACGUUGUGAGUUGGUUUUGAAUUGCACAACAACAUUGUGCCCCAAUUUUGGAGAGAAGAAGUUGAGGAACAGGUUGGAGGAUGCUGCAAGGAUGAAUGUGGUUAAAGUAAAUAAUGCACAGUUUAAUGUUUUGGACGGUGAUAUGGACGGCCUCGUAGAUUUGGCGAACAGCAGUUGUAGUUGUAGAAAGUUUCAGCUUGAGCAGCUACCUUGCAAGCAUGUAGUUGCAGUUUGCCGCUUCUUGAAAGUAAAUGUAUACGCAAAGGCUUCUCGGUAUUACACUCAGAAAACCUGGAUGAUGCUUAUUCGGAUAGCAUCUACCCGGCACAACCUCACGGAAUGUGGGAUAUUCCUGAAGAUGUUCGAAGUCGAGUUGUGCUGCCUCCCAUGGCAAGGGUCAUGCCAGGCAGACGAAAGAAGAUCAGAAUUCCCUCGCAAGGAGAGGGCACCAUUAGAAGAAAGUGCUCAAGGUGCGGUUCCGCAGGCCACAAUAAAAGCACAUGUAAAAACAAUAUUCCAUUGCGCAAUGUAUCUUAGACAAUAUGAUUUGUGUUGCUUUGGUAGGUCAUGUAAACUCUACUUUUAUUUGUGGUGGGUUUCGUGUUAUGUUGAAUGGGAAUUCUUUUAAAUUUGCAUAAUUUGGGUUGCAUUGCUACAGCAUGCUGUAUUGCUGACAGAUUGCUAUUAUAUUGGACUUUUAUUGUACUGGUAUUGCUUCCAGAUUGCUAUUAUAAUUUGAGUGCGAAAUUAAAGGGACUGGAAUGUAAUUCCAAAUGGAUCCAAAUCAUUAAAGUUCUUAGAAUUCCUAUAUUACACAGUUACUGUGAUACUCCGACUAUACCUUCUUUUAUGAUUACAAAUUCGGCCAAUGCAUAGGCCAGAUGUGGGGCAAAUACAAGGUGAAAUGUCCUAUGUGUUUGACUACAUAUACUUGUUGAAGGAGCAUUACGAAUGCUAACCUCAAUAGAUUGCUCAUGUCUUGCCAAGAACACUCUUGAAUUUAUGCAAUGUGCCCAAGCCAGUCCCAAAGCUGGACUCACCCGUCUGCCUGAUGUGUCCAGGGACUCCAAGUUUCCCAACCUCACCUCAUUCACUUUAUCAUGUGGCCCAAUAAAAUCCACCACUUGGUUGGUGACAACCACCGCCAACCCAAACUUAUUUGCUAAACCCUUCAAUGUCCCAGAUAUGUUGAAAAAUAUUUCAAACCGCCAUUUCAAAUCUGCUGGUGUUGUCUGAUACUGUGAUCGGAACAAUGCAGCAAUGGAAUCAAUGACAAUGAGUUUCACAGGUAGGUGGGUGUGAUCAAUGGCAAUAAAUGCUUCUAUGUCUCCAAGGACAUGGAUGAGUUGUUGAGCAUCAUGAACACCAUGAACAUAUAUGUCUUCCAAUGGCUCCAACCUUAUUAAGUUGGGGUAUGAUGCAUGAUAAAGGUUGCCUAGUUGUUGCAAUCGACGAAAUGGGAAGCUGAAUUCUGUGAAUAUGUAGACGGUGGAGCCCUCUAGUCCGCCAUGUGAGGGUGGGAGCUGAGCUGGUACCGUAAGUUGGAGACAAAGUUGCGUCUUCCCAGAACCACUCUCCCCUACCAAUUCUGUUAUAGAGUUGCAGGGUAUCCCACCCCCCAAGCAGUCAUCUAGUAUUGGGCAUCCAAUGGAUAAUUGAGGGGUUGAAAGAGGAAGGAGCAUGAGGUUUUAGGGUGUCAUAUUUGUGUAAUUUAGGGGGGGAUGUGAUGGUGCUACAAGGCAUGCAUUAUAUAUAUAUAUAUAUGUAGAGUUCAUUUUGAAGGUCUGUAUUGUAGGCCAUAUGUCUUUUAAGGGAUGUAUAAUCCAUCCUUUUUUCAGGUUGUAAUUAAUUUUUUGUUUAUUUAUUAGUAUUUUUUUGGACCAAAUAAUUUAAAAAACAUUAUGAUGCAGUACGUACUGUAAUAGGAUCAUAUUGUAACUCUAUCAUCACUCUAUUGUACUCUUAUUGACAUAAUAUUGCCGUUAUAUGCAUGUUUAUUAUAUAGUUAUUACUGCUAUAUCGCCACUGAACUGGACACCGAUAAACUGUAUACGCACAAAUACAAAAAGAGGCUUCAUCAUUCCAUAAAAUCCUAUUUCCAAACUUACAUAAUACAACAACAGGCCACCCCAUCGUUACAUAAUACAAAAAUACGCCACCUCAUAGUUCCAUUUCCCUACUGUUGACAAAUUCGAAGUUGCAUACUCUUCAAGUGCGGUGACCGCGACGCAUGAAAUUCAUGACCCCGGCCACAGUGAUGUUGGCCUAGUUUCCUGCCGGAUCCACUAUUUUUGCAAACUUACGAAAUAGUUCGAAUCCGCUUUCCACUUCUUCUUGCUUCAACUUGGCCGUUGCUUCUGAUUCCUUGAAUACCAUAAUUGCAGUGGUAGGGGCAAUUUCAAUUUUUGCUUUCAUUGUCUUUAUAUGUAGGAGAUGCAUGCGCGCAUGAUAACGAGAGCGAAUUGUGCGGUUUUUUAUGACACCCCAUCUAGUUUGGCCCUCCACAAUUUUGAAACUAUGUCUGCAUGAAGAUUUUUCCAAAACAUGGUAUUGCCUCGACAUUGCUGCAUGCCAUGGACCAAGUCUGCAGGGAGUGAAUUGGGUGACUUGGCUUGUGUUUCAGUCUUCUCUCCUUCAGUAAUUGAAAGUGUUGGGUGUGGUGUGAGGUUAUGGUCCAUGGUCUUCGAUAUUUAUUGUAGCCUAGUGUACAACUUAAUUGGAAAAAAAGGGGACUAAAUGCGAUGGGAGUGAAAUCAGUGGGGAAGGUAGUGGCUGUAAGCAGGAGUUAAUGUGAUGGAAGUUUUCAUUUCAAACAACUGGGUUGAUUAAUAUAGGCAAGUUUUAAUGACCUGGAGUAACUCAGAGAGUUAUUGGUGGGAGGGAUUAGAGGGAGUAAUUGGCGGGAGGGAUUGGCGGGAGUCUUAGGCGGGAUAGUAUUGGGCGGGAGUUAUUACCCAGUUGACUGUAUGCCUUUUUGUAAUAUAUUUGUAUGUUGGACGUUCCAAACUUGGUAAUUUUCCCAUUAUGUAAUUCAAAUAAGGGAUUUGCCUAUUUGCCUAAUUGACCAACUCAUUCAAAUUGACCAAUAUGGUUAUUGUCUUAUUUCUCAUUUCAGCAAUCUCAAUUCGUUUCCAUUUUUCCAUUCUUCAUAUUUUCCUAUUUUCCAUGUGUCAUCCAAUUUUCCAAUUUUCCAAUUUUUCAUUAUUUUUGCCUAUUUUUUCCUAUUCCCUAUUUUCCUAUUGUGCAAUUUCCCAAGUUUCCUUUUGUUGUAUUUCUAGUUUUCCAAUUUUUCAAUGUUCCCAUUUUCCCAUUAUGUAAUUUAAAAAAAGUUGCCUGCUUUGCCUAAUUCAGAAAGUAAUUAAAAUGGUCCAAUAUGGUAAUUGUCUUAUUUUCCAUUUCCACAAUUUCAAUUCGUUUCCAAUUUUCUUAUUUUCCAUGUGUCCCUAUUUCCUAUUUCCAUUUUUCAAAUUUUAAGUUUUUGUCCAAUUAUCCAAUUAUCUUUUUUCCAAUUGGACUAUUUUCUAAGUUUCCUUUUUUUCCUAUUUCCAAUUUUCCAAUUUUUCAAUUUGCUAACUUUCCUUUUGUUCUAUUUCCAAUUUUGCUAUUUUCCAAGUUGCCUUAUUUCCUAUUUUUCAAUUAUCCAGUUAUCCAAUAUUCCAAUUUUCCAAUUAUCCAAUUUUCAAUUUUCCAAUUUGCGAAUUUGCCUAUUUUCCAAGUGUCCUUUUUUCCUAUUUCCUAUUUCAAAUUUUCCAAUUUUCAUGUUUUCAGAGUUUCCUUUUUUUUUCCUAUUUUCCAAGUUUCCUUUUGUCCAAUUUCAAAUUUUCCAAUUUUCCAAGUUGCUUUAUUUUCCAAUUACCCAAAUUUCCUAUUUUCCAAGUGUCCUUUUUUCCUUUUUCCAAUUUUCCAAUUUUCCAAGUGUCAUGUAAUCCUAUUGCCUAGUUUCCUCUUUCCAAUUUUUCCUUUUUUCCUAUUUCCAAUUUUCAAUUUUCCAAAUUUCCCAAAUUUCCAACUUUCCAUUUUUUCGUAUUUCCGAUUUGCCAAUUUUCCUUUUGUUCUAUUUCCAAUUUUCCAAGUUUCCUUAUUUCCCAUUCUCCAAGUUUUCACUUUUCCUAUUUUUCAAUUUCGCUAUUUUCCAAUUUUCUGUUCUGAAAUUCGCAAUAAAUGCUUAGUUACACAGUCCUAUUUUGGGUUGAAAUCCACAAUUUUCAAUUUCCCAUUAAGGUUUGCUUUUUUGUCGUUUGGAAGCCAAUUUUAUUGUUGUUAAUGUAAUGUUGUACUGUUGUAAAUUACAGCCAAUGAGUUAAUGAUGUAGUUUGCAAUCCCAUCAAUUGAAUGCACCAACUAAAUACCCAAUAUACUUCAUAUAAGUUCGUACAUAUAACUCAACCUUCCUAUACAGAACUGCAACAGAGGCACCUUCUUAACGGGAAAGGUAAUUAGUCUUACUAAAACGCAAAUAUUCUCCACUACAGCUAACCAAUUGUCGUUUACAACUGGAGACUGAAUCUACCUUUAUUUGUUUUGUUGCAGGCAACAGCUGUGAAUUGUCCCCGGCAAUACUUAAAGAUGUCGGAUGUACGCCCUCCAAAUGAGCAUGUCACAGUUACCCGGGGGACCAGCCGUGGCAUGUGCCAUUCCCAUCUCCACCUCGGACUCCCAAUCAUGAUCCCACUUCAUCUGGAAGUGAGGCUGAGAGCAAUGAUCCGCUUGACAAAAUCUCUGCCGUCAAGCACCACCUCCAAUAUAUGUCAAAGGCAACGGAUUGGUGGGAGAGUAAGUGCGAUAUUCAUGGCCAAGUUAUGGGAAACUUGGCCAACAAGUUGAACAAAGCAUACGCUGGAGAGGUGAAGCAAACUCUAAAAGCAAAAAGUCGGAGCAAAGAGUUAGAGUCCUUGAAGUUGAAAUUGGAAGAGAGAAAGAAAAAUGCUGUCGAAAAAUUCACACAAUCUGAAGAAUAUAACCAUGAAAUGGUUGAAUGUUUCAACAACGGCUUUGAAAUGUUCCGAGAUUAUGCUUCGGUCAUCUCACCAGACUACAAUUGGAGUGAAAUUGAUGUAGCUGGUGUUUGGCAGGUGCUGAAUAUGGGUGCUGAGGGAAUGGCUCAUCAUAGCCUCGUGCAUGCAGCAAGGAGAAAGGACAAAGACUUGGAUCUUUUGAUGGACCUGUAGUAACAGUGAGUGCUGCUUCAGUUCAACUCACCUGAGUACAUGGAUCUUUUGUUGCCUUCAUUUUCCCUUCGCAGGCUAGUAUUGUUAAGGUUCGGUGGCGAUUUCUUUUGCAUGUGUAAAAUGUUGUCUGUAAUGUGUAUGUAUUGUAUGUAGAUUGACUUAAUAUUGUAGUUCUAUUGUAUGUAUAUUGCCUUAAUAUUGCCUUUGUAUAGCAUAGAUAGUGUAUGCAUAUUGCCACCGUAUUGGAUGUAUAUUGUAAAACUAUUGGUAUCGUAUUGCCCUUAUAUUGCUCUAAUAUUGCCUCUAUAGUGCACCUAUAUUGACCUAAUAUUGCUCUUAUAUCGUAUGUCAAUGGCAUGUGCUCUAAUAAGUCUCCAGUUCGUUGAAAGUAAUCCUGAAUUCAAAUAUGAUGGACAAGACAAUUGUUAUCCAUCCUUAUAUUACCAUGAAUUGAUUUGGACCUUUCAAAUGAUAGUUGGAGUUGCACAUGGAUUCAUAUUCAAAAGGAAAGUAAUUCUCUCCCUCAAUGAAUUGUCGUUCAAAAGAAGGCAGCUAUCAAAUUUUGGGUACAAAAAGGCAACAUCCACGGUAAAUUAAUUGGGCACAAACCACAUAUUACAAAACCAGGAUGAUUUUUGGCAUGCUUCAAAAGAGAAGGGCCAAAUACAACAGAAAAGAAAAUCCAUUCAAGCUUGUACAAUAGAAUGCACAAUAACCCUUUUACAUGUCCUUCCAACACCAGUGUUUUGCCUACUUUAGAGUCGCAGGAGGAGAGCUUAUUGCCAUUGUGCAAUUCGAGGGGGCAGUCAAUUUGGAAUGGUGGCAUAAACAUGUUUACUCCACGGAUCACCUAUAUGGGACAGAGCUUCCUUCUUCCCUUGUCGUCUGUAGGUUUCAACUUCACACUUUUUAUAUACAUGUAUGAGAACUUGUGGCUAUUUAUUUAUGGCCUUCUAACACUUGUUCUGCCAUUCCAAAGUGGGUUGGAGACUUUUUGAGUUGAAUGACUGGAAAGACUUCAGAUGACAGAAACUAGAGAGUUUGAAGAAAAAGGGUUACCAAGAACAGCAGUCAUGCCCACGACAUAAACUAAACAUGCUAUAAGCUCCACAGUAAUAUUUACUUCAUCUCCAUAAUCAGAAUAUUGGGAAAAAAAUACCACGGAGAAAUACGUGAAAUGAAAAACAACUCGGCAGUUACUGUGAGAUUGUGUACAUAAAACUUGGAACAACCAAACCAAUUAAAGCUAAGCCAUCUCAUACGUAUACCUACAUCAAAUAACAGUGUAUGGUCAUCUUGUUUAGAAUAUUGCAAUCAACACUUGGUUGAGACCGACCUGCAAAAACAACUGGGUUAAGUACAGAUGAAGCCAUUUAUGAAGGGCAGUUCCAGAAUUAAGACCUACGUUAAUUUGUAACUGCCACCGAAUCAGUUCAUAGUGCCAAAUGCAUCUACCAAGCACACAGAUAUGACCAGCCAAAAGAAAAAAAAGCAAAGUAAAAAAGAUAAAAGAGGCAUGCCAUAAAUGGGAACCUCAGCAGAAAUCAUCAGAUAUGCAUACAAGCAGAUUGAGUAACAUCUCACUAAGUAGAGGUCAUGUUGGUAAUCGCAUGUUGUGUUUGCACACAGACAUUUGGUUUUUGCAAACACAACAUGCAAUUGCAUUCCAUGAUGUGUGUGUUGUGUUUGCACACAGACAUUUGGUUUUUGCAAACACAACAUGCAAUUGCAUGAUGUGUGUGUUGUGUUUGCACACAGACAUAUGGUUUUUGCAAACACAACAUGCAAUUGCAUAUUGUGUGUGUUGUGUUUGCACACAGACAUAUGGUUUUUGCAAACACAACAUGCAAUUGCAUAUUGUGUGUGUUGUGUUUGCACACAGACAUUUGGUUUUUACACACACGAUAUGUAACAUUUAGUUUUACCCUUUUAUUCUUAUUUUCUUCGUUCAAACAUGGUGGUGAGAAAAGCACCAAACCAUCCCAUCAUAUAAAGCAAAACUCAUACAAUAUUUUAGAUGCAAAAGUUAUAUAUUUUAUAUAAAUGCAUCAUCCGCAUGGCUUGAAAUUACAAAUUCACGUUCACAUAUUACUUUUCACAAGCGCACAGACUAACAAUAAUAAUAAUCAACCAAGUAGUUGCGACAUUCAUCCUAUUACGUCCAUAUUGAUAAUGUCAGAAGUUUCAUCGAUAAGCCUCAUCAAACUACAAGUUUUUUAAUUUGAAUUAUGAAUUCAGAACUAAAAGCUCAUGAUAUGCAGAAAAUGACAUACAUUGUCCACAAUCGACUUUUCGAUAUAUUUCUGCUCUAGCAAUUUAUCGUCCAAAUUCUGGACUCUCUGUGUCAGGUGCUUCUUUGUGUUCUAUCCAGCAUAAGAAUAUUUAAUAGUGUGAUUUCAAUUGUUUAUACAAAUUCUAUAAGUAAUAUUGAUGAGUGCUGUAAAUCUAUUUGAUAUUGGGAACAAACAUGGUCCCACUAACAGAAACUCAAACAAAACAGGAAUUUUUUUUUAUUUUUUUUGGCAUAGACAGCCGAAAAGAAACUUACAGCAAUAGCCUCUGUCACGCUCUCCAGACGUUUAUGCAAUUUUGAAACAGCAGCAUUCAUACUACGCUUUGUCACAUACAGAAGAUCUGAGAAUUUUAGACCCUAACCAUUUGUGAAGAGCAAAUAUUAGAUUUGCUUAAAGAAGACAACAACUCACAGAACCAAUGGAUGAAAUAAUAUGAACAUAAAUAUAUCAUUUGGAUACCUUCCACCACAUGUAACCAUAACCCAAUGCCCCCAAGGUAGCUGUUGGCAUUAUUAGUGAUGUCAAACCUAUUAAAAAAAUCAAAAAAAAAAAUAUAACCAAGUAUAAAAUGUUUCUAUUGCAUUAUGAAAUACAUACGUGUAAGGAAUUAAUCGUUUUACAACUUAACCAAAAAGUCAAGGCAGGAGCAUGCAUUCAUUGAGUGGUUAUAAGCAAGAGGAAAAAGCACAAAGCAUGCUAAGAAUUCAUUUGAACACAGAAGAGAAAGUAAGCUACCUUGGAAUUUGGCUGUCAUUCCCCUUCAGGACGGCUCUCUGUAGUGACGAGUCUAGUUGUCGGACCUCAGCUGCCAGUCGGCGCACCUAAAACAAAGUAACACAGGAAAAUUGAUAUCCAUUACAAAAAACAAAAAUUGAACACGAGAAAGCAUCCUUCGACACUAAAUUUAUAGCAGUUUUUCCAAUACCUGUGAUGCGAUCGCAUAAAAGUCACCUUCUGAUUGUUCUCCGGUUCCAUUGAACAAAGGCUGCAAACAAAACAGAAAUAGACACAAAUCCAUCAAUUUUUUGAGCAACAAGACACAAGCUCCGAAAUAAAUAAACUAUCUAACUGAUCAAAACCCUAGUUUACCAAAUGCAUUACAAAAUUAAAAACUCAUACAAAAAUAACACCAAAUACAAAUGUUCUGCGAGUUCCACUAGCAAAGCAGAGUACAAAUCAUGAAAAUGGUACCUGAAGUUCACCGAUCAAUUCAGAUAAUUGACCAUUCUUACGCAGGAUGGUGCUCGUAUACCCUGUAGAAAGAGAACAAUCACUCAGAUCAAAUGUAGCUAAAUACACAAGGAAACUAAUCCAGUAUGCAAGAUGAAAGAGGAGUGAUUGGUACCUACUCCAGCGAAGAUCAGCAAACACAGUAUGAGGUUCCAAAUUCAAAUAACAACAUAAUGCUAAGCAGAGAAGUAGAAUUGCUGCCGAAAUUAUUUAAAACGAACUAAGUCAAAACUAAAUGGAGAAAUGUUAACAAAGUUGUAUGCUUCAGUAAGUCCAGUAACAGAUUCCCAAAACCACAGAGACAAAAUGUGAACAAUGGCUACAAAAGCAUCCAUAAAGAGCAACUAUGUUUAUAUAUGGAGGUGUACAAAAUAGUUAACCUUCAAAAUCGAAACAGUGUGUGUGCCAUGUAAGGCAAUUAGCCACUGCUUCUAGACUAUACAAUAUUACACCUCACAAUAAUAACUAAACCAACUAGCUCUAGCAAAAAGGCAGGAUGACCAUAUAAAGUACCCCCAGCAAAGCAUCUACGUCUGCAUCUUCAUAUCAAGGAGUUCCUGACAUAAGUAAUGAGCAAAGUGAAUUCCCAAGUCAUAAGUCCAGAAUGAGGUGAAUUCACGGACAUUAAAACAUUUACCUCAUAAAUAUGCCUCCCCCCUUAAACCCUCAAUUGCAAGCCUCAGCCGGUAAUAUUUGAUCUUCAAAGGGUCAACUUUAUCUACCGAAAUCCCAGCACUGAGAUGCUCGAUGAAUUUGACGGUCAUGAUUCCGCAAGACGUACUGUGAGACCAAUAAGUUGGGAAAUUAGAACUGCAGUUAUGUAAGAUUUGGAUAAACUGCACUAAAUUCACAAAGCUUACCCAUCUCGUUGUUGUGGCACAUCUGCAAUGCUGCAAACUGAGAAUGGCGUAAACGUCAACAUCUUCAGCCCCUUUUGCUUAACCUUUUCAACCUCAGAAUCUUCAUAAAAGUGCAUAUCGUACAGCACUCGUGCCAGCGUAUCGCUAAUAGGGUGCAGAAGUGUAACCAGCUUCGAACAUUUGGUAAAAGCAACAUAUGAGUCAUACACAGUUGCAGUAUGUCAGACGAAAUCAAUUUCGAUUGCAACCCAGUAAGACCCUUUAAGAUUAUAUGGAAUAUAGACCUUCCGGACUUUUGUCCAAGCUUGGCCAUACCCGUGUUGCCACGUACCGCGUACAAAGUAAUGUAUAUUCUGCAGCUUGCUGGGUGGAAGGUCAACGGUGUUUGAAGCAACUGCCUUCUUCGAUCCACGUUUCUUGGCAGUCGGUUUGAACGGAUCUAGAAAUUGCUGCAUAAAUUGAAAUGAAGGCAUAUUAGAAAAUCACAACCGAAAGCAAAUGAAGCAGCGAAUGUAACAUGGUAACAUGUUUACCUGCAAGCAACAAUCUGCUGUUGUCCAGUCAGUUCCAAAUACCAACGGAUGAGAGAGUUGCCUUUUCCAGAUAAGAAAGGUUGCCAUGUCCAGGUGCUGAAAGUUGACACACAUAAUAUCAGCACAAUUUCAUACAACUGUACACUUAAAAAAGGUGAGAAAACAAUUUAAUUAUCGCAAUAAAGUAGAGCUUUGUGUAUUCUUACCCUUGAGCUAAUCCAUUCCGUUUCAUCGAUAAGUCUGUAGAAAAAAUCAGCGCCCACUGAAAAUAAUUCCAGCUGCACCUCCGCACUACAAAAGGCAAACUUGCAAUGGUUACUUUUAUAGUCAUCUCAUAAUUCUGACUUUGUUGAUGACAAAAAUACACAUGUAUAUUAAAGCAAACUCUACGUUUUCUCAUUAGUCUAUGACUACAUACUAGAAUAGGAUGAAGAUUGGAAUUCAAAGGUAAAGAAUCCUAACCUGAUAUCGUUUUUCCAGGCAGUACAAAACUCUAUUACUGCCUUCACAUCUUCAAUGGGCACGGAUUUUGAUGGAUCAAAACAUGGCGGGGUUGCAGUCGCAGCCAACACACUCAUCGUCCUCUUCUUCCUCAAAGGAUCAGUAAAUGGGCUCAACAAUGUCUGCGCCGGGCGCUUCUGUCUGCACCCUUUACCUUCCACUUCUUUUUUUUCCACACUCGAACUACCUUCUUCAUCACCAGCCAUACUAACUGUGGGUAGACUUGGAGGAUUCAUCGGACCUCCCGAUGGCAUACUCUUAGUCACUUUCCAAUCUUCUAACAGAGACAACACUUUUUGGCAGAUUUCGUCACACCCGGCCACAUCUUCCGGGGUAGGCAGCUUCUCGGAUUGUGCCUGCUCAGCUGCUUCAUGCACUUGUAAGUGAGGAACUGAAGCGGCCAUUUCUGCCUCUUCGACUACCAUGGCUGCGGAAGGUUCGGCUCCAUCACCGGGAACUUGUGUUUCCAUUACCGCCGGUUCUGUAGGCGGACUAACAUGGUCAUGUAAUGGCGACAAGUGAUUGUCGCCUCCUUCAUUCAUAUGAGGACUACUGAGGUCCUCAUGUCCUUUCCCACCUUCAUUCACCCCACCAUUUCGUUUUUUCAGCUGCUCUAUCUCCACAUUAAAAUAAUGCUCCAUUAAAGCCAGGGUGUUGCGGAAAUCCUCCACACACUUUUUAUUUUUUUCGAACUCUCUUUCAACUUUCAAUGACUCCUUCCGUACCAUGUCUUCCAACUGAUGCACUCUGUUGCGAAGCGCUCGAUUUGAUAUGGCAACUUUGGCCAAUUCAUCCUUUGUCCUUUGAAAGUCACGCUUCAAAGUGCGUAACUCUCUGGACGCGACUGUACCCUGCAUUCAGUUAUAAUGCAAGUGUUACAAUAUUUUCAAAAUAUAUUGCAACAAUACAGCAGUUAUUUUCCUAUUGUAUUAUGACGUAUAUCUUGGAAAAAAAUGUAAUGCUUGCCUUAGAAGACGACGGAAGGCUAGCAGUUUCGUCAAUGUCCUUAUCUUUUUCUUCUACAGAGGCAGAAGUGCUGGUUUUUUGUUCAGCGUCAUCGCCAAACAACUGAACAAGUUCUUCAGUGUCGUCAACACUGUCACCCCAAGUCCAAUACGGCUGCUGCUUGUCGAUUACAGAUGGCCGGAGAAGUUGCACAUCAACCUGCAAUUUACACAUACAAUAUACAUAUCAGUAAACUUAUUAUAUUAUAUUUUCAUAUGCCUAACAUUAUCAUUAAAAACUUAACUAACCUCACGGUUCUCGAAUACUUGGCUCAUUAGCUCAUAAAAACACGGCGAACUAUUGCUCCUCCAAUGUAGUAAACGAGGGAUGUAGGCAUUAUCUUCGUGCACCACCAAAUGUAGUGCAGCCAACGCUGGAAAAACCUCAUAAGCCCAAAUCUGGUUUGAGGAAUAAAACGUGAGUCACUGUAAACAAAUGAAAUUUAACUUCAACAUGAAUGGAAAUUUGCUCACCUGAAGUGCAUAGGCAAAACCUUUGAGGUGGUACUCUCUUGGUCUACCAGUUGCCGUUGUUUUUGCUUUCUUUUCAGAUUUUUUUGUUUUUGCAGCUUUUUUGGGCACUUUCACUCGCUGGUAAUCUGUACAAAGUGCCCUCAGAAGUGACACAAUUGUCUUGGCAUAACACACAGCACCCCAUGGAUACUUCCCAAACUCUUCAAGGUCUUCCACCAACUUCAAAUAUCGCAUGUCAAUCUGGACAUGUUUUUCACUGCCCAACAGCACAAACACAGCAAAGUAUACAAAUCUGAGCUUCAAUACAUCGUCCGCAUCAACGCAUUUGAGGAAGGCCUUUUCUAAUUCCAAAACAUUGACAGUUUUAUAGUUGCCAAAGUACUUCCUUUUCAAUGAGCAGUUCUCAUUAGUGGGAAUCGGAAUAAAGGGAAGGUUUCCAAACCUUAGCCCUGUCACGAUGCAAAAUUGCUGCGCCGUGAAUUGGAUCACCUUAUUGCCAACGAUGAAUUUGAUCCCGUUGAGUUGGGAAACUGUCUUUGGAUCAGCUUUCCUCAGCAGCAAGCCGUGGACAAUUGGCGAAGUCCACUUGAGGUCCUCAAUCAGUAGGAGAUGCCCAAAACAACUCUCUUCAAACCUUUGUAGCUGUUGUUCACUGAAUUUCUCCUUUAUCGUGCUGAUUGCAGUCUUCGUAUGGGAUAGGGACAAUGCUUUUCCUUGGAACUUUUCUUCCUCUGCAAUCAUCAACUUCAUUUGAGCAACCAUCUUUCCCUGCAUGCCAAUAUUAUAAAAAAAAAUUCAGUCCGUUGCAAUCUAGACAAUAACAAGCAAUAAACAAUCAGCACUUAUCUACAGCCUAUUAUAGGAUAUUAAGUGAAAACAAAAAAACAAAAAAUACAGGGCAUAAACAAAACCCCAGCUAUUUACAACUGACCUACUAAUUCAAUAGCUCAAAGCCACAUCCCAAGACACCCAGUACUCUACCACUCUUGCAUAAUAUAAUAUCUAAAGACACAUCUCAACACACCAGAUAAUCAUGACACAGCUUCAGCUAGAAUGGGAAUGUGCGGUAGCACAAGCCUAAUUGAGAACAAUUCAAGACUAACGAUAGAAAUCUAUCUGACUAGAAAGAGUUUUAAAAAAACAAGAAGACAUCGGGAAAGAAUUGAUUGACUUCAAGGUAUAAUGUAAUGGAACAUCCUAUGAAUUAGUGGCAACCAUAAUAAUGACUCCACUAUGGCCCUCCUUUCAAAUGUAAGAAAAUGAAUGAAAUUGGCACCAUCCCUUCAGUUUUUUCUUAACAAAAUAAGAGAUUUGUAUGUAUUCUCUGCUUUAUCGAUAUCAAAGAUAAAUUAAUAAAUAAACCAUCAAAACUGUAUAAAAUGUUUGUUAGACAUGUACAAUUACAAAAUUAUAAGUUCUCCUCAGAAACAAAGUUCUCUAAGUACGCAAACAAGAAAAGCAAAAGCUUAAAGAGUUAGCUUAUAGCAAAAUCAAUGUCCCCAUUUCUCUAAACCACACCUGCUGGUGGUAGGUUCCCAUCUUCACUCAUUUCCCGCUUUCUUUUAAACAGACAAUGAUCAAGCACAAAAGAGCAAACUUUUAAAUAACUCAUAUUACACCACAAAUAGUUCUAAAGAAAACUUAUUCAUAUCCAAUAUGCAACCCCUAAAGUUAGUAAACAGAGUUAUAAAAAAAUAUGUCAAAUUAACAAGCAUUAUUCUCAAACAAAAAGUAUGAUAUGGUUGGGAGUUUACAAGUUCAAAAUGAUAUACACAGGUUAAUUGUCUUAGACUUUAGAUAUCAUCUUCAACAAAGAAAAUAGAUACCGAUUAGACUUGUAAGAAGGUUAAAUGCAAUGGUCAUAAAGACCCAUAGUAAGCCACCAAAUACCAAUCAAUAACUGCUAUAAAAACCAUAAUAAAACCAUAAUAAACUAAAAAUACAACAGCACUAAAAUGCCAACACAACAUCACUACAUUAGCAAUAUAGUAGCAACAAAACCACAAUACGACAUCAAUAGCAACAGCAAAACAACAGCAGUGCAAGCAUCAGUCCACAAAGAACAAACCCAUUCACUGUUUCAAACAAGGAAUCAUCAUACUAAGAUCAUUUCAGAGAAACCCCAAAACCAAUUUCAGUGAAACCCCUAAACCAAUUUCAGAGAAACCCCUAAACCAAUUUCAGAGAAACCCCUAAACCUUCAACCAAUUUCGAACAAAUCCCUGAACCAAUUUCAUAGAAAUGCAUAAACCCUAAACCAACUUCAAAGAAACCCUAAACUGUAAGAAAAUGACGAUGAACAGUACCUGUUCAAGGUGAACGAUGGAGUUGAGCUUCGAUGAACAAAUUUCGCUCGGAGAGGAAGAGAGAAGAGAGAGUCAGAGCUGAGCGACGAGAGAUUAAGGGCUGAGCGACGAGAGAGUGAGAGCUGAUCGACGAGAGAUGAGAGAGUGAGAGCAAAGUGACGACAGAGUGAAGAGAAAUUGAGAGAAGGAGCCAAGAGAGAGAGCUGAGAGAGAACUUCAGCAAAACUGAUAGAGAACUUCAGCAAAAGUGAUAUGUGUACAAUAAGGGGACAAUAAAUAUAUAUUUAUAGGUUAUAGUUCCAAAUUUUUUUAAAAAGAGUGGUAUUUUCAGUUACAAUUAUAAAAAUGGUGGCAUUUUGAGCUAUUUCCUUAUUUUUUAUUCAACAUGGACGCAGAAACUGUUGCUAAACUGCAAACUUCUUAAAAUAUUUGUCUCACUUUCUCAACCCUAUAUUUGUCUAACUUUCUAGAUCCAUGUACUGAGAUUUAUUAGGGAAAUAUUGUAGAAACUGAUUAUUUUGAAAUAUUAAAUGUGAAAAACUGAACAAAAAUUUGAUGGGUUACAUAUUUCAACUCAUUUCAGCAGCUUAGAUUUUGAAGACCUCGGAAGAGGCCAUGCAGUGAGCCUAGCUAGUGCACUGUUGAUCACUUCAGUGUCUACCGAUCUGUAAUUUUUCCAGAUUGGUUAUAUUUUCCUUUACAUAUUCUUAUAUUAUUCCCAGCUGUAAGUGUUUUACACACUUGUCUAUUAGAAAAGGGGAGACUUAUAAAUAAAUCCAAAAUGGGUACAGUAUUUAUAAAGAAUGACAAAAUUAAAGUGUUUGGGCAAUAAUGCCCUUAUUCAUUUUGAGAUUGCCUAAGGAAUAUUUUUUCUGAUUUUCAGAAGAUGCCAAAGGACCGUUGUUUGAUGAUUGCCGUAAGGAGCUAAGAAAACUUGCUUUGAUAGUUUUGGACAGAUGCAUGCUACUGUUGCUGGGAUGAUCUCUUCACGUGAAAUGAGGAUGAUGAUGCUUCUACACUACACAAUCCAACGAAUUCACAUGUCUAUUUCAGAUACAAGUAUAAACUAACAAGGCUUUAAAAUAUGGGCUGAUGCACUGUUGUUGAUGUUGCUGACACUGUUACUGUGUUGUUGAUACUGUCACUGCGUUGCUGUUGGAAAAAGCACAAGGACUUCACAUGUUGCUUUCGUCUUUUGUGGAGGAGAGAGACCUAGGACUUGCAUGUCUUAGAUAUUUAAGAUAAGGGGCUUUCGUUCCAUUUUGAAAAUACUUUGGGUGUUUUUGAAAGGUGAUUGUUUCUUUUGGGUUUCUCACUAAAUUUCGCUUUAGAAGGGAAAAUAAUAAUAAUAAUGUCAAACAAAGUAGGGUAAAUAUUCAGAUAUGCUCAUAUUAUUAUUCUUCUCCAAUAUUGAGGUAUUUAUACAAGUACAAAGAUGUGUUAACCCUAAAUAAAAUAGGAAAUAUAUCUAAAUUAUAAUAGGCAGUAAAUCUCUAUUACAAUAGGACUAAAUAAUAAUUGGUAAGUAACCAAAAUUCUAAUGAAAUAAGGAAUCAAAAUCCUAACUAAGUAAGGACUCGCCAACACUCCCCCUCAAGUUAGGGCAAACAUAUUUCGCAUGCCUAACUUGACAAGCGAGUCAUAGAACACCAUACUUGAGAAGCACCAAUUGUAGAGAAGGUCUUUUCGUCAACCACGAGUGAAACAAGUGACAAACUAAAGCAAAGUUCGCAGCGGAAACACAAGAGCGAAUCCUAAAAAAUAGGGCACAUAGCAGAACACAAAAAUCCUGGAGCACGACAGUAGAUAAGGCAGAACACAGAAACCCUGUUAGCACGGCAAUAGGUAAGGCAGAAAAAGUCAAGAGCAAAGGCAAGGUCAACAGGCGUGACCACAACGAAAACACACCAGCAAAGACAUGAGCAACAAUAUUAGCACCAUAAUAGACAUGAGCAACAAUACUGGUACCAACAACAGCAAUACAAGGCACUGGCACCAGCAAGAGCAACAAGGCAUGGACAUAACAUGCAUAAUCAAUAGUAAUCAACAUUGUCCCCAACAAGAGUCAUAAUAGGCAUGAGCAAUAACAUUGUCCCCACUAAGAGACUUAACAGGUAUGAGUAACAGUACUGGCACCAGCAAAGGGCAUAGUAGUCAGCAGCAAUAACAAUGACAAAUACUUCUAUUAUUGCAGAGACAACUUCUCUUCACUCCCCAUCUCCCCUUGAAGAGAAGGGGUCAUCGGAACCAUAAGAAAAGUGGCACUUAAGAAACAGAAGUUGACUGACGCUCAAAUGUAGAAGAAUCAGCCAUGGCAAAUAGGUAGCUGAAUUGCAGCGGAAUAGAUGAGCAGCGGUGUCACUCCCCCUCAUAUCUGAUAAUGUAUGAGAGUCGAGAUUUGGAGAAAGCAAUAUCGAAAAAUAAAGUUGCAGAACCCAAAUAAAGUUGCAUCUAUCUCCCCAUCAAAUCCGACACUGGUAAAGGGUCGAGAUUUGAAAGAGGAGAAAUUGAAAUAAUAGUAAAGAGACUCAAACAUGCAGUCUCAUGGCAGAAACAAAUGCAAGAGGGGAAGAUGGUAGCAUACGGUUGUCCCAUGAAGAAAAAACUUCAGAAAAGGAGAAUAGUAAGGGAGGAAACCUAGCAAAUCAUGAACAGAGACAAAGACAAAGAUGCUCAAACUGAGAAGCGGAAAGGCAACUCAAGAGAGCAACCGAAGAAGACAGAGGCCCGCAGAACAGUCAAAGUUAAGGCUCGGCGAGUGGUGACGAUGCUCGCGGAGGAAAGCAACGGCUCGGUGAGCGGUGAUGAGGCUCACGGAGUAAAGAGACUUGUUAUGAAGUUUCAAAGAUAGAGAAGCUGAGACAUCAAGAAAGACCAUCUGGCAUACAAAGAUGAAAAAUAAAAAUUUUGGAACAGUAGCAAAGAAGCAUGUGAAGGCUGGUGCGGUGAAAACACAUAUGAAAGGAUGAACAAAAGAAGAUGACUAUACAAGAUGAAGACCCAUGAUGGGUUAGGAAUGAGGAGUGCCAACGACUCUCAAUUUGGCAGAGGUUAUCGCAGGUUAGGAACCUGGCUCUGAUACCAUGUCAAACAAAGUAGGGUAAAUAUUCAGUUAUGCUCAGAUAUGCUCAUAUUAUUAUUUUUCUCCAAUAUGGAGAUAAUUAUACAAGUACAAAGAUGUGUUAACCCUAAAUAAAAUAGAAAAUAUAUCUAAAUUACAAUUGGAAGUAAAUCUAUAUUACAAUAGGACUAAAUAAUAAUUGGUAAGUAACUAAAAUUCUAAUGAAAUAAGGAACCAAAAUCCUAACUAAGUUAGGACUCGCCAACAAAUAAUAGUACAACUCUUAUUAGCAACAGGUUACAAACUUCUUCUACAACACACCAACAUGAAUCUAGCCCUGAUCCACUCUUUUACAUACUUGAAAACAAAACAAAACACGAAAAACAAAAAACAAGAAACAAGAUAGGGAGAAAAUGGCUACGGAGAGACUUCCUGCUAAUCAGGGGCGGCCCUGGGGUGGUGCAAGUGGCGUCACCGCACAGGGCCCCCGAUUCUUAAGGGCCCCCAAAAAAUAAUUCUUUAUAUUAUAUAUAUAUAUAUUAAUAUUAUAUGAAUCGUAUAUAAAGUAUAGCGUCUGGAUGAUAAAGAGACUCAUUAUCAUUAUCUUAGUCAUAAGAUUCAAAAUGAAUUGAUACUUUUGUUAGCUUCUGAGCUCAAAAGUGCAAUCAUUAAAAAGAUUGAAGAAGCUAAAUAUUUUUCUGUGAUUCUUGAUUGUACUCCAGAUGCUAGAAACCAAGAACAAAUGAGUUUGAUAGUAAGAUGUGUGGAUGUCUCUACUAAUUCAAUAAAGGUUGAAGAAUUCUUUUUGGAAUUUUUGAUUGUGAAUGAUACAACAGGACAAGGACUUUUUGAAGAGUUGCAAACGGUGUUGCAAAAACUUAAGCUUGAUAUUGAUAAUGUGAGAGGACAAGGCUAUGACAAUGGAUCAAAUAUGAGUGGGAAAUAUCAAGGUGUCCAAAGAAAAUUUUUGGAUGUAAAUCCUAGAGCAUUGUACACACCUUGUGGUUGUCAUAGUCUUAAUUUAACACUUUGCGAUAUUGCAAACUCUUGUGGAAAAGCAAAAGAUUUUUUUGGAAUCAUACAACGUAUUUAUACAUUGUUUGCUAAUUCUACAAAGCGGUGGAAGAUAUUGAAAGAUAAUGUUAAACACUUAACUCUGAAAUCAUUGUCAGUUACACGUUGGGAAAGUCGUAUUGAAAGUGUGAGAGCAAUAAGAUUCCAAGCUGCAGAUUUAAGAGAAGCUUUACUUCAGUUAGCAGAAAGUGACGGUGACUCCAAAAUAACAAGUGAAGCUAAUUCUUUGGCAACAUAUGAACUUGGAAAUUUUGAGUUCUUAUUGGGCAUGGUUAUUUGGUAUGAUAUAUUAGGUGGUGUCAAUGUAGUGAGCAAAAACUUACAAUCUGAAGACAUGCUUAUUGAUGUUGCUAUUGAUAAAGUGAAAGGGUUGAUUACUUUUUUUUUGAAAAGUAUAGAGAAAAUGGGUUUACAGAAGCUAUGUGUACUGCUAAAAAAAUUGCUACUGACAUGGGAAUUGACCCGGUGUUUCCUGAGAAGCGAAAAAUUCGUAGAAAAAAACAUUUUGAUGAGAAUACUUGUGAGCUAUCCCAAUCAGUUCCUGAAUCAACUGAAGAAAAGUUUAGAAUUGAUUAUUUCUUGUAUUUAGUGGACCAAGCUAUUGGUUCUUUACGAAGAAGGUUUCGACAAUAUCAAGAGUAUGAGAAUUUUUGGGUUUUUGUUUACUUCAGAGAAGUUAAAUUCAUUGGAUGAUUGCGAUUUGAAGAAUAGUUGCAGUCAUCUGGAAAGCAUUUUGAAAAAUGACAAGUUUUCUGAUGUCGAUGGGGAGGAUUUAUUUGUUGAGUUGAAAGUUUUACAAGAGCUUUUACCAAAAGUAAAUACCACAGCUACUGCAAUAUUAAAUUUCUUGAAAAGAUUAAAUUGUUUUCCAAAUGCAUUCAUUGCAUAUAGAAUCCUAUUGACUAUUCCUGUUACUGUUGCAUCUGCGGAAAGAAGUUUUUCAAAAUUAAAAUUGUUAAAAUCAUACUUGAGAUCAACUAUGUCGCAAGAAAGAUUAAAUGGACUAGCUUUGAUUUCAAUUGAAAGUGAACUUCUUGAAAAACUUGAUUAUGAACAUUUGAUUGAUGAUUUCUCUUCUAAAAAUUCAAGAAGAUCAAUUUUCAGACAUUAGUAUUGUACUAGCUGUGUUUUUUUUUUUCUUCUAGGGUAAAAGCUCUCAUAAUAAUUUUAAUUCUUCAAAUAAGACAGCAAAUACAAUGUGAUGAAUUUUGGAUAAUCAGGUAUGUUUUUGUUGUUGCUUUUGUGUUUAAUGCAAUAUAAUCUAAUUUUUUUAAUGACAUUUGUGUGCAACUACUCUUUGAUUUGUGAUUGCCAAUUUUUUUUUCUUUCUAUUAAACACAGAUUGCUUAUUGGAGGCAGCAAGAGACCUUAUAGGGGCACAAGGAGCUUAUUUUUGUACAAAACAUUUAACUUUAUCAAAUGGAAACAUUUAAAUUUUUAUGAAUUUGAUUUCUGAUUGUCAUUGCAUAUUUAUUGAUGGUGAAUUUUAGUUAUAAAAAAAAAAUUGUUUAUGACAUUAAGUUAUGGCAAAUUUUUAUAGUAUUUUCGUAUUAGAUUAUGCGAGGUCCCAAUUUAAGUUUCGCACAGGGCCCUCAAAAUCUCAGGAACGGCCCUGCUGCUAAUACUUGAUCAAUAACAGAGAUAAUAGAGCACACUGUUUGUAUGACAAUGAGUAUCAGAAGAAUAAUAGCUGCAAAGAGAGAAAUAGCUGCCCAAGGUGUGUUGAAAUACUUUUGUCUCAAAUUUGCCUUCCGUCUGUUCGUGGUCUUCUUGCAGUACUCGUUUAGUUUGCCAGCAAGAUCACCAAAAUAGUAGUUUCCGUGGUUCGGAGCAACUUUACUGCAAAGCUUGUUAAUCAUAAUGGAAACCUUAUUGUUGUCACCUAGCGUGUUUACAACAAUUCCAUUGUCAACAAGCAACUCUACAUCCUUUGGGGUGUUUACAAAUUUAUCCAGGAUGAAAACAUAAUCGCUUAUGUAUUUAUCCACGCAAUGGCCUUGUUCAAAGGCAAUGAGAUUUCUAUGUGUAAGCUGUGUAAUCAUGUAUUUCAAUUUUUGGAAUUUCCAAGGUGUUUUUCUUGAACUGUAUAUCGAAUAAGUUCUUGCUUGAUCCCACGUUAAACUUAACUCCGGCCUGGUGUAGUUUUGUCAUGCUGGGUGUACUUUGGAGCCCUCCAUUUUUUUUUCUUUUGGCAGAUGUAAAGUUCUAAUAAAAUCAACAAAAUGUAAAGGUUUUUUAGGAUCAGGAGGCAUAAAAGACUUACGGAAGGCUGGUGAGUUCUCCAAGUUUUCUAAACGCAGUGCCUGUUGGAAGAACUUGUAAGAGAGUUCAAUUAUUGAAGGCUCCCCAGUCUGAGCACCUGUGAGAUUGUAAAGAUCCUCGAGAAUGAAAAAUGGCAGCUGAUUUACGAGCAUAAGCAUGUCAGGCAAUAUAUUUUGUAGCACCCAUGGUUUUUUAAAUAUCCAAGCAUCAUCAUCCUGCAAUUUUUCUUCCUGAAAUUUUUCUUCGGAUUUAUUCCUCAACAAUAGCUCAAUGACAAAGGCGGCAUCAACUAGAAUGAUAUUCACAAAAGUAGCAAUGUUAAACUUCUUAGGGCUAGUUUGGCGGCGUUGUGCUUUUAAAAAAAUAUGCUUCUGCUGUGCUGUGAAAAUAAUUAGCUGUGAAAAAAAGCUACUAGGCGUUUGGUAAACUGUUUUUGAAAAACUGCUGUGAGUAGUCAAAGUGUUUGGUAAAUUUUUAUCAGAAGUACUUUUAGUGUGUAUAAUGACCAAAAAGGACAUGAUGAUGAAAUUGUUUGUUAUUUUCUUCAUUCUUUUUCUACUUUAAAAAAAAAAAAAACCCAAUUUCACUACAUAAAUUUUUAUUCUUUUUUAAUUCACACCUUUUUAUCAAAAAAUUUAAUCUACAAUUAACAUACAUAUUUUACCAUAAAUUAUAAAUUACUAUUAUAACAAAAGUAAUUCUAAAUAUUGUUAUAUUAAUAUGGGCUUCGGACAUGACAAAAAUACAAAAAUUGUUCAAUUUUAAAAUGCCCCAAUAGAUCACUACAAUAUAAAAGAAGCUAAUUAGAUGCAUUCAUUAAACUUGUAGCGAUGCUAUUUCUUAAUGCAUUCAUUAGCUUCUUUUUUUGGUUUCCAAUGGUUCUCUAACAAUUUUAACUAAAAAAACAACCAUAAUGCUUUGUGAACAAUAAAUUCAAGUCCAAAUCUGCUAUUGCCCACACCAUACAUAUAUACAUAAUUGUUCCUUUCAUAAAACUUGAAGAUUCAAUAGUAAUUACACAGUUUACCAAUCUUGAUUCCAACUAUAUCCAUAAAAUUAAACUAUAAUUAGAAAUAGAGGAGCUACAUGUGAUUACUCAUAAAUGCUUCCCACUCUCAUCAUCAUCAUCAUCAUCAUCUUCCUCCUCUGUACUUUGCCUUUCACAAAUGGACAAGACCAGAUGGUAACGUACACGACAUGGUCCACAUAUAGAUAAAUUUUGGGUUCACUGGAGAACAUAAAAGAGUUUUUACACGAAUACAAAGUUAGUUAAGUAGUGAAUAAAGUAAAACUAUUCUGUACAAUUCUAGCUGAUGCAGUCCAAAAAGAAUAUAUGUCUAAUAACUUAAAUAACAAUAAAGAGAAACAAAAGCCUCAUGAAAAAUGCUAGAGUAAAAGUUACAUAACUGAAUCGAUGGACAGAGAACUCCACAGGCAGAGAAACAGCAACAAAAAUUGUCAAAACAGUAGCAAGACCAUGUUGGAGUCAAGGCCAAAGAUCAUAUUUCCUGUGUAUCUUCUUCCAUUCUGAAUUAUUCUCGUAUUCAAAUACUGUAACUCUAUUUCAAGUGCACCCCAAAAUACUUAUCUAAGGCCAGUACAUAGGACUUCAUAAAGGGUGCGAUAAAAAAUAUUGCCCCUUAAUUGAUAAACAGAACCAAGAUCCCAACAGCACACCAAAACUAUACCAACCACACCUACAUAAUAUGGACAGAAAAUCCUGUUGUUCCGAUCUCUAACCACACCAAUGACAUUCAUUAGGAAAAUACAAAAGAUGGGUACCCUGCAUUUCUAACAUUUAAGAUAAAAUUCACUGCCAGCUAAUCACAAAUUUGAAAAGAUGGCAAGAAAAUUGGCUAAGCUUUAACAAAAACCAGAGCAGUCCUUGCAUAGACCUGACUUUUUGCUCCAAGCUUUAGCAGAUCACUUACUGGUAGAGAGCAGAGAACAUGUAUGUGAAUAUCUGAAGUUGGAAGGGUAAGCCAUCACAAACACCAAGAGAUCUGAUUCUCAUCUCUUGUUACAACAACAAAUCACAAACACCAAUACAUCUGAUUCAGAAUCUCAUAAACAAUGGAGGAACAAACACAUAUUCACACACAUAUAAAUCCCUAAACAGAAAAAAUAAAAAAUAAAAAAAAAACCAUGAAAGUCAUAGGAGAAUCAAAUUGAUUUGGGCCAAAAUUGCCUAAAAAGAAAACACUCCUAAAUAAACUUCAAUUCACUUUUAAAAACAGUAAAACAUGAUUGAAUCAUUCUUUAAAACAAUUCCCUAAUAUACAUGCAUGAUAAUGACAUCAUUUACCCCUGAAUCAAAUGCCUUUCACUGGUCAAGCCACAAGUCUGUGUUUUGGGAAUUGCUGAGCUGCAUCAAUCCUGCCAAUGUAAAUUCUGCCCCUAGGCUCUCUCAAAGUGCGUUUACAACCUAUGCUAACAUAUACUAGAGUUUGUUUUAGUAUCUAGAAAAUGCCAACACUAAUUUCGUAACACGUAGAAAUUGUUACAUAUUGGAAGUUUUUAUCAUUUUUUCUUCCAGUCUCUCCACCACUCACUAAUACAGAUUACUCAUGUGAUGAGUUUACAAAACAUAUUUCUCUACUCCCACAAAGACCAUACUUUUUCUCAAAAGACUAUAUCACUUUAUCUCUAUCUUUGUGAAAUGUAAAAAGUUGAAACUUUAAUGUCAAACCUCGACAAAAGAUGAACAUCCAUCAUCAAUUACAUUGAAUUUGAAUUUGUUGAACUUAAGUAGUUUUACUUCUCUGUCAGCGUUUGAUGACUUGAUUUGUUAUUUACUUCUUCUUUUUUCCUUGGAAAUGUGUUCCAUCAACGUGAGGAAGAAAAAUAUGCACAAAUUAAUAUAUUUAAUAGAAGCAAAAAUUAAUAUUUACAAAAAUAUGCACAAAUCAAGUAAAAUUAAUAAAGCAUAAAUUGGAAAGGGAAAAUAUGUAGAGGAUGCAUUGUAGGAUUGCUCAUGCCAAUAAUUGUACCCUCUAAAUAUAUAGGGACAUAUUUUUUUUUGUUUUCAUGACAUGUGGUCCUAAAAUUAUUGUUCUUAGCGGGCUCUCCACCCCUCUCGACUGAAAACCUAUUGUGUAAAUCUUCAAUCCUGAAUGAUGCACCUAAAACUCAUGUUGCAAUACACAUCCACCCAUUCUCAGGCCAAUUAUUACUCCUAGUGGGCUCUCCACCCCCUCUCAAAUUUAAGUGGUCCAUUAUUAUUAACCGUAUAUUUUAUGGACCAGCCAGCUGUGAGGUUUUAUCUCAAAAACCUUUCUCCCACAUGCCACAAUUUAUGUCUGAUACAUCACAUCAUGCCAGUUGUCUCAAAUGAAUUUAAGUGAGUGAGGCAGUGUUACUUCUGGGUACCCCUCAUUAUUCGUCUAUAAAUUGGUGAAGCCAGUUGCUACUGUUACCAUAAGAGCCAGCUCCGACUUUCAAAAUAAAAAUUCCAACAACGGUCUUAGUGCCUUCAAUUGUAUGAGUCAUUGAACAUGCAAAUGAAUAAAAUAUGAAUGAUAAAAGUGUUUGAUAAAUCACCAAGUUAUAGAACACUUGAUGAUUUAUCUCAAAUAAAAAUUCAGCUUUCUAAAGUUUGUGAAUUGAAAAUAUAAUCGUUAAAGCUCUCUAAACAAAGAAGACGAAAGUCUUAUUUUAUAGAAUUUUUCUUUACAAGAAAGAAAACAUGUUGAAAACCAAAUCUCCAAUUUCCAAGGCUUGACAGAAAAUCAAAAAAAUAUCUUUCCUAUUCUAGAGAUUGGUCACAUGUAGUUCAACCAAUAGGAAAUGAGAUAUUUAAGAAAGCAAGAUUUUGAUCAAUACCAAUAUCAAAUGAAUUCUUAUACGCCUAGUCAACUAUUAAGGGUAUCUUGACUCCUUGAUAUUGUGAUAUGAUUGAAACAUGAUUUCCAUGUUAGAAAAUUAAGGGGAUGUUAAAACAUGAAAGUAAUAGGAGAAUCAAAUUGAUUUGGACUAAAAUUGCCUAAAAAGAAAACACUCUUAAAUAAACUUCAAUUCACUUUUAAAAACAGUAAAACAUGAUUGAAUCAUUUUUUAAAACAAUUCCCUAAUAUACAUGCAUGAUAAUGACAUCACUUACCCCUAAAUCAAAUUGUCACGCCCCGGACCUGGGGGUCAGUGGAAACCCCACGUUCGGUGCGUGAGAAAAUAAAAAGUAAAAUAAAAUAAAAAGAAUGCCGAAACAAGGGUUUAAAAUAAACUUCUCUUAUAAAAAUAACUCCAAAAUCUUACAACUUUACAAGAAAUAAAUAAAGCCCUAUCAUUCUUAUCUAAUUCAGCCUCAACUGGUUUAGUCCUUGUCUUGCCCACUAAUUCAUCUAAAAAAUGAAGAGUGUUGCUAAACGAACCCUAAAAUUAAUUGAGUACACCCUACUACCAAACGAUUUAUUGAAUUUGUCACAUCUCGGGAUCAACUCCGCCGUAGCACGAUAUUGUUCGCUUUGGGCCCUCCCUCUCUGGCUCGCAUGGUUUUGUUUCUGGGAACUCACGAGUAACUUCCCAGUGGGUCACCAAUCCUGGGAUUGCUCUAGCCCACAACUCGCUUAACUUCGGAGUUCCUACGACUCCGAAGCCUGUGAGCUCCCAAAAGGUCUCGUGCUAGAUGGAUGCGGGUGUGCACAUAUAAGGCACAUCACCCCCUCUCCGUUGGUUGAUGUGGGAUCUUAUAGAAUUACUAAUUUAUCCUAAUAUAAAAUGACCAAAGAAGAUAAAAUAAUAUUGGUAUCUAUUGCUUUGAAUCCAUGCCUUCAAACAAAUUGACUUAAUUUUUAACAAACAACACGGAGUCCAGGAGAAGUGUAUUGAUCCAAGUUGAUUUUUGUAUGCGUAAAACUUAAACAAUCAAUAACACAAAGCAGUUCAUGCUGAAAUAUUGGAAACCCACACCCAAAGAGUUCUCCGCUGCGAGGUUGAAGGCAGGAGAGAUGGGUGACAGAUUUUACUUCCACUGCGAAGUUGGAGGCUAGGAGAGUCUGUGACUGCCAUGGUUGAGGGAGAAGAUGCGUUCAAAAUGCCUAUUGAUAUUUUACAUUAUUGGCUUUUUUCAAAAGUGAAAGUUUUUUUAUGGGUAAAACCUAAAUUUACUUUUUCUAUACAAGUUAACAGUGUUUGUGUAUUGUGAAAAGGUGGAGAGACGUGUCAAAAUUUUAGACAAAGGACAGGAGGAGAUAGGGAAUUUGGGGACAGCAGAUCUCAACUCCCUUGAGACCCUAUUCUCUACGCCACCCCUCCCCCUCAACAACCCUAGUCACCAUUUCUCCUUCAACUCCAACGGCAACUCAUUAAAACCCAAUUCUCAAAUGCAACAAUCUAAUCCCAAUCCCAAUUCAGAUGUUUCUAAAAAACCCAUUGUCGUGGUGGAGAACUGCAAUUCCAGGUGGUGGUGGUGGUACCACAUGGGAGAGAGAAAAAAGAAGAAGAAGAAGCAGGAGAGAGAGAGUUUUUUAUUUUAUUAUUAUUUUACUGUAAUUUUUUAAUUUAAAUAAUUAAAAAAAUUAAAAGUUAAAGAGGAUGUACCAUGGGUAUUUUUGGUAGUUAAAUAAGGUGUACUUAGGGUCAGUUUGGCAUUGCUGUGCUGUGAAAAUAAUAGCUGUCAGAUUUGCUGUGAGAGAAAUCAGCUGUGAGAGAAAUCAGUUUGGCGUUUGAUAAAAUUUUUGUUAAAAGUGUGUUGAUAUUGAUUUUAUGCUUAAUCCGAAAAUGAUUGCUGCAUAAUCAUUAAACCCAGCGCCUCUUCGAAACUGAUUCCUAUAUAAUCAGAAAAUGAAAGCACCUCAUUAGCUGCUUUCCUUUAUAGCUUUCUCUCACAGCAAUUUUUAACAAUAAGUGAUUUUCUCACAGUUUACCAAACGGGUUGGGCUUCUCAAAAUUUUUUAAAAAUCACUUAUUACCCCAAAUAAGCAAUACCAAACGGGCACUUAGUUAAUUUUACAUUUUAAUUUAAACAUUAGGGUGUACUCAGUUAAUUUUAGGGUUCGUUCAGCAGCACUCAAAAUUAAACAAGGUGAGGGAUGAGCAAGUAGGGACAUGAGACAUUGCCACAGUAGAUUGAUAUAACUAAAUAUUAUUAUAAACAUAGAAAUAUAUAAGUAUUAUUAUAAUAGGAUUCAUAAUAAUUAAUAUAAAAGUAUAACAACAAUAUUUACAUUUAUGUACCAAGAUAAUUACACAUAUAAAUAUAACCAAUAUAUAUUUUUAUAUAUUUUAAAAUAUAAGUCUUUACGUAAAUGCCUUUCACGGGUCAAGCCACAAGUCUGUGUUUUGGGGAUUGCUGAGCUGCAUCAAUCCUGCCAAUGUCAAUUCUGCCCCUGAGCUCUCUCAAAGCACGUUUAAAACCUAUGCUAACAUAUACUAGAGUUUAUGCUGUAUCUAGAAAAUGCCAACACUAAUUUCGUAACACGUAGAAAUUGUUAGAGAUUGGAAGUUUUUAUCAUUUUUUCUUCCAGUCUCUCCACUACUUAUUAAUACAGAUUACUCAUGUGAUGAGUUUACAAAACCUAUUUCUCUACUCUCGCAAAGACUAAACUUCUUCUCAAAAGACUAGAUCACUUUACCUCUAUCUCUGUGAAAUGUAAAAAGUUGAAACUUUAAUGUCAAACCUCGACAAAGUGUUCUACUUUACAAACUUCUUGUGUCUACCAAUUUGUACUAAAAUUAAUUUCUCUACAGUGCUCAGAUUCAUCAUAUGUGUGUCCUUAAUUUUAGUGGAAAUUGGAAGUUUCCAUAAUUUUUGCUUUAAGUCACUCUUCUGAAGGAAGUUGAGGUUCCACUUCAUAAUCCAAAAUGUCAGGUUGACUUAUGGCAAACAAUGUAAAUAUGUAGGAGUACUAUGACCUUUUAUAGCAUUUUUAGUUUGAAUUUGGGUUUUAUACAUAGAUUUCAAAAUUAAUAGGUUGAUGCCUAGGAAAUAGAAAUUGUAAGGGCCUAUAUUAGAGUAGCCCUCUUAAAAAUAAUAUUAAUUAAUGAAUAUUUGUUCUUCUUGUUGUUUUGAAGUAGUGGUGGGAGGCAGACCAACAAAAAAAAAAUAUAGUGAAGGCUUAUAAGAGCAUUUACAAUCAUGCUCCCUAUUUUUUAGUUAAAAUUUAGCUAAAAAUAGAAAAAAAGUUAUUAUAGGAGCUCUUUAUAAAGCUCCUUUAUAAAAUUUGAACUCCAAUCAUACUCCCUAGUUUAGGGAGUCAAAAAUACUAUAGUUAUUUUUUAAUUCAAUUUGAUUUUGGUUAAUCUCUAUAAAUAUGAAAAAAUAGUUAGCAUUAAUUAAAAGUUUAAACUAUGCAUAAAACAAAGAAACAUUAAAUUAUAGGGAGCCACUAUGAGUCAUUACUCUCUCCUCAGAUUUAGGAGCUCCUAAAGGUCUCCCUAUUUUAUGAGGUGGAUAAGGAGCAUGGUUGGAGUUGUAUUUCUUCAAUUUCCUCCCUAAAAUUUGUCUAAGGAUGUGGUUUAGGGAGCCCAUUGUGAAUGCUCUAACUCUGGUAAAACACGAGUGACAUGGACAACAUAUGUUACGUCGUACUGAAGAUUUUUGGGUUUCUUUAAUUGGUUAAGUAGCAUCCACACAGCUUCCUAAAUCAUCUCCUUAGACAAAUUUUAGGGAGGAAUUGGAAAAGUACAACUCCAACUAUGCUCCCUAUCCACCAACUAAAAUAGGGAGACUUCUAGGAGCUCCUAAAUCUGAUGAGAGAGAAAGGACUCUUAAUGACUCCCUAUAAUUUAAUGUUGCUUUAUAUUAUUUUGUAUACAGACGGGUCAAUUAUAUUAAAUUAAAAAAUAAUUAAAGUAUUUAUGACUCUCUAAACUAGUGAGCAUAAUUGUAGAUCAUCUUAUAUACCUUAAUUUGAAGAUUCUUUAUUUGGGUUUCUUUCAAGACUUAUCACCUUAGCCACGCCACCUACACGUCUGCAAGCUUUCCUAACAAGGAAGGGGAGGCUGCGCAAUACUUAUCACCUUAGCCACACUACACCAAAUUGACGUCUGCAAGCUUUCGUAAUCUAACAAGGAAGGGGAGGCUGCGCAAUACUUAUCACCUUAGCCACACCAACACCACAAGACCAAUAUGUGUAGUCCAGGAGGCUUUCCCAUUUUAAUAUAUAUUAUCAAAUAAAAUAAAAAUCAAUCUAUUAUCAUAUAUAUUAUAAAAUAAAGAUUAUUGCUCCAUCCUCCAUGCACUUGCAUGCCUCUUACAAAGUGUGAAGUAGAUUUUGUGUGCUCCAAGUCAUUGACGAGAGCUGUAACAUGGUUAGCUGGAUUUAUAAGAUCUUUUCUUUUCUGGGAAUUUUCUGAAUCAAGAAAAAUUAAGUAAAAUUAAUAAAGCAUAAAUUAGAAAGGAAAAAUAUCUAGAGGAUGCAUUGUAGGAUUGCACAUGCCAAUAAUUGUAUCCUCUAAAUAUAUAGGGACAUAUUUUUUUGUUUUCAUGACAUGUGGCCCUAAAAUUAUUGUUCCUAGCGGGCUCUCCACCCCCUCUCGAUUGAAAACUAAUUGUGUAAAUCUUCAAUCUUGAAUGAUGCACCUAAAACUCAAGUGUCCCAGGCCAAUUAUUGCUCUCAUACCACUUGUUGUAAUAAACAUCCAUCCAUUCUAAAGGAAAGAUAACCAUCGAUAUUAUCUCAAAUUUAACCACUUAAGUUCAUUAUGAUUAACUAUGUAUCUUAUGGACCAAUCCAAUCAUGAGGUUUUAUACCCAAUUAGAUCGACUAAUACAAAGUUCACACGUGGAUUGAAAAGCGCUAUCAGUAGGGGAGUGUUCGGCACCCUUUACUGCCGAACGCAACACAAGACCCCUUGCAUGCCUUCACUAAGUUGAGCCUAUCUAUUUUUUAGCAUUAACAAUAUAUAUAGAUUGAAAAAAUAAAAUAAAAAUCAAUCUAUUAUCAUAUAAAAUAAAUAUUAUUGCUCCAUCCUCCAUACACUUGCAUGCCCUCUUACAAAGUGUGAAGUAGAUUUUUUGUGCUCCAACUCAUUGACUAGGGCUGAAACAUGGUUAGUUGGAUUUAUAAGAUCUUUUCUUUUCUGGGAAUUUUCUGAAGCACGGAAAAUCAAAUAAAAUUAAUAAAGCAGAAACUGUACCCUUUAAUUAUAUAUGGACGUAUGUUUUUUUGUUUUCAAGUCUUAGAUGACAUGGGGACCUAAAAUUAUUGCUCCUAGUGGACUCUCGACCCCUCUCAAAUUUAAGUGGUCCAUUAUUAUUAACCACAUAUUUUAUGGACCAUGCAGCUGUGAGGUUUUAUCUCAAAAACCUUCGGUACAUUUCUCCCACAUGCCACAAUUGUAUAUUCACAAUUACGGCUGUUACGUCACAUCAUGCCACUUGCCUCACAUGCAACAAGUCUGUGUUUUGGGGAUUGCCGAGCUGCAUCAAUUCUGCCAAUGUCAAUUCUGCCCCUGGACUCUCUCAAAGCACAUUUAAAACCUAUGCGAACAUAUAUUAGAGUUUAUGAUGUAUGUAUCUAGAAAAUGCCAACACUAAUUUCGUAACAUGUAAAAAUUAUUAGAGAUUGGAAGUUUUUAUCAUUUUUUCUUCCAGUCUCUCCACCACUUAUUAAUACAGAUUACUCAUGUGAUGAGUUUACAAAACCUAUUUCUCUACUCUCGCAAAGACUAAACUUCUUCUCAAAAGACUAGAUCACUUUACCUCUAUCUCUGUGAAAUGUAAAAAGUUGAAACUUUAAUGUCAAACCUCGACAAAGUGUUCUACUUUACAAACUUCUUGUGUCUACCAAUUUGUACUAAAAUUAAUUUAUCUACGGUGCUCAGCUUCAUCGUAUGUGUGUCCUUAAUUUUAGUGGAAAUUGGAAGUUUCCAUAAUUUUUGCUUUAAGUCACUCUUCUGAAGGAAGUUGAGGUUCCACUCCAUAAUCCCAAAUGUCAGGUUGACUUAUGGCAAACAAUGUAAAUAUGUAGGAGUACUAUGACCUUUUAUAGCAUUUUUAGUUUGAAUUUGGGUUUUAUACAUAGAUUUCAAAAUUAAUAGGUUGAUGCCUAGGAAAUAGAAAUUGUAAGGGCCUAUAUUAGAGUAGCCCUCUUAAAAAUAAUAUUAAUUAAUGAAUAUUUGUUCUUCUUGUUGUUUUGAAGUAGUGGUGGGAGGCAGACCAACAAAAAAAAUAUAGUGAAGGCUUAUAAGAGCAUUUACAAUCAUGCUCCCUAUUUUUUAGUUAAAAUUUAGCUAAAAAUAGAAAAAAGUUAUUAUAGGAGCUCUUUAUAAAAUUUGAAUUCCAAUCGUACUCCCUAAUUUAGGGAGUCAUAAAUAUUAUAGUUAUUUUUUAAUUCAAUUUGAUUUUGGUUAAUCUCUAUAAAUAAAUAAAAAUAUGAAAAAAUAGUUAGCAUUAAUUAAAAGUUUAAACUAUGCAUAAAACAAAGAAACAUUAAAUUAUAGGGAGCCACUAUGCCAAUAAUUGUAUCCUCUAAAUAUAUAGGGACAUAUUUUUUUUGUUUUCAUGACAUGUGGCCCUAAAAUUAUUGUUCCUAGCGGGCUCUCCAACCCCUCUCGAUUGAAAACCAAUUGUGUAAAUCUUCAAUCUUGAAUGAUGCACCUAAAACUCAAGUGUCCCAGGCCAAUUAUUGCUCUCAUACCACGUGUUGUAAUAAACAUCCAUCCAUUCUAAAGGAAAGAUAACCAUCGAUAUUAUCUCAAAUUUAACCACUUAAGUUCAUUAUGAUUAACUAUGUAUCUUAUGAACCAAUCCAAUCGUGAGGUUUUAUACCCAAUUAGAUCGACCAAUACAAAGUUCACACGUGGAUUGAAAAGCACUAUCAAUAGGGGAGUGUUCGGCACCCUUUACUGCCGAGCGCAACACAAGAUCCCUUGCAUGCCCUCACUAAGUUGAGCCCAACUAUUUUUUAGCAUUAACAAUAUAUAUAGAUUGAAAAAAUAAAAUAAAAAUCAAUCUAUUAUCAUAUAUUUUAUAAAAUACAUAUUAUUGCUCCAUCCUCCAUACACUUGCAUGCCCUCUUACAAAGUGUGAAGUAGAUUUUUUGUGCUCCAACUCAUUGACUAGGGCUGAAACAUGGUUAGUUAGAUUUAUAAGAUCUUUUGUUUUUUGGGAAUUUUCUGAAGCAAGGAAAAUCAAAUAAAAUUAAUAAAGCAGAAACUGUACCCUUUAAUUAUAUAUGGACAUAUGUUUUUUUGUUUUUUUGCUCUCGACCCCUCUCAAAUUUAAGUGGUCCAUUAUUGUUAACCACAUAUUUUAUGGACCAUCCAGCUUCGGUACAUUUCAAAAAGCUUCGGUACAUUUCUCCCACAUGACACAAUUGUAUAUUCACAAUUACUUCUGGGUACCCCUCAUCAGUCGUCUAUAAAAUGGUGAAGCCAGUUGCUACUGUUACCAUAAGAGCCAGCUCCGACUUUCUUUAAUUUCUUGCUACAUCUGUUGCUAAGUUAAUUUCAGUCCUAAUGGGGUUUCAUCUCCCACUCAUCUUUGCUAUUCUCAGUGUAAGCUCUGCAAUUUGAUUAACUUUUCCAUUCUCUCUCAUUGUACUCUAUAUAUAUAAAUGAAAGUUUUGUGUUCCUAUAAUUCUCUCCGAUUUUAUUUAGUACGUACUUAAGUGUCGUCCACUAAUUAAUUACACUUUGUGAGAUUUGAUUUUAAUUAGAGUUCGAAUUAAUGUUGCAGCUAGCAGCGGUUGCACUGGCAAACAAUGCUGCUCAACCAGCACCUCAACUUUACUGGAACUCCGUCCUGCCAAACACACAGAUGCCAAGAUCUAUCAGUGAACUUCUGCAUCCUGGUUUGUGUUCAGCUCUUUAUAAUCUUAGAUAUCUCUUCUACCUGCCAUUUUACUAAAAUAUGUUCGACCACAUAUUUAUCAGCUAACUACUGUGAUUACAAGAAUGACACUUAUUUUCCAAUAUAAUUUGCAGACUCCACAAAUGAAGAAAAGAGCAAACCUGAAAUUUUCCCAUUGCAGGGCAAUAGAGUUUACACUCAAAGCCAUUAUAAAAAACGUCCUCCUCCUCCAUCUGACGAGGGCAAACCUGAAACUUUCCCAUUGGGCAAUAGCCAUUACACUCAAACCCGUUAUAAAAAACGUCCUCCUCCUCCAUCUGACGAGGGCAAACCUGAAAAUUUCCCAUUGGGCAAUAGCCAUUACACUCAAACCCGUUAUAAAAAACGUCCUCCUCCUCCAUCCGACGAGGGCAAACCUGAAAAUUUCCCAUUGGCCAAUAGCUUUUACACUCAAACCCGUUAUAAAAAACGUCCUCCUCCUCCAUCUGACGAGGGCAAACCUGAAAAUUUCCCAUUGGCCAAUAGCUUUUACACUCAAAGCCAUUAUAAAAAACGUCCUCCUCCUCCAUCUGACGAGGGCAAACCUGAAAAUUUCCCAUUGGCACGUUCUCCUCCAUCUGACAGUCAACUAAAGCAUUACAAAGACUUAGCUAUUUUCUUCUUCGAGAAGGACAUGCGCCCGGGCACAACUAUGAAGUUCCAAUUCCCUAGAAAUUCAAACACGGCUACUUUCCUGCCACGCGAAAGUGCUCAAUCGAUCCCCUUCUCCUCUAAGAAACUACCAGAAAUUUUCAACCAUUUUUCAGUGAAGCCAACAU